RNAcentral lists this long non-coding RNA (176654 nucleotides) under Sorghum bicolor (sorghum). RNAcentral's name for it is "long non-coding RNA (SBIC_LNC014697)". Lineage: Eukaryota; Viridiplantae; Streptophyta; Magnoliopsida; Poales; Poaceae. The record is from RNAcentral.
UUAGCUCUAGUGGACCACCAAGCUGCUCUAACUGACCAAGCUCUCUCACAGUACUGCAACAGGAGCCAGUACCUGCUACAAAACAUGUAAGCGUCUGUAGGGAAGUGAGGUGUCCCAACUCAGAGGGUAUGCUCUUCAACUCAUCACAUCCAUGAAUAUACAGGUGACGGAGGCCAGUCAUAUACUUCAUUUCCUUUGGGAGUCGACUAAGUUUGCGGCACUUUGAAAGGUCCAGUGUUUGCAGAUUAUAUAAGAUGCUUAUUUCUUCAGGAAGUGCUUCAAUAUCACUAGAAGAGAGAUCAAGGUACCUCAGGUGAUGCAGAUACUUUGGUUUCAAGAAUGAACCUCGGCGGAUCUUUAGUGCACGUAUGGAUCUGUAUUUUGACAAAUGUUUCAGAUCUUGAUAUAAAUAUCUAGUGCAAAUCAGUGUUUGGACAGCUAUAGAUCCUUUUUCCAUAGAAGUAUUCAAAAUCUCUUCUGGUUUAUCAACAGAUAUAAAUAAAUGCCGAGCAGAAUAUGGGAAGUUGUUAUCACUCUGACUAGGCUCUGCUACUAUGGUAGCACAUUCGGCUCCCAUAGAAGACUGUGCAACAUCAUGCAUAAGAUCAUGGAUCUUACAAGUAACCUUUGUGUGAUGGAAUUCAAAAGGGACUCCCUUCACAUCCUGAAAAAAUGAUCUCGAGGCUAGAUCCAUGAAAAUAUGUUUACCAGUUAUUUCAAAAUGAACUCCAUGUUCCUCUGGAAUAAAACCAUUGGCCAUCCAUAGUUGGAUUAGCUUUUCCACAUCUAUCUCAUAGUCCUUGGGGAAAAUAGCACAGAAAGCAAAGCAUUGCCUCAUGUGCGAUGGCAACCCAUUGUAGCUGAGCUUGAGUAUCGGUAAAAUUUUAGACUCAUCAUCGCAAAUGGUGCUUUUGCUUAAUACAGCAUUCCAUUCUUUGGCAGUGGUCUUUGUAUGAAGCAGCGAGCCCAUUGCUGUUGCAGCUAAAGGAGAUCCAGCACAUCUUUUUGCUAUAUCACCAACCAUUUCAACUAACUUAGUGUCACGUUUGUUUGUUGAACUGAAUGCUCUUGUCUCAAUAAUUUCCUUGAUGAAACUUUCUUCUAAUCCUUUGAGAAUAUAUAGUUCAUUAGUUGUGCCCAUUAAUUUAGCAACUUCUUGAUCACGAGUUGUAGUCAGCACUAUGCUGCCGCUGCCACCAUGCACUAGGCAGGAUUUUAGCUUUCCCCACUUAUUGGCAUCACGACUCCAUACAUCAUCCAAGACGAGGAGGUACCUCUUCCCGCUCACUACUUCUUUAAGUUUAUCCAAUGGUGAUUUUCCACUUGGAUUGCUGGUGUUCUUCUCUUUAGCUUCUUCAACUAUGCUUUUAGCUACUAAAUCAACUACAAAGUUAUCAGAGACACAUACCCAGAGCUGCAACUGAAAAUGCUUCUUAACUUCAGGGUCAUUGUACACAAGCUGAGCUAAGGUGGUCUUGGCCAGCCCCCCCAUUCCAACGAUGGGAAUGACCAUAAGCUGCAGAUUGCUCGCUUGGUCACCAAUCAAUUUGUAAACAACCUCCUUCUUCUCUUUGUCUCUGGAGUUGCUAGCAAUUUUCUGGGGGUCAAUGAUGUUUGAAUCUGUCUGUCUCCAGUCCUUAGACAUUGGUGGCUGUGGUCUGAAUUUGAACCUGAAGGCAUGCAUCUCUGUGAUGAGGACCUCCAGUGCUGCAAGAAUCUGACAGAGCUUGUUGCCCAUCCUGUAAGGGAACACAACACGAUUGUGAGUAGGAAAGAGGUUUAUUACAUCAAACCCAAGCUUCUUGUAGUGUCCCUUCUUCUUGGCUUCGCGGCGGAGUGCCUCAUACUUGAACUCAUCCAGGACAUCAUUGGCCUGGUAAGCCACCUUCCGGAGCGCCUCAAGCCAAGCUUUUGGCCCUUCCCUGUGGGCUGCAGCCUGCUCCUCGGCGUCAGCGAUCACAUCCAGGAUGGCAGGCAGCUUGCGUUUGAGGGUCUCAUGCUGCUCCUCUAUGCCCUCCAUCACCUUGUAUUGGUCCAGGAGGUAGCUGGAGGCCUUGUCCUUCACCAUGGAAACGAGUGGCCCGACCACCAUGGUGGCCAUAACCUCAGCCAUCGGAGCGCUUAGAACACACAACACACGCGAAGGCAGGGUGCACGCAGAGAGAAGCGUGGUUCCAGGAUGAAGAUGAAGAUGGGUUCAGCAACUGAUUUUGAGGAAAAUGGGAAGUGAUAAUUAAUGUGAGCUCUGACCUUGCUUGACAACUAGUAUCACGUUCACAGCUGGACAGAUGACAUGCAGAUCGGAGCACAUAGAUUAACCAACGCAUGUGAGAGCAUGUGCGUUUUGCACUACAAAACAUCCACUUGCAUCUUGAUUCUCGGUGCCCAGCGGUUGACAAGGGAGCGCAAGAUUAGUUUAAUCACAAAUCAUCUAUUAUUAUUACUAGGGAAUAGUGCUCCUAUAGUGAUAUGACUUGUCAGUUCACACAGCCAAAAGUAGCACAGCUAAUCCCGUCGGCACAGCAUCUUGCAGCGCUUGGCUUCUAAAUCACGAUUGAAAGUAUUGUUUCUCAUAGAUUUAACAGAUAAGGUCAAAGUGAAUAUCUCCAUGAGUACUUCUUUUCAGUUUUCAAUUUCCUUUCCUUUCAAGGAACUUUUGAUUUUUCACACUUAUCUUCAAUAAAAGGAAAUGAACCAAAUUCAUAGGCAUAAGAUAAGAAUGCAUGUGCGUCAUCUGUUGGGCUGUCAGCCAGCCAUGAGUAAAAGAGGAGAGAAUAAAGCUUUUUCCUAAGAAAAAAAUGCCGCACAGUGCGGAUGUGCGCAAUGUUCCAGUCUUGGAGCGCCACUAGGGACGCGAAAGCUGAGGCCGCCGCCAGUACACGUCCACGCCUCCAUCCGCAGCAGCAGUCGUUGAUCCUUUCCUUUGCCUGUUGCCUCCGUGCGCCAACUGCGCGGACAGUCCGCGCUUCCGUGCGAAGCCGUAGCAACCGGUCCUCGCAUCCGUGCGCAACCACCGCCGCCGCCGGUCUCCUCACGACUUCGCCUUCGGGCGCAGCCGUAGUUGUAGGUCAGCCGCACCAGCCGCCGCCGCCAUUGCUUCGUCAGGGAGUGAAGGAGAGGGCGAGAGUGGUGAGCACUGGAGCUUUCGAUGGGCUAGUGGGCCACGCGUGGUGGAGCUGUGGAUGGACCUAGGCUGGUAAAUUGAAGUACUUUUAGCGGUUAUAGUAGUUGUGGCCUUGUGGGUUAAAUGCAGGCCCAUCAAAACGUAGCGGCAAAAGUCAAUUACUUUAGCAGAACUUGUUCCGAGCAGCUAUUUUUGGCUGCAGCCAGUGACUGAAACUUGAGGAAAAUAUACUAAUGCAUCCCUAAAUAUGUAUCUAACUCGCUUAAUUUUACCAUUUUUCAAAAAUAACGUAAUGGUACACCCUAAAUCUUAAUCUGGAUUAUCCACUUAUACCAUUCUAAAAAGAAUACUAAAUUAUUUUUUUAAAGUUUGGUCCUAGAUUACCACAUUUGUGAUUAUUAAAAAAACUGAAGUAACCUACACCUAAAUCGGCCGCUUCAGCCAUGUUAAAAAAAUAUCUCAAAGUACUCAUAUGUAUUGAUCUAAAUAUACCAUCAUUAAUAUAGAAAAAUGAAUUCAAGGUAUACAUAUAUGUCACCAUAUAUUGAUUAUAUAUAUACAUAUAUGCGGGGCUAGGAAAGUGAUGAGCAGAUCAAUUUCCAUGGUAAACACAUAGUCCCGACUAUUGUUCUAACUAAAUACAUGGUUCUAAAAAGAAAACUAAAUACAUGUAGACAUACAAUGCAAGAGGAAAUAUUCAUAACUAUAGUCUAUCAUGACUAAAAGAUAAAGGCCACAUGUGGCGCUAUAGGGGAAGACCAUACCAUCACGGCCAUCAUCUUUGCCUUCCUCACUAGCAUGGAUGUCGAGGCCACAGAGCUGCACUUGCACUCACAGUCACAUCACGCUCACAAAUGUCAUGCCUCUUACUGGUAGGUCCAGACGAGCAGGGGGAAGAGACGACCCCACCCGUUCCCUUGCUGGGAGAGCUCACUACUCACAGAUGAGCUCAUCCCCUGUUCGCCGGCGAGAACAGAGCCUGGUGGUACACAGCAUCGACACGUUUGGAACAAUGAGGUACUAAACAGAAAUAACAGUAAAGAGAUGCCAUGUUACUACUUACUUGGCAUAGCACACCUAGUGCAAGAUUGACCUAGGCCUUGUUUAGUUCACCCAACAAUCAAAAAACAUUUCAAAAUUUCCCGUCACAUCGAAUCUUGCAUCACAUUCAUGGAGCAUUAAAUAUAGAUGAAAACAAAAACUAAUUGCACAGUUUGCUUGUAAAUCGCGAGAAGAAUCUUUUAAGCCUAGUUACUCUAUGAUUGGACAAUAUUUGUCAAAUAAAAACAAAAGUGCUAUAGUGUCAAAAUCCAAAAACUUUUUGGAUCUAAACAAGACCCUAGUGCAAACAUUGCAGCCCCAUCCACUUGAGUCACCCCUCGAUUAGUGAUUACCACAACCAGUCCAAACUAGAGCAAAAAUGAAACAGUGAAUAUAUCAAAUAAUACGAAUGACUAAUAUGUUGUUGCUGUUGGAUUUAUUAUGGGCUAGACCCAUUUAGAUUUAAUAAAUCAAUAAACUCUAUGGUGUGUAAUUAUGGACAAUAUAUAUUGUACCAAAUUGGAAGUCCAAGAGUUGAAGUGGUAGUCAGGCUGACAGUAUGGGAGUUUCGACUCAAUUAUGUGUGAGUUUCAACUCACAAUCUACGGGUGUUUCGAUAGAUAACUGAGGGAGUUUCAACUCCGUGUGAAAACCCUUUAGAUGUCUGUCUCCUUAGCCGCUAACAGGGAGUCCCUUCCCCUCCUCUCCUCUCCAGCCACAAAGAUAAAUAGGAGACUCUCAUCUCAUUGGUAUAAAAAAGGAGAACACUCAGAACACAGUUUCAUUGCAAAGAAGGAAUCCCCAUUUCGUAACUCCGCACGCACGGAGGAGCGAGAGGGCAGGUGCCUCCGGAGCCCUUGCCAUUCGAGACCUUACACGGGGGAUCAGCAAUUUGGUUUUUGGGGAGCGUUUACACGACUGCCCAACUCCAUUGUUGUUGUUCAUCUUCUUCUCGGAGGUCUUUUGGUGUUGCCGGUCGCCGCCUUCUCCUUCCCGGUGAUUGGUUCGUCGUCUUUGCCUUCGUCUCUACUCCAUGGCGAUCGAGGAAGGACAAGGUUCUGGAAAUCUGAAUGCGGGAGUCCUAGGGUAUGAUCAGUUCAUCUCCCUUCAGUUUUAUGUCGCUCUGUUUUUGUUUUAGUAGCUCUGUCAUGCAGGUUCAGUAGUUGUGUCAUAUCUGUUUCAGUAGGUCUGUUUUGUUGUUUCGCAAGAUAUUUGUUGUCUAUUCUUGCUAUGUUUAAGUUCUGCAUAUAUGCCUCUGUUCUACAGUUUUGUUGUUUCGCUAGUAUCUGCUUUUCUUUUCUGUUUCAGUACAUCUGUUUAUCUAUUUUGAUAGUUAUAUCAUGUUUGGUGUUGUUACAGAUAGUUAUAUACCAUGCCAUGCUUUGAUGUUUGAUAUGCUUUAUGGAUCAUGUUUACAUGUUGUAAUUAUGAUUCAUAUCAUGUUAAUAUUUAUCAAUAAUAUCAUAUAUGUCAUCAUCAUAUUGUUAAUUUAUGGAAUUAAAAUGACAUGGAAAUUGCCUAAUAUUCUAACAAUCCAAAAACCUAAUUAUAGGCACUUUUCUGUCAAAGAUUCUGCUGCCGUGUUGAAACCUGAUCCUUUUGAUGAUAAAAACUUCUUGAUCUGAAAAGCUAAGGUGGAAUUAUGGCUAACUGCUAUUUCAUAUUAUCAUGCCGUUGAGGGCAAGCCUGCUAACUUGUCUCCUGAGGAUGAGGCUAAGUUUAAGGCUGAUGACAACCUCUUUCGACGUGUAGUGAUUAGCGCACUUAAUCCAAAAUUCCAGAAAAGCUACAUAAUUCUUUGAAGCGGGAAAGAAUUAUGGGAUACUCUUGUGGGAAAGUUUGGAGUUACUGAUGCUGGUAGCGAGCUGUACCUCAUGGAGCAACUAUAUGACUACAAGAUAGUUGAGAACCAAUCUGUAGUGGAACAGGCUCAUGAGAUUCAGGCACUAGCUAAGGAGCUCGAACUAUUUCCUUGUCCUCUUCCUGACAAGUUUGUGGCUGGCGGUAUAAUCGCCAAGCUUCCACCUUCUUGGAAGGACUUUGGCACAUCUCUAAAACAUAAGAGACAAGAGUUCAAUAUUGAGGAGCUCAUUGGUACUCUUGAUGUUGAAGAGAGGGCUAGAGCUAAGGACAAUGAAAAAGGUGUUGAGACCUCGACUGCCAAUGUGGUGCAGAAGAGGAACUUCCACAAGUUCAACAAGAAGAAAAACCGAAAAAAGAAAGAGAAAGUUCCUAAGCCAAUUCAGACCGCACAGUUCAAGAAAAAGAACAAUAACAAGAAGGGAGGCUGCUUUGUGUGUAGCAGUGAGGAUCACUGGCAAGUGAGUGCCCUGAUUGUAUGUUUCAGCAAGAAAAGAAGUCAGCAAAUGUUGUUACUACUAAUACAUCUGGUGGAACAUCUAGGUAUGGUAAUUCCUUACUAUUUGUUCUUUCAGUUUGUAAUUCACCUAAGUGGUGGAUGGACAGUGGUGCCAAUAUUCAUGUGUGUGCUGAUGUUUCUUUGUUUUCUUCAUACCAGGUCAGGAGGUUUGGCGCCCCGUUGAUGGGAAAUGGGUUGCAUGCGCAUGUUCUUGGUGUUGGUACGGUCAUUCUAAAUUUUACUUCGGGGAAGAUGGUGCCAUUGAACAACGUGCAACAUGUGCCCUCAAUAAAGAAGAAUCUUGUUAGCGCUUCAUUAUUAUGUCGUGAUGGAUAUUGCGUAGUUCUUGAGUCUAAUAAAUGUGUCGUGUCAAAACAUGGUUCUUUUGUUGGCAAAGGAUAUGAUUGCGGAGGUCUGUUCUGUUUAUCUCUACAUAAUAUGUGUAAUAAACUGGUGAAUUCUAUUGACAUUUCUGAUGAGACGGAUUUAUGGCAUUCACGGUUUUGUCACACAAGUUAUGGCUGUCUUAUGCGGUUAGCAAAUCUAAAUUUAAUUCCUAAGUUUAACUUGGUCAAAAAGUCUAAGUGCCAUGUAUGUGUUGAAUCAAAACAACCCCACAAGCCUCGUAAGGCUGCUGAGGCAAGGAACUUGGCACCUCUAGAACUUAGUCAUUCCGAUUUGUGCGAAAUGAAUGGUAUUUGACUAAAGGCGGUAAAAGAUACUUUAUCAAAUUUAUAGAUGACUCCACUAGAAUUUGCUAUGUGUAUCUCUUAAAAACAAAGGAUUAAGCACUCCAUUAUUUUAAGGCCUAUAAAACUAAAGUUGAGAACCAACUAGAGAGGAAAAUAAAACAUUUAAGGUGUGAUAGAGGUGGAGAAUAUUUCUCAAAUGAUUUCGAUGAAUUUUGUGUGGAACACAACAUUAUUCAUGAGAGGACAUUACCAUUCUGACGACAAUCCAAUGAGAUUGUUGAAACGAAAAACCGCACUUUAACAGAGUUGAUGAAUGCCAUGUUAAAUACAACGGGAUUAUCCAAGGAAUGGUGGGGUGAGGCAAUUUUGACCACGUGUUAUGUCCUAAAUAGAGUUCUCACUAAAAACAAAGAGAUCACUCCAUUCGAGGAAUGGGAAAAGAAGAGAAUAAAUCUUUCAUAUUUACGCACCUGGGGUUGUUUGGCAAAGGUGAAUGUGUCAAUCAACAAGAAGCGUAAAUUAGGACCUAAAAUUGUUGAUUGUGUUUUCCUUGGUUAUGCUUUCCACAGCGUUGGAUAUAGGUUCUUAAUUAUAAAAUCAGAUGUGCCUGAUAUGUAUGUUGAUACUAUCAUGGAAUUGAGAGACGCUACAUUUUUUGAGAAUGAGUUUCCCAUGAAAAAUACACCUAGUAAAACAAGUCAUGAGACUAUAAUACCCCAUGCGCAAGAAUUGUCUAUUCUUAUAGAUCAUGUAGAAGAUUCUCAUGAGCACAUCCCUGAGGUGGUUGACACUAUAGCCACUCAAAAGAGCAAGAGACCUAGGGCAAAAUCCUUUGGUGAUGAAUUUAUAGUGUAUCUUGUGGAAGACAUGCCAACCACUAUUGUUGAGGCAUAUUCCUCUCCUGAUACCGACUUAUGGAAGGAGGCAGUAAGGAGUGAGAUGGAAUAUAUUAUGUCCAAUAGAACAUGGGAGGUCGUUGACCGUCCCUAUGGCUGUCAACCUAUAGGCUGCAAAUGGAUCUUCAAGAAAAAGCUUAGGCCUAAUGGUACAAUUGAGAGGUACAAGGUAAGGCUGGUGGCCAAAGGAUAUACCCAGAAAGAGGGGGAAGAUUUCUUUGACACCUAUUCACCGGUCGCUCGAUUGACUAUAAUUUGCACUUUGAUUGCCGUGGCAGCUUCAUACAGUCUUAUCAUUAAUCAGAUGGAUGUUAAGACAUAUUUCCUUAAUGGAGACUUAGAUGAGGAGAUCUAUAUGGAUCAGCCAGAAGGGUUCAUUGCGGAUGGUCAAGAAAGCAAGGUGUGUAGGCUAUUAAAGUCAUUAUAUGGCCUAAAGCAAGCACCUAAACAAUGGUAUGAAAAGUUUGAUAGUACACUUAUAACUACAGGCUUUGUUGUGAAUGAAGCUGACACUUAUGUGUAUUAUCGGUAUGGUGGGGGUGAGGCUAUUAUGCUAUGCCUUUAUGUUGAUGACAUUUUGAUCUUCGGAUCUAAUCUCAAUGUGAUUGAGAAAGUAAAGAAACUCCUAUCGAGUAAUUUGAAAUGAAAGAUUUUGGAGAAGCUGGUGUCAUUCUUAACAUCAAGCUUAAACGAGAAGGUGAUGGUGGGGUAACUCUGUUACAAUCCCAUUAUGUGGAAAAGGUAUUAAGUCGCUUUCGAUUUAGUAACUGUGAUCUGGCGGGCGCAGGAUUUGAGGGCUGGUUAUUCAAAAAAAGCUAGACAAGUAGUAAAUGGCUUCAAAUUUUUUUGACAACCAAAUGGCUCAUAUUCGACAUGUAUAAUGCCAUAUAUGAUAUAUACUAUAUAUAGUUCAUGGUACCGAUGGAGUUUGAGAAUAUUUUUACGUAAUUCACCUUUGCACGAGUGUGACAAGAGGCAAUAUUUUUUUUGUUUUUCUUGUGUACACUAAUACACAUAUGUAUAAAUACUAUAUAUAUAAAUUUUUUGCCAAAAUUUUUGGGUAUUCAACUGAAUACCAAUGAACACAAUUGUGCCCGCCUCUGCCUUCUCCCACGCCUUAUGACCCUAGUGUGCUAUUGAGGAAAAAUUGAAGAAUAGCAAGGGAUCAAUUAACAUACUCCUAGAUCAUUGGCUCGCUUAUGUACCUUGUGAGUGCAACGAUACCUGAUAUUUCAUAUGCUAUGAGCAAGCUGAGUCGGUUUGUGUCAAAACUGGGCAUUGAUCACUGGUGUGCUCUUGAGAGAGUGUUGCGCUACCUGAAAGGGACUAUGUCCUACGGUAUUCACUAUACCGGAAACCCUAAAGUGUUGGAAGGCUAUUGUGAUGCCAACUGGAUCUCUAAUGCUGAUGAGCUUUAUGCCAUGAGCGAAUAUGUGUUCCUGCUUGGAGGUGGGGCUAUUUCCUAGAAGUCUUGCAAGUAGACUAUCUUAACGAAGUCUACAAUGGAAGCAGAACUCACAACAUUAGACACUAUUGGGGCUGAGGCCGAGUGGCUACGUGAUUUCCUGUUGUAUUUACCGGUAGUUCAAAAACCGAUAUUGGCUAUAUCCAUGAACUAUGACAACCAAACUGUGAUUACUAAAGUCAACAGUUCCAGGAAUAACAUGAAGUCUACAAGGCAUGUUAAGAUACGAUUAAAAUCUGUCAGAAAGUUGAAAACCUCUAGAGUUAUAACGGUGGACUAUGUCCAUACGUUGAAUAAUCUGGCAGAUCAAUUCACUAAGGGACUAUCACGUAAUGUGAUAGAAAGUGCAUCGAGAGAGAUGGGUAUGAGACCCACAAGUUAAUCUACUGUAGUGAUAACCUGCUCUAUAUGAUUGGAGAUCCUGUGAAGUAGAGUGGUGAACCAAGCUAUGAGUAGAUUGAGAGGAAAGUUCCCUUUUGAACCUAUCUCUGAUGUACAACUUUCCUUCUGUAAGGUAGGUUGGUAUUUACCUUAAUGUAUUCCAAGAGUCUUAUACAGAUGAGAUGUUGGCCUACAGAACAUCUUUUGAGGAGUACAGCUGAGUCAGACUGCUAGUCACACUCUAUGAGACUUGGGUAAUAUCUAAAUACUCAUGAAAGGCACUGAAGUGUGACUUAUAUGCUUCAAACAGCGGGGAUGCCUUGUGCAGCCAAGUAUCAGCAAAGGGCUUAAGUGGAUCUCAUCUCGCACAAAACUAUCAAUUCAAGGCUUAGUCCAUUGUUCAGUUGUGAGUGGGUGAAACUGUUGUUCUAGGUGGAUGUUCAACUUAAUAGUCUCCAUCAAAAUACUGGUAUAUCAAAGAACUGUAGUUCUGAUGCUUCAUCAUUACAAACCCUAGAGUUUGGUGGGGAUUGUUGGAUUUAUUAUGGGCUAGACCCAUUUAGAUUUAAUAAAUCAAUAAACUCUAUAGUGUGUAAUUAUGGACAAUAUAUAUUGUACCAAAUUGGAAGUCCAAGAGUUGGAGUGGUAGUCAGGCUGACUGUACGGGAGUUUCAACUCAAUUAUGUGAGAGUUUCAACUCACUAUUUGUGGGUGUUUCGAUAGAUAACUGAGAGACUUUCAACUCUGCGUGAAAACCCUUCAGAUGCCCGUCUCCUCAGCCGCCAACAGGGAGUCUCUUCCCCUCCUCUCUUCUCUAGCCACAAGGAUAAAUAGGAGACUCUCAUCUCUUUGGUACAAAAAGGAGAGAACACUCAGAACACAGUUUUGUUGCAAAGAAGGAAUCCCCAUCUUGUAACUCCGCGCACACAGAGGAGCGAGAGGGUAGCUGCCUCCGGAGCCCUUGCUAUUCGAGACCUUGCACGGGGGAUCGGCAAUUAGGUUUUUGGGGAGCCUCUACGUGACUGCCUAACUCCAUUGUUGUUGUUCAUCUUCUUCUCGGAGGUCUCUUGGUGUUGCCGGUCGUCGUCUUGUCCUUCCCGGUGAUUGGUUCGUCGUCUUCGCCUUCUUCUGUACUCCAUGGCGAUCGAGGAAGGACAAGGUUCUAGAAAUAUGAAUGUGGGAGUCUCAGGGUAUGAUCUGUUUGUCUUCCCUCAGUUUUACGUCGCUCUGUUUUUGUUUGUUUUAGUAGCUCUGUCGUGCAGGUUCAGAAAUUGUGUCAUAUCUAUUUCAGUAGGACUGUUUUGUUGUUGCGCAAGAUAUCUAUUGUCUGUUCCUGCUAUGUUUAAGUUCUGUGUAUAUGACUCUGUUCUACAGUUUUGUUGUUUCACUAGUAUCUGCUUUUCUGUUUCAGUACAUCUGUUUAUAUAUUUCAAUACUUAUAUCAUGUUUGGUGCUGUUACAAAUAGUUAUAUACCAUGCCAUGCUUUGAUGUUUGAUAUGCUUUAUGGAUCAUGUUUACAUGGUAUAAUUAUGAUUGAUGUCAUGUCUAUAUUUAUCAAUAAUAUCAUAUAUGUCAUCAUCAUAUUUUUAAUUUAUGGAAUUAAAAUGACAUGGAAAUUGCCUAAUAUUCUAAUAGUUGCUACACUAGGAGACCUAGUUGGGCAAACAUGUCGUUUCUUGGAGACAUCUAGCUCCACGUCCACCAUCUCCGGCUGACCCCCGGAUCAUCCAUUCAUGUUAGGUCUACUUGGUAGUUCAUUGUGUGUCUCAUCAUAUGUGGGGCAAGGAGUUUAACUUAACUGAGGUGUUGGGUAUUCUUAACAUCAUUACCAAAAGUAGAUUUAGUUUUCUAAAUCUAAUAACGGUGCCAAAAAUGCCAAACCUAUCCCUCAUACCACUUAAGCCAAGUUGUCAUUGUUGACGGUCCUUAAGUAUCAAAUUUAAUUAACAAAUAAACAAAGAAAAGGAUCCAAAUGAAAUCAACAUCUAGACUUAGGGUUUUAUCUGACAGAAUUCCACGAGUUUUGGUGUUUGUCUAUUUCUGCAGGGGGUUAUUAGGAAAUACGAAAGAAAGGCCCACAUGUCUGGAUUACAUAGAGAUAUCAACGCACCGCGUAAUUUUCUUCCAUCUAGAAGACUCCAGAAGCCACGAGAUCGAAGCGGAGGCGAAACGGGGCCAGGACCUGGGCGCCCGCCCAGUUUCCUUGGGCGCCCGCCCAGUUUCCUUGGGCGCCCAAUCAGGACUCUUUCUCUCGGGAGAUCUCCACCGACCUAUUGGAUCUAGAAUAACGUAGUACCACAUCGCCUACCGACCCAAAAACGCAUAGAAGGGGAGGACUAUAUAAGGAGACCCCCCUGGCCCCUGGAGAAGACAUGAAGAAAUUAUCAUAGAGAUUGAGGGGUGCCCUCGAAGGAAAACCUCUUCUCUAAUAAUAUUUCUUUUUAGGCUUAGCAACCAAUGUAAAGUAGAAAUAGAUCUUCUAGUUUCUACUAGAUUGAGAGAGAUAGAGUGGAGGUGUAGAUCGGAGGAAGGCCAGCCUAUCGGUGUCUACUCCGAGUUGUACCUGCGGGAUCAAGUCUCCUAACCCGAGGCUUGCUUCUAAGAUUCUUCAGUAAUUUGACUUCUAAUUCUAGUAAGUUCUUGUUUUAUUGUUCUUUGGUUUAUGAGUUUACUUUAAUCCUCUUCCGGUUGAGUAUUAGAGUAAUCACUUGCUAGCGUAAACGUGGUGUUUAGGCUAGGGUACUCAUAGAUAUCCCCUGACUAGCUGGACCGUGGUAGUAGCGAGGAACGUGACAUUUCCGAGUUACCUUUGCAGAUCACAUCUCGUUAGCAAGACGGGUAGGUUUAUAGGUGCGGGUCGAACAUCCUUUGUGUUGUCUAGAUUCCGUGAGCCUCCCCAAUAGAAUAGUAGAUCAUCCUUACCCAGGGUUAGAACGAGACUACGGUUGCAGUCUUCUCUAUAUAUCACUCACAUCGAGAAACAUUCUUUGUAGCCUAAAGGGGUAAUAGCAAUAGAUUUGGUUAGUCAGAUGCACCCUUUCUCCCAGUGGUAAAAAUAUAAAUACGAUACUCUAGAAAACCUCCCGGGUGAAAUGCUCACCGAUAUCCGUGCGCUUGCAGAUCAUUUUCUAUUUGCGUUACCAAAUAUCAACAAGCAUUUCUGGCGCCGUUGCCGGGGAGAAAGACGGUUUGCUGAGAUAACUUUGAAUCUUGCUAUUAUCUUGUAUUAUACUUUUAUACUUUUAUUAUUUUAUCUUUUUAUUUUUAUCUUUAUGGAUAACUCAAAUUCCAUACCUAUUAUUGAAUUAUUUGCACCUUCGGAGACUAGCCAUAGACCAUGGGAGUGAACACGUCCUGCCCCUAAUUAUGAUCUGUGUCCGGAGUUGAUUGCAAUAGGUCAAAACCAACCCUUUUCUAUAGCUGAGGUCCUAUCUUUUAAUCAAGAAGAUAAUGCACUUUUAGCUACACCUAGGGAAUCUAUUAAUCUUUCUAUAAAUUCUGGUUUAGACCUAGCCCUACAAGACCAUGUUUUUUCUUGAUAUUUUCAUAUUGGUCUUAAUCAUAUAACCAUUGGUAGAGUCUUUCUUUCUUUAUCUAUUAGUAAAGGAAGGUAUGUCUUCAUUUGUGGACAUCCUUCUUGUACUAGUCUUCAUAGAAAAAUCUUAGAGAUAGAGAAGGAAUCAUCUCCCAUACAAGGAGAGGAAGUUUCAAUAGCUGAUUUCCAAACAUUUCAAUCCCAUGAUUCGGCUAUCCAUCCCAUCCUUAAGCUUAAUAAAUUCUACUAUGCUCUUUCUCUUGAACCUCCCGAUGAUCCUAUGAAUCUCUCUAGACAGCCCAUGCAUAAAAGUUACCAAGACCAUAAGGAGGAUCGAGAAGAGCAACAUCAAUGGCUAGAGGGCAUUAAAAAUCCAUGUGCUAUCACCAUUGAAUGGAUAGAUAAAACAAACUUGAAAGACAAUCCUAGAGGAAUUUUAAGCAUUCAUGAAGAAUCAUCCUUGGAGUUUGAGAAUGAGAGAAACAACAGUGAGCAUGGAAGUUAUUUCAUAAAUACCUUACCAAGUCCUUGCUCAUAUAAAACAUCUCUCCAAUCAAUUAGUCUCUCCAUCCUUACCACAUUUGAGAUCUCCAACCCCCUCUUCCUUUCUUUUUAUAAAAACUUUAAAAGGGCGGUUGUUGAUGCAUAUGUCUAUAAUAAAUAUUGCAGAUCUCGUUGAGUUGAUCUUGAUAUAGGUAGGUGUUGGGGGGGAAACCACUUCACCAACAUAACUUGAUGGUUUCCCAAGGAUAAGCUUAGCGUCCUUAAACAAGCACUUAUCAGAUCGUAACAUGAAAUUAUUUGCAACAUUGCCUUGUGUAUUGAGCAUAUUGAGAUAAUUGUAGAAAUAUUCCUUCGGGUAUUCUUGCCACUAACCUUUCCAGGAUUGGAGCAAGAAGAUCGGAUGAAUGACAAGGUAUGUCCAACCAACCGUCAUACAACGUUGAAUUAAAUUCAUCCAAUCUUGAAUUUUGCAAAAUUCAAGCUUAGGGGAGUACUUUACAUAAAAACAUCCUUUGCCAAGUUGCUAUGUUGGUUGUCCUUACCUUUGAGACAUGCUCAAUUUGUUAAAUACUAAUCACACUACCUCAUCUCCACUUAAGUAGAUCUCUAUAAGCCAUCAUGCUACCUUUGUUUAUCCUAGUAAGCGUUAGUUUGGAAGUACUGCACAUACUUCUAUUGGCUUUUAAAUUAAGCAUGGUGCUUAGGUUAAAUAGCCUUCCUUAAUCUUAUUAGACAUGGAGUCUAGUUCGGUUAUUGAACUAAAAACUGCUUGUGUAGACAUUGGUCUAUUUUGUUGGACUAACCCCUGCAGGAAAACUUUCAAUAUCAACCUGGGAAGUCCUGAGAUAAACUCACAUUGAAGAUGAAGAAAGUGACACAUGAAGUUUAACAAUUUGCACAAGAAAGACAUAGCUCAUUCAUCAUAAAGAGAUGAUCCAUGGAGGGUGCCACAAACACGAUCCACAACCGCUAAGAAAAGGAAAGCUCCCACAAGGUGAUAUUGUACCGUCACUCUUCAAGUAAGGUAACAUCUUAAGGUACUUGACUAUCACUUUUAUAAGCCUCUCCUUGGUUCUGGCGUUCACAUAAAAUAAAGAGACAAACAUGUAUGAUCUGUAACUCCAAAUUAACCAACUCAAUUAAUUCAACAUGUUUAGUCCUUUAAUAUUUGUUCGUAGUACUACCUUUGUGAUCCCACACUCCUAAUCAUAUAAGCUAAAAUGUUGCACAUUCAAUCUUUGGAAGAUAUAAACAAAACAUAAAUAUAGAUAGAUUAUCUUUCCAUUAGGUUGAGCCAUCGGAUCUAACAAAUGUUUUAAAUGCUACACUCAUGAUCCAUCAACUUUUUCUUGCUAUGCUUAAGGUUAGAGAAGAACAAAUACACUUUUGGUUCUGUUGGUGUUUUCCACCAAUAGGGCCCAUGCACUUGAUCUCUGCCUUGUCUCUAUGAGCAGGACACAUUUUGAGAAACGUGAAGGCGUCUUACAACUCCCAGAUUCCAUCAAGUGAAGAACCGGGAUCUACGAGCACAAACACAAUGGAGAUCAGACACUUAGUUUCCCAAAGGAAAUAUUGAAGAACCUCUGUGUCCGAGUUAGUACCUUGUACACUCCAGCAAACUUCAUGGUGAUAGAGACUGGUACUGAGGAGAGGGCACCCAUCAUCUUAGGGAGGCCAUUCCUAAACACCAGAGCUGUCAUCUACGCUAAUGUUGCCAAGAUCAGUUUCUACAUCAAGGGGGAAAAGGAGACUUUCCUUCAAGAACAAGACUACACAAACUUCAGAGCGAUCCCGACAUGAACCAAGGAAGAGGACCAACAGGAGGAAAGCAAAAGUGGACCGAGUCAGCUAAGAUGGUCACUGCAGCUCAAGGAGGUCAAGAUCGUCGACUCAAGUCGCCUUUCCUAAUCAAGAAGGACGACCCUGGUGUUCCAAUCAUUGAGUGCACAAUCAAUAGAUACUCUUUUCAGAAGACACUCUACGACACCGGAUCUGAUGCCAACAUAAUGGCCGUAGUCACUAAUCAGCUCCUGCAUGAAACCAUGCCCCUACAACCAAGAUACAUUCAGCUCCAGAUGAUUUUCAGGUCAUUGACAUGGGAGAUGACGAAUAUGAUCCACCCACCAUCCUUGGAAGACCGUUCCACAACACUAUCAAAGCCAUCAUCUAUAUUGGAAUCGGAGAAGUCCACAUACACUUCUCCUCUGAGAAGGUAUGCCGCUGUUUUACUGACCCUAACUAUAUAGUUGAAAACUCUAAGGAGGUCAGGACAACACGAAGACAACGCAACCGCAACCAGAGGAGGCAAAUCAUCUAGGACGAAUGGGUAGACUACGAAGGAGAAGUGACAAGGUCUGAAGACAUACAGCUUUAACAGAACUGUCCUGAGGAGACCGUAGCACCGAGUCAGGUGUGGAAAGAGAAGAUAGUUAUACACGAAGAGGAGGCGCCGCCGGACUCACCGACUACGCCAUCCAGCAAAUCCCAGGACGACUGAGAAAACGGAGAGUCCCGUUUGGAGGACUUAAAAACACCGAACGCCUUGCCAAGAGGUAAACUUGGUAGUUAUCCUUUUCUCUUCAAUUAUUUUGUUUAGUUAAUCAGGUUCAUAUCAUCUCGAAAAGAAAAUAAAAAUGUUAAAAAACAGUAAGCCCCAUGUGAGUAUACGAGUGGCAUAAAACCCAUAAGUAUAUUCACUGUGGUGGCGUAAAAAUAAAAUAAAUAUAUUCCUGUCCUAUAAAUAUAAAAAUAUAAAAAUAAAUUUACAAUCCUACUAAAGAGAGUAACAUUUAUUGAGGAGGCUCAACAUGAUAAAGGCUAGAUAUCUACGCUAACACUUAACCAGUUCCACAAAGCUUUGUUGUCUAUUUGAGCUCUACAGAAUUCAAGGAUCAAAGAAGACUAGCAGACGGAGGACAUCCUAAUCGCUGUCGGGGUGCUGUCGACUUUCAAAUACACCUCCAUCACCUGCUAGCUACAUCAGAAGAAAUUACGUCAAAAUUCAGCUUGGGGGAGAGCACCACCAUUUAUCUCGCUAAGUAUUUCUAUCUAUCUUUAUACUUAUAUUAUGUUAGAAUAUUAAAAUACAUAAACUAUGAAAAACCCAAAUAAAGAUUUUGUGCUUUUAUAUAUAUAUCUUUGCUUAGUUUGCUAAAUAAAUAAAUAAAUAAAAUUUGCUAUGAACCCUCAUGAUAAGCUCUCUCAUGGAAAUGAUGAAUAGUUGCUCUGCCAUGACUAGUUUUUAAAAUUGAAAUCUCUCUCAAGUUUAGGCAUAACUGUUAUGAAUUAAGAUUUGCUCUAAACCUGAACUUGUGGGAAGAGUACUUGAUCUAAAGUCUAAGUUGUUAACGGAUAUGAUAUGGGAAGGUUGAGCUGCUGUUUAUCUGUUCCUAGAGAUGCUAGAAUUCUGGAGAAUUUUAUCUUUGAAAAUCUUUAAAAUAACACAUGAUGAGUUCCUGUAUGAUGAGAGUUUAAAUUCCUACCACAGCCAUAUAUACAUGCUUACUAGACUUUGAGCCACAUAUUUACUUUUCACUGCUUAUGAGCAUUGAGUGUGGUCAAGCUGUGUAGACCCUUAGGAGCUUGUCAUGUGGUUAAAAUCAAGAUUCACUUGCACGUUCACUCAUACAUGCUACUUCUACUCCGGAAGUAACAUCCACAUAUAUCCACUCACUUCCAUCUCCAGAGCCACCCAAAAUUAUUCUACUCCUAAUCCGGGAGAGAAUAGCCAAAAAUAUUUUCCUAUCCCUGUUAUUCCCUGUGAAAUAAAUGCUCGAGUUAUCUUGGUUACUACCACUUGCUAUAUUAUUUAAGGAGAUGAGUGCUCUAAAAAAAGAGGAAAAAUACGAGAAAAUAAAAAGGGGCAAGUGCCCGGAACCUCGAAGAAAAUAAAAAGUGAGACGAGAGGUAAAAAUGGACAAGUGUCGGACAGUAGAAUUAGGGGUACAAGAUACCCACCUGAGAGGAAAGAAAAAAAGAAAAUAUAGAGCAUCUCAUUCUCCCCAAAAAGCUUCAAAGUGCAAGAAAGGUAUGUAUCCCCUCAAAAGAGCAAAAGUAGAAUUAGACUUUCACCAUUGUUUUCAUCAUUGUUAUUACCAUCAUCACCAUACACCAUUCACUCGCCACACAUGCACAUCUUGAUUUGACUUAUUGACUUGUUCUUCUGGAUCCAUGGUUUGACUAUGCAAUAAAUGUCUUAUAAGUAUGUAUUAGCUGUCUCCCACCUAUGAGCUCCAGAUAUCAGAACCUUAUUAGAGUAGGGUGAGAGAGAAGGCAAUAUCACUAUGCCUCAUACCAAAAAUAUCACAUACUUUGAGAGAAGGCAUAUACCAUUACUGCCUUGGUAAAGAUCCAGAAAUACCACAAAAGAGAGAUCUGAGAGAGUCAUAUAAGGGAUCUCUGAGUUUUAUUUGAAAAUCUACAAAAACUCCAGAGCUAUAUCUGAUCAAGAAUAAGAGACAUGGCGCUUGACUUGACCGUUCUAUCUUUUAACUGCUCAAGACACAAGUAACGGUUACAAGCCCCAUGGUGAAAGGUAAAAUGAGUAAGUUUUAAGUCUUAACAGUUUAUUCUAACUCAGAGAUGAGAUCUUGCUUGAAUGCGUGUGUACUUUUAAGGCAUGAAACCACUGCAGAAACUCUUGAGUCCAUCCUUGCUCAGGGACGAGCAAGAGGUAAGCUUGGGGGAGUUUGUUGACGGUCCUUAAGUAUCAAAUUUAAUUAUCAAAUAAACAAAGAAAAGGAUCCAAAUGAAAUCAACAUCUAGACUUAGGGUUUUAUCUGACAGAAUUCCACGAGUUUUGGUGUUUGUCUAUUUCUGCAGAGGGUUAUCAGGAAAUACGAAAGAAAGGCCCACAUGUCAGGAUUACAUAGAGAUAUCAACGCACCGCGCAAUUUUCUACCAUCUAGAAGACUCCAGAAGCCAUGAGAUCGAAGCAGAGGCAAAACGGGGCCAGGACCUGGGCGCCCGCCCACCUGCCGAGCCCAAUCAGGACUCUUUCUCUCGGGAGAUCUCCACCGACCUAUUGGAUCCAGAAUAACGUAGUACCACAUCGCCUACCAACCCAAAAACGCAUAGAAGGGGAGGACUAUAUAAGGAGACCCCCUGGCCCCUGGAGAAGACAUGAAGAAAUUAUCAUAGAGAUUGAGGGGUGCCCUCGAAGGAAAACCUCUUCUCUAAUAAUAUUUCUUUUUAGGCUUAGCAACCAAUGUAAAGUAGAAAUAGAUCUUCUAGUUUCUACUAGAUUGAGAGAGAUAGAGUGGAGGUGUAGAUCGGAGGAAGGCCGACCUGUCGGUGUCUACUCCGAGUUGUACCUGCGGGAUCAAGUCUCCUAACCCGAGGCUUGCUUCUAAGAUUCUUCAGUAAUUUGACUUCUAAUUCUAGUAAGUUCUUGUUUUAUUGUUCUUUGGUUUAUUAGUUUACUUUAAUCCUCUUCCGGUUGAGUAUUAGAGUAAUCACUUGCUAGCGUAAACGUGGUGUUUAGGCUAGGGUACUCAUAGAUAUCCCCUGACUAGCUGGACCGUGGUAGUAGCGAGGAACGUGACAUUUCCAAGUUACCUUUGCAGAUCUCAUCUCGUUAGCAGGACGGGUAGGUUUAUAGGUGCGGGUCAAACAUCCUUUGUGUUGUCUAGAUUCCGUGAGCCUCCCCAAUAGAACAGUAGAUCAUCCUUACCCAGGGUUAGAACGAGACUACGGUUGCAGUCUUCUCUAUAUAUCACUCACAUCGAGAAACAUUCUUUGUAGCCUAAUGGGGUAAUAGCAAUAGAUUUGGUUAGUCAGAUGCACCCUUUCUCCCAGUGGUAAAAAUAUAAAUACGAUACUCUGGAAAACCUCCCGGGUGAAAUGCUCACCGAUAUCCGUGCGCUUGCGGAUCAUUUUCUAUUUGCGUUACCAAAUAUCAACAGUCAUCCCCAGCAUGACAUGAGAGACGCGGUAUUGAAAUAUGCAAUUGCUCUUCUAAAUAAUGAAUGGGAUCUGCAAGCGCACAGAUUAAUACCGAUGUAGCAUUUUAACCGGGAAGUAUUCCAGGUAUCGUUAUUUAUAUUUUUACCACUGGGAAGGGAUUAACAAUCAUCAAUAUUGAUUACAGAAUGGAAUAUGAGAUUGAGUAUCUAUCAUUGCAUGUAUAAUUGAGAACAUUUAUCUAAUUCUUUCAUACAGGGAUAAGUGUCACAUAAAAGAUAUAUGAAAUAAUGAAUAGUGACAAAGAUAAUUAAUCUGAUCAGCAUAACUUAGCCACAUAAUAAAUAUGAUAAGCACCUCAAUUAGAUAUUCUAGAAAGUCAUUAGCAUGGAAUUAGAACGAACUACAAGAAUAUUUCCUAAGUUAUUCUCAACUAUAUAGUCUAGCAUUAUCAUAGUUAGUGCAAGCAUACUUAGCAAUCAUUGUGAGACAAGACUAUGCCCAUGCAUAGUGAUAUUAGCAAGGUAAACGAGAAACAUAGCAAUCACUCCCCUGUAAUAAUGUUGCUCUGCCUGCCCAAUACAUGAGAGGGGGACUAUAUAAGAAUCAAUGAAGCUGUCACUAUCACGAACUACCCCACGAUCUGGCAUAUUGGGUACAAUCGCAGAUAAAUACGGUAUAAGCACCACGCCUACACAAUAUCUUUCAUUUACCCAUGGAUCUGAUGGAUAAACGCUAUACGAUCCUAAGCAUGUAUAUAAAUCCAAUCUAACUAAGCCAAGUAUAUAACCAUGAUAAACUAAGAACAAUAUAAUCUUGAAUAUAAACAAGUAGAGCAAAGUCAUAAGCAAUAUAUUGAAGUAGAACAAAGUCAUAUUCAUAAUAUUGAAGAACAAAGAUAAUUAGAAGAACACUUAGAAGCACAAUUAGAGAAUUACCAAGAAUCCUCUUGACAGAUCCGGAAACCAAUCGAAGAUUGACUCCUUCUAGUUCUAAUCCUAUGUAGCUAUGCUAAUCUAGAUAUCUAAUUGAUGUGGUGGCUCUAAUCUUGAUCAGAGGCUUCUUCUCCCUUGAGAAUAAUGAAUUAGGGUUGAGAGGCUCUCUCCUCCAGGGGCUAGGGGGUCUGGUUUUAUAGUCCCUUCAAGUGAAUGUGGGCCGUUGGAUCAAACCGACAUUGAUUGAACGGUUAUCCUUGAUCCUUUAGGUCGGUGGAGAUUAGUCCCGAAAGAGAGUCCUGUUUGGACUCCAGGAGGGGUGGGCGCCCAGGUCAACUAGGCGGGCGCCCAGUGCCUGGCCCCGUUCGGCCUCCGCUUCCUUCCCAUGGCUUCUGGAGUCUUCUAGAUGUAAGAUAAUUGCGCGGCACGUUGAUAUCUCUAUGUAAUCCCGACGUGUGGGCCUUUCUUCCGUAUUUCCUGAUAACCCCCUACAGAAAUAGACAAACACCAAAACUCGUGGAAUUCUGUCAGAUAAAACCCUAAGUCUGGAUGUUGAUUUCAUUUGGAUCCUUUUCUUUGUUUAUUUGAUAAUUAAAUUUCAUACUUAAGGACCAUCAACAUGAGGCUCACAUAACUGAUGAAGGCAUCCUUAGUGCCUCCGUGAUAUCGCAAUUUACAUGGGUUGUCGCAAGCGGCACAAGCUCCUUUGGGUACAACCACACACACCAGUUUGUAGGCCUCGAUGCCUCCACAUCCUAUUUUGCAAUGUUGAAGUCAUAGAAGUUGAACUCAAGCGAAUUACAGGGUUCGUCAUCGUUGUUAUGACGACGAGGAGGUUGUCGUCCUUAUCGCAUAUGGUGAGCUCGUCAAUGUUGGCCUUUGAAAGAGCAUCUACCCUAAUGAUUUCGGUGAUUAAUGACAAUGUUGAUUACUGUGACUAACGUGUGUUUUGCAGAGGCAAAGUCAUUAGUAAGGUCAUGGUAAUAGGUACUCGAUGAACAGGGACGUACAUGCCUACUUAAUAGUGGAAAUCGUUUUGGUUUUCAAAGGAUGGAUGGACAUCGUCAAGACUAGACUAGGUCUAGGUGCCAUAUGAUGAAGAAGGGCACUUAGAGUUGUUUAGGACUUUGUUUUCCUUUGACCGUACUAUUAAGAGGGGCUUUGAUCAAGUAGCUUGACUUAGGCAAGGCUUUAGGUUUAGGUGUGGUGCACACUUGGUAACCUAGCACUAGGCAGCUCAGAGAUAGUCCUUGGAUCGAGAGGAACCAACUUCGUUUUGGAACGGUCGCGUUUCGACGAAGUUAGGGUGCCUAAGUAGGCACUGGACGCUGCAUCGGACGCUCUGUGAGUGCGUCCGGUGAGGUCCUUUAGCCGUUGGAGUGUUUGGUGCUUAGGGUUAGGCACCGGACGCUAUCACCGGACUCACCGGGCAGCGUCCGGUCUCAUACCCAGGGAGUAUGUAAACUUGCCCUAAGCACCGGACGCUAGCACCGGACGCACCGAGUAGCAUCCGGUCUUAAACUCAGGGAGUUUGUAAAACUCCUUGGAGCACCGGACGGUGCCACCGGACGCUAGGAAGUAGCGUUCGGUGACCUGUCAAACACAGGUACAGUUAGCCGUUGGGUGUCACCGGAUGCUCGGUGCAGAGCGUCCGGUGCAACAUCAACAGCGUCCGGUGACCCCGUUUUCAGUGGAAAAUAGUUGGCCGACCCUUGAACUUCAUGGGGUGUAUUUAUACUCCUCCACCUCAUCCAUGAGAGGUCUCUUGCCCAUUUGAACAUCUGAGAAACUUGUUGUGGAGCAAGAGAGUAGCAAUAGCCUAGAGAGGAUUGAGUUUUGAGAGAUUUCUUGUGAGAAUCCUUCUCUAGUUGAAUUCCAAGAGUCAAGUGUGCAUCCACCACUCUCUAGUGCCUUGUUUGGGUCAAGUGAGAGUUCUUUGCUUGUUACUCUUGGUGAUCGCUAUCACCUAGACGGUUCGGUGGUGAUUGGAGGCACGAAGACCGCCCAGAGUUUUUGUGGGUGGCUCGUGUCAAGCUUGUGAGCAGUUUUGGGCGAUUCACUGAGACGGAGUGUCGAUGAAUCAGCCCGUAGAGAGCACUUGGUCCUUGCACGGACCAAGGGGGAGCAAGACCCUUGCGCGGGUGCUCCAACGAGGACUAGUGGAGAGUGGUGACUCUCCGAUACCUCGGCAAAACAUCGCCGAACACUUUCUUCCACUACUCCUUUACUUUCUAGCAUUUACUUUGUGUUUUUACAUUCCUAGAAUUGCCAUGCUAGAAUAGGAUUGGAACUAGGUUGCAAAUCUUUUUAUCCGGUAGCUCUCUAGUCACACUAGGCACAAGGGGUUGAAUUGGAGCUUAUAGGUUGCUUAAAUUUUUAGAGAAGCCCAAUUCACGCCCCCUCUUGGGCAUCUUGAUCCUUUCAAUUAGUAUCCGAGCAUAGUGCUCAUUAUUUAGGCUUCACCGCCUAGAGAAAGAUGUCUAACGGGGAUGGACCGCCACCCAUGUUCGAUGGGGAUGACUUCCCGUAUUGGAAAAUACGGAUGGUGUCAUACCUUGAGGCAUGUGACUCAAAGUGCCUAAAAGCCGCGACCGAAGGGUUUACCCCUCCGGCAAAAGACACCGUUGUUACUCCACAAGAACAAGAAAACGAAAAGUGGAAUGCAAAGGCCAAAAACCAUAUCUUUAGAGGUCUUUGCAAAGAGGUGUUCAACCGCGUUCGGAACCACAAAACCGCCCAUGCUCUAUGGAAGGAACUUUGUGCGCUCCAUGAGGGAUCAAAGAGUGAACAUGAGGAACGCUAUCACCUUGUGAUGAACAAGCUUAAUACAUUUGAGAUGCUUCCUAGAGAAAAUGCUAAUGAAAUGUAUUCUCGCUUGAAUGUCAUUGUAGAGGAGAUAAAUGGACUUGGGCUCACUCAAAUGAGUGCGGUGGAUGUUGCAAGAAAGAUACUAUGUGUGCUUCCCAUUGAGAAAUAUGGGCACAUAGUAACCGUGCUUCAUCAAGGCGAUCUCUCCACCGCUACACCAACGGCCAUAUUGGGGAAGAUCAAUGCUCAUGAGAUGUAUAUGCACAUGAACGAGAAGAUUGAAGUUGAAGUCAUCAACUUCAAGUGAUGAUGAUGCAUCCAAGGAGAAGAAAUACUUUGCCCUCAAAGCUUCUCACAAGGGAAAAGCCAAGAAGAUUGAAGUUGAGUCAUCAACUUCAAGUGAUGAUGAUGCAUCCAUUGCCCUCUUGGUGAGAAGAACCACCAAGAUGUUGAAGAAGCUCAACAAGAAUGGAGUCAACUUCGACUCCAAGAAGAAGAAGUUCUUCACAAGUAGCAAGAGAAAGCCCAUCUCCGAGAUGGAUUGCUACAAUUGUGGUGAUCUUGGUCAUCUUGCUCACCAAUGUCCAAAGCCCAAGAAGGACAAGUACAAGAAGAAGAACAAAGAGCAUGAUGACUCAAGUGAUGAUGAGAAGAAUGACAAGAAGCAACACAAGAAGAAAGGUGGCAAGAAGAAGGAGUACCACAAGAAGAAGAAUGGCAAGGCUUACAUUGUUGGUGAUUGCCUCACCGACAUUGAGAGCUCAAGUGGUGACUCCUAUUGAUGGUCCUUAAUGCUCAUAUUUAAUCAUCAACUAAUCAUGGAAAAGGAUCUAAAUGGAACCAACACCUAGACUUAGGGUUUUAUCUGACAGAAUUCCAUGAGUUUUGGUGUUUAUCUAUUUCUGCAGGGGGUUAUCAGGAAAUAUGGAAGAAAGGCCCACACGUCGGGUUUACAUAGAGGUAUUAACGUGCCGCGCAAUUUUCUACCAUCUAGAAGACUCCAGAAGCCACGGGAACAAACGGGAAGGUAAUCGGGCUCGGAGGCAGGGCGCCCACCCUACUCUCCUGGGCGCCCGCCCACCUACAGUGCCCAAACAGAGUCCAAUUCGGGGAUCACGCUCCACCAACCUAAAGGAUCAAGGAAAACCAUGCGAUUAAUGUCGGUUUGAUCUAACGGCCCAUAUUCACUUGAAGGGACUAUAAAACCAGACCCCCUAGCCCCUGGAGAUCAUACCUCUUCUACAGAAUCAAAGUUAGGGUUUCAAUUCUUCAUCCAAGUAGAGAGGAUCCCUCUUGUUCUUCUAGUUCUACCUCUAGUUCAUCUAGAUCUAGUUCUAGUUCAUCUAGUUCUAGUUCUAGUUCCUCUAGUUCUAGUUCUUGUUAGUUCUAGUUGUAAUCUAGAAAAUAGGGAGAGAGAAGAGGAGAGCGGAGGAGGAGGAGCCGGAUCUGUCAGAUCUUCCUCAACAUUGUACUUUUGCAGGUUUGGUUCGUUCUUCAUCGUUCUCUAGGUUCUUCAAUUCAUAAUUCCUGAGUUCUCUAAUUACUUUUAUUUACAUUCAAGUUAUUUAUUGGAUUCCCGCUUGCAUCAAGUGCUCUAAUCUUUGAAACAUUAGAGUAGUAAUUAAUAGAUUAGACGUGGUGUUUAGUCUUGCAAAUACCUGGAAUUGCACCCAAUCCUGCGGAUUGUUGUGGUAGCCUUAGGGUAGUGACAGCCCUAACGGUCGACGUAUUCCACCUCGUUCGGAUCGGUGUUUGUAGGACCGUAGUCGGAGCUUCCUAGCCCCCUUCUCAUCUCUUUCUGUGGUUAGUGUUCUGAUGUCCCGAAAUAGAUAAUCUUGAAGUAAUUCUUGAUUAUUAGAUCAACUAAAGAACUCUUAGGAAACUUCCUCUCUUCCCACCAAAAAUAAUUAUAUAGUUAUCCUUGGGCGAUCUUGGAUCUUAAUUAGUACACUCACGUUCUCUGUGGAAAAUCGAUACUCUGGAAUACUCCCGGGUGAAAGCUACAUCGGUAUCCGUGCGCUUGCGGAUUUUUCUGUUUGCGUUUAAAAUACCCAACAAGCUUUCUGGCACCGUUGCCGGGGAACGGUAGCUGUGCUAGUUUCGAACCAAGUCGUCCGUGUAUCCUUUUUCUUUUCCUUUUUUACCACACUCACCUUAUCAUUUUCACCAAACCACAUGGAUUUCACUCUAAGCAUUAAUGAGCAUGGAAUUUAUUUCAUAUCCACUUCAUUUACUCCACGCUCAUAUGCAACAUCUUCACAAUCCAUUGGUCUCUCCAACAUCACCACAUUCGAGAUCUCCAACCCCCUCUUCCUUUCUAUUCAUAAAAACUUUAAAAGGGCGGUUGUCGAUGCAUAUGUCUAUAUUAAAUAUUGCAGAUCUCGUUGAGUUGAUCUUGAUAUAGGUCAGCGUUGGAGGGGAAACCACUUCGCCGACAUAAAUUGAUGGUUUCCCAAGGACAAGCUUAGUGUCCUAAAACAAGCACUGAUCAGAUCGUAACAUGAGCUUUUAAUUAUUUGCAACACUACCUUGUGUAUUGAGCAUAUAAGGACAAUUGUAAAAAUAUCCCUUUGGGUAUUCUUGUCACUAACCUUUCUAGGAUUGGAGCAAGAAGAUCGGAUGAAUGACAAGCACAAGGUAUGUACAACCAAUCAUCAUACAACAUUGAAUUAAAUUCAUCCAAACUUGAAUUUUGCAAAAUUCAAGCUUGGGGGAGUACUUUAUAUAAAAACAUCAUUUGCCAUGUUGCUAUGUUGGUUGUCCCUACCUUUGAGACAUGCUCAAUUUGUUAAAUAGUAAUCACACUACUUCAUCUCCACUUGAGUAGAUCUCUAUAAAAGCCAUCACGCUAUGUUUGUUUAUCCUAGUAAGUGUUUGUUUGGAAUUACUGUACAUACUUCUAUUUGUUUUUAAAUUAAGCAUGGUGCUUAGGUUAAACAGCCUUCCUUAAUCUAAUUAGACAUGGAGUUUAGUUUGGUUAUUGAACUAAAAACGACUUGUGUAGACAUUGGUAUAUUUUGUUGGACUAACCCCUGCAGGAAAGCUUUCAAUAUCGACCUGGGAAGUCCUGAGAUAAACUCACAUUGGAGACAAAGAGAGACACACAUGAAGUUUAACAAUUUACACAAGGAAGGCAUAGCUCACAAGAGAUGAUCCAUGGAGGGUGCCACAAACACAAUGCACAACCGCUAAGAGAGGAAAGCUUCCACAAGGUGAUACUGUACCAUCACUCUUCAAGUAAGGUAACAUCUUAAAGUACUUGACUAUCACUUCUAUAAGCUUCUCCUUGGUUCUGGCGUUCACAUGAAUAAAAGAGACAAACAUGUAUGAUCUACAACUCUAGAUUAACCAACCCAAUCGAUUCAACAUGUUUAGUCCUUCCACCUUUGUGAUUCCACACUCCUAAUCAUAUUAGCUAAAAUGUUGCACACUCAAUCUUUGGAAGAUAUAAACAAAACAUAUAUAUAGAUAGAUUAUUUUUCUAUAAGGGGAUUAUUUUUCUAUAAGGUUGAGCAAUCUAAUGUGACAAAUGUUAAAUACUACACUCAUGAUUUUAUUAUCCAUCAACUUUGUCUUGCUCACUAUGCUUGAGGUUAGAGAAGAACAAAUACACUUUUGGUUCUGUUGGUGUUUUCCACCAAUAGGGCCCAUGCACUUGAUCUCUGCCUUGUCUCUAUGAGUAGGUACACUUCGAGCAAAAUAUGAAGGAGUUUUACAACUCCCAGACUCCACCAAGUGAAGAACCUAGAUAUAUGAGCACAAACACGCUGGAGAUACUGGACACUCAUGCAAACACUGCCCUGAGAUGCUUGAGGAUGUAACUACUGGAGUAACCCCGUUGUGGAAGUAAUUACUGACCUUCUACUGGUCAAGAGAGACAAUCUAGGACGCCCCGUCAUCCCGAUCUCCAUCGGCAUGGUGGACUUCCUAGAAGCACUCUGCGACUUUGGCUCCAGCGUCAACAUUAUACCCAGGGGAGGCCAUUCCUGAACACCUCGGGAGUUGUCAUCUACGCUAGUGCUGCCAAGAUCAGUUUCUACAUCAAGGGGAAGAAGGAGACGUUUUCCUUCAAGAAACAAGACUACACAAAUCCCAGAGCAAUCCCGACAUGAACCAAGGAAGAGGACCAACAGGAGAAACAAGAACAAGCAAAUGUGUACCGAGUCAGCUAAGAUGGUCACUGCAGCUCAAGGAGGUCAAGAUCGUCAACUCAAGUCACCUUUCUUGAUCAAGAAGGACGACCCUGGUGUUCCAAGCAUCGAGUGCACAAUCAACGGAUAUUCUUUUCAGAAGACACUCUACGACACCGGAUCUAACGUCAACAUAAUGGCCGCAGUCACUUAUCAGCUCCUGCAUGGAACCAUGUCCCUACAACCAACAUACAUUCAGCUCUAGAUGAUUUUAAGGUUAUUGACAUGGGAGAAGACGAGUACAAUCCACCCAUCACCAUUGGGAGACUGUUCCUCAGCACCGUUAAAGCAAUCAUCUACAUUGGAACCAGAGAAGUCCACAUACACUUCCCCUCUGAGAAGGUCAGGACAAGAAGAAGACGACGCAACCACAAUCAGAGAAGGCAAAUCAUCAAGGACGGAUGGGUAGACUAUGAUGGAGAAGUUGUAUGGUCUGAAGACAUAUAACUUGAACAGAACUAUCCUGAGGAGACCGUAGCAUCGAGUCAGGUGUGGAGAAAAAAGAUAGUUAUACAUGAAGAGCAGGCUCCACCGGAACCAACGACUACGCCAUCCAGCAAAUCCCAGGACGACUGAGAAAAUGGAGAGUCCCGUUCGGAGGACUUAAAAACACCGAACGCCUUGCCAAGAGGUAAACUUGGUAGUUAUCUUUUUCCUUUCAACUAUUUAAAAUAGUUUGCUUAGUUAAUUAGGUACAUAUCAUCUUGAAAAGAAAAUAAAAAUGUUAAAAAUAGUAAGCCCCAUGUGAGUAUGCUCAUGGCAUAAAACCCAUAAGUACAUCCACGGUGGUGGCGUAAAAAUGAAAUAAGUAUAUUCCUGUCCUAUAAAAAAUUAAAUUAUAAAAAUAAAUUUAUGAUCCUACUAAAGAGAGUAAUAUUUAUUGAGGAGGCUCAAUAUGAUAAAGGCUAGAUAUUUAUGCUAACACUUAACUAGUUCCACAAAGCUUUGUUGUCUAUUUGAGCUCCACAGAAUUCAAGGAUCAAAGAAGACUAGCAGACGGAGGACAUCCUAAUCGCUGUCAGGGUGCUGCUGACAUUCAAAUACACCUCCACCACUUGCUAGCUACAUUAGAAGAAACUACGUCAAAAUCCAGCUUGGGGGAGAGCACCCCCAUUUAUCCAGCUAAGUAUUCUACUCACGUUUAUACUUUACUCUAAUAAUAAAAAGAUACAUAAUCAUAGAAACCCAAAUAAAGAUUUUGUGCUUAUAUAUAUAUAUCUUUGCUUAGUUUGCUAAAUAAAUAAAUAAGUAAAGUUUGCUAUGAACCCUCAUGAUAAGCUCUCACAUGGAAAUGAUGAAUAGUUGCUCUGCCAUGACUAGUUCUCAAAAUUGAAAUCUCUCUCAAGUUUAGGAAUGACUGUUAUUAAUUAAGAUUUGCUCUAAACCUGAACUUGUGGGAAGAGUACUUGAUCUGAAGUCCAUGUCGUUAACGGAUAUGAUAUGGGAAGGUUGAGCUGCUGUUUAUCUGUUCCUAGAGAUGCUAGAAUUCUAGAGAAUUUUAUCUUUGAAAAUCUUUAAAAUGUUGCAUGAUGAGUUCCUGUAUGAUGAGAGUUUAAAUUCCUACCACAGCCAUAUAUACAUGCUUGUUAGACUAUGAACCACACAUUUACUUUUUACUGCUUAUGAGCAUUGAGUGUGGUCAAGCUGUGUAGACCCUUAGGAGCUUGUCAUGUGGUUAAAUCAAGAUUCACUUGCACGUUCAUCACACAUGCUACUUCUACUCCAGAAGUACCAUCCACAUAUAUCCAUCCAUUUCCAUCUCCAGAACCACCCAAAAAUAUUCUACUCCUAAUCCGGGAGAGAAUAGCCAAAAACAUUCUCCUAUUUAUGUUUUUCCCUGUGAAAUAAAUGCUCAAGUUAUCUUGGUUACUACCACUUGCUAUAUUAUUUCAGGAGAUGAGUGCUCUAAAAAAAGAAAGAAAAAAAAAGAAUACGAGGAAAUAAAAAGGGGCAAGUGCCCGGAACCUCGAAAGAAAAGAAAAAGUGAGACGAGAGGUAAAAAUGGACAAGUGUCCGACAGUAGAAUUAGGGGUACAAGAUACCCACCUGAGAGAAAAGAAAAAGAAAAUAUAGAGCAUCUCAUUCUCCUCAAAAAGUUUCAAAAGGGCAAGAAAGGUAUGUAUCCCCUCAAAAGAGCACAAGUAGAAUUAGACAUGCACCAUUGUUAUCACCAUCAUCACCAUACACCAUUCAUUCGCCACACAUGCACAUCUUGAUUUGACUUAUUGACUUGUUCUUCUGGAUCCAUGGUUUGACUAUGCAAUAAAUGUCUUGUAAGUAUGUAUUGGCUGUCUCCCACCUAUGAUUCUCCAGAUAUCAAAACCGUAUUAGAGUAGGGUGAGAGAGAAGGCAAUACCACUAUGCCUUAUACCACAAAUACCACAUACUUUGAGAGAAGGCAUACACCAUUACUGCCUUGGUAAGGAUCCAGAAAUACCACAAAAGGGAGACUAGACAGAGUCAUACAAGGAAUCUUUGAGUUUUAUUUGAAAAUCUGCAAAAACUCUAGAGCUAUAGUUAAUCGAAGAGCAAGAGACAUGGCGCUUGACUAGACCGUUCUAUCUUUUAACUACUCAAGACACAAGUGACGGUUGCAAGCCCCAUGGUGGAAGGUAAAAUGAGUAAGUUUAAAUCUUAACAGUUUACCCAAACCUAGAGAUAAGAUCUUGUUGAACGCAUGUGUAUCUUUAAGGCAUGAAACCACUGCAGAAACUCUUGAGUUCAUCUUUGCUCAGGGACGAGCAAAGGUUAAGCUUGGGGGAGCUUGUUGACGGUCCUUAAUGCUCAUAUUUAAUCAUCAACUAAUCAUGGAAAAGGAUCUAAAUGGAACCAACACCUAGACUUAGGGUUUUAUCUGACAGAAUUCCACGAGUUUCGGUGUUUGUCUAUUUCUGCAGGGGGUUAUCAGGAAAUAUGGAAGAAAGGCCCACAUGUCGGGUUUACAUAGAGGUAUUAACGUGCUGCACAAUUUUAUACCAUCUAGAAGACUCCAGAAGCCACAGGAACGAACGGGAAGGUAAUCGGGCUCGGAGGCAGGGCGCCCGCCCUACUCUCCUGGGCGCCCGCCCACCUACAGUGCCCAAAGAGAGUCCAAUUCGGGGAUCACGCUCCACCGACCUAAAGGAUCAAGGAAAACCAUGCGAUUAAUGUCGGUUUGAUCCAACGGCCCAUAUUCACUUGAAGGGACUAUAAAACCAGACCCCCUGGCCCCUGGAGAUCAUACCUCUUCUACAGAAUCAAAGUUAGGGUUUCAAUUCUUUAUCCAAGUAGAGAGGAUCCCUCUUGUUCUUCUAGUUCUACCUCUAGUUCUAGUUCAUCUAGUUCUAGUUCUAGUUCCUCUAGUUCUAGUUCUAGUUAGUUCUAGUUGUAAUCUAGAAAAUAGGGAGAGAGAAGAGGAGAGCGGAGGAGGAGGAGCCAGAUCUGUCGGAUCUUCCUCAUCAUUGUACUUUUGCAGCAACUGGUUCGUUCUUCAUCGUUCUCUAGGUUCUUCAAUUCAUAAUUCCUGAGUUCUCUAAUUACUUUUAUUUACAUUCAAGUUAUUUAUUGGAUUCCCGCUUGCAUCAAGUGCUCUAAUCUUUGAAACAUUAGAGUAGUAAUUAAUAGAUUAGACGUGGUGUUUAGUCUUGCAAUUACCUGGAAUUGCACCCAAUCCUGCGGAUUGUUGUGGUAGCCUUAGGGUAGUGACAGCCCUAACGGUCGACGUAUUCCACCUCGUUCGGAUCGGUGUUUGUAGGACCGUAGUCGGAGCUUCCUAGCCCCCUUCUCAUCUCUUUCUGUGGUUAGUGUUCUGAUGUCCCGAAAUAGAUAAUCUUGAAGUAAUUCUUGAUUAUUAGAUUAACUAAAGAACUCUCAGGAAACUUCCUCUCUUCCCACCAAAUAUAAUUAUAUAGUUAUCCUUGGGCAAUCUUGGAUCUUAAUUAGUACACUCACGUUCUCUGUGGAAAAUCGAUACUCUGAAAUACUCCCGGGUGAAAGCUACAUCGGUAUCCGUGCGCUUGCGGAUUUUUCUGUUUGCGUUUAAAAUACCCAACAACUCCUCCGGCAAUGAGAGUGAUGAUGAGAAGGUUGCCGCCAUUGCCAUUGAUGCUUCAUCACCAUCAUCUUCACCACCAUCUACAUCCUCUACACACCUAUGCCUCAUGGCUAAGGGUGACCGGAAGGUACAAAGUGAGGAUGAGAGUAGUGAGAGUGAUAGUGAAUAUGAAUCACCUUCUUAUGAUGAACUUGUAAAAUAGCUAAACAAAUACACAAAAGUCAUAAGAAAGACUAGAAGUGAAAAUGAGAAACUUGAACUUGAAAAUGAAUCACUUCUAGCAAAGCUUAAAUCUAGUUAUGAGCUUAGAGACCAAAAUGAGAUCAUGACCACCAAACUCAAGGAGCUCAAACUCUCUUUAAAAGAGCUCAAAGAAAAACAUGAUAAACUUGAGAGUAUUCAUGAUGAGCUUAUCACUAGAUAUAGAGCAAUGAAGGAAGAGCUAACAACUCUAAAAGCAAACUAUGACAACCUUGAGAUAGCUUAUGAACUUGCAAUUGAUGAAACACAUGUUGCUACUAACCAUGUUGCUAAGCUUGAUGUAGCCACAUCUUGUGAUGACUUACUUGUGGAGAGCACAAGCAAAUGUGUUGAUUGCAAGGGCAAGAAAGUGGUAGAGGCCGAGAGCUAUGAGGACACUAUCAAACUCAAGGAAGAAAUUGUCAUGCUCAAGAAAGAGUUACAAGAGCAAGCCAAGCACAAAACAAUUGUGAUUGAGUCACUUGAUCAAGACAAGAAGCUCGCAUAUGAGAACAAGGUACUCAAGGAAGAAAAUCAAUAUCUCAAGCUUGGUUUGAUGUAUGACAAACAGGAAGAAGAUGAGACAGUCAUCUUAGAUGAGUUAGCAAGCAACAAUGACCCAAUCAUCAAGAAGCUAACUCAAGAGAAUAGCAAGCUCAAGAAAGAGAAGGAACAUCCAACCAAGGGGUUAGCAAAGUUCACAAAAGGGAAGGACCUUCAAAGUGAGCUAUUCAUGAACACCAUCAUGAAGAUGGACAAGAGUGGGAUUGGUUACAAAGCUCAUCAAACAAAGCUCAUCAAGUCACUAACUACUCAUUAUCAACCAAGCAAGCCAAAGCCAAAAAGAUGCUUUGAGUGUGGACAAGAAGGACACUUUCCUCAUGAGUGUGAGGCACCACUACCACCACCCUUGCCCAAGCAUGCUAGACCAUUUGCCUUCAAUGCUCACUACAUUGUAAGGAAAGACAAGAGUGGCAAGGUCAAGGUUAGCUUCAUGGGGCCGCCCAACAAGCAAAGGCCAAAGAAGAUUUGGGUGCCAAAACAACUAGUAGAGAAGGUCAAGGGCCCUAAGCAAAUGUGGGUCCCUAAAUCUCAAGCGUGAUAGUGAUUGCACUCAACAUAUGACCGGAGAUCACAUUGGGUAAUCGAUAGUGGUUGCACUCAACAUAUGACCGGAGAUCCCCGAAUGUUCACCUCACUUGAUGAAGAUGUUGACAACCAAGAGAAGAUCACAUUUGGUGACAAUUCAAAAGACAAGGUCAAGGGUCUAGGAAAGGUUGUGAUAUCAAAUGACAACUCCAUCACCAAUGUGCUCUAUGUGCAAUCAUUAAGUUUCAAUUUGCUCUCGGUUGGACAACUUUGUGAUCUUGGUUUUGAAUGUCUAUUCAAGAAGAAGGAAGUAAUAGUGACCAAGGAGGAUGACAAUGAAAUGGUAUUCAAAGGCUUCCGACAAAACAACUUAAAUGUAGUUGAUUUCUCAUCCGAUGAAGUUGAUGUCAAGACUUGCUUAUUCACCAAGACCUCUCUUGGGUAGUUGUGGCAUAGAAGGUUAGCACAUGUUGGAAUGGGUACACUCAAGAAGUUGAUGAAGAAAUAAUUGAUUAGAGGCUUGAAGGAUGUGACCUUUGAAAAGGACAAGCUUUGUAGUGCAUGUCAAGCCAGCAAGCAAGUUGCAAACACUCAUCCAACCAAGGCAUAUCUCUCUACUUCAAGACUGCUUGAGCUACUCCACAUGGAUUUAUUUGGACCAACCACAUAUGCUAGUCUUGGAGGCAACAUAUAUUGCUUAGUCAUUGUUGAUGAUUACUCCUGGUAUACUUGGACAUUCUUCUUGCAAGACAAGGCCAAAGUUGCAUCCAUAUUCAAGAAGUUUGCAAAGAAUGCCCAAAAUCAAUUUGAUGUCAAGAUCAAGAAGAUAAGAAGUGACAAUGGCAAAGAGUUUGACAACACCAACAUUGAAGAAUAUUGUGAUGAAGUUGGAAUCAAACAUGAGUUCUCCUCAACAUACACACCACAACAAAAUGGGGUUGUAGAAAGAAAGAACCGGACAUUGAUCACCUUGGCAAGAACAAUGCUAGAUGAGUACAACACUUCGGAGAAGAUGUGGGCUGAGGCAAUCAACACCUCAUGCUAUGCAUCAAACUAGCUCUUUCCUCACAAGUUCCUAGAGAAGACACCAUAUGAGUUGCUCAAUGGGAAGAAGCCCGAUGUCUCAUUCUUUAGAGUGUUUGGGUACAAAUGCUACAUCUACAAGAAGUGACAACACUUGGCCAAGUUCCAAAGAAGAUGUGAUAUUGGCUACUUGGUUGGCUAUUCAUCAAAGUCCAAGGCAUAUAGGGUCUUUAACCAUGCCACAAACAUGGUUGAAGAAACAUUUGAUGUUGAAUUUGAUGAAACUAAUGGCUCCUAAGGAGCUAGUGAUAAUCUUGAUGAUGUAGGUGGUGAACCAUUGAGGGAUGCCAUGAAGAACAUGUCGGUGGGGGACAUCAAGCUAAAAGAAGAUGAUGAUGUGCAAGUCAUUGAGCCAGCACCCACCUCACAUGUGCCACAAGAUGAAGACAAGGAUGUGAGAGAUGCCCAUGAAGACACUCAAGUCACUCAUGAGCAAGCGGUGGCACAAGCACAAGAUGUUGAUGCUCCCCAAGCAACCCCUCAAGUGGCGCCAAGAAGAUCAUCACAUCUCCUCCAAGAUCACUCUCAAGAUCUCAUCAUCGGGAGUCCAUCACGUGGUGUAACUACACACUCUAGACAUGCUUUAUUUAUUGAACAUCACGCUUUUGUCUCUCUUCAAGAUGAACCAAAGACUAUAGAGGAAGCUCUUCGUGAUGUGGAUUGGAUCAUUGCCAUGCAAGAGGAGUUGAACAACUUCUCUCGCAACCAAGUGUGGACACUUGAAGAGCGACCCAAAGAUGCAAGAGUGAUUGGAACAAAGUGGGUCUUCCGGAACAAGAAGGAUGAUCAAAGCAAGGUGGUGCGCAACAAGGCAAGGCUCGUGGCAAAAGGCUUUUCACAAGUGGAAGGUCUUGACUUCGGUGAAACCUUUGCACCGGUGGCAAGACUUGAAGCAAUCUGUAUCCUACUUGCAUAUGCAUCUAGUCAUGAUAUCAAGUUGUUUCAACUGGAUGUGAAAAGUGCUUUUUAAAUGGUUAUAUUAAUGAGCUUAUCUAUGUUGAGCAACCCCCUGGUUUUGAAGACCCUAUGUACCCCAAGCAUGUCUAUCGGUUGUCCAAGGCUCUCUAUGGUCUCAAGCAAGCUCCUAGAGCUUGGUAUGAGAGGCUUAGGGACUUUCUCAUUGAGAAGGGCUUCAAGAUUGGGAAAGUUGACACAACACUCUUCACCAAGAAAAUGAAUGGGGAAAUCUUCAUUUGCCAAGUUUAUGUUCAUGAUAUUAUUUUUGGCUUUACUAAUGAAGAUUUUUGCAAGGAAUUUGGUGAUUGAUGUCCAAGGAGUUUGAGAUGUCCAUGAUUGGCGAGCUAUCCUUCUUCCUAGGAUUUCAAGUGAAGCAAAUGAAGGAAGGAGUCUUCAUCUCUCAAGAGAACUACACUCAAGAUCUUCUCAAGAGAUUCAAGAUGAUGGAUUGCAAGCCAAUCAAGACUCCCAUGGCAUCAAAUGGGCAUCUCGACUUGGAUGAGGGAGGUAACCCAAUUGACAAGACUCUCUAUCGUUCAAUAAUAGGAAGUCUACUCUACCUCACCGCAUCUAGGCCCGAUAUCAUGUUUAGUGAGUGUAUUUGUGCUAGAUAUCAAGUAAUGCCUAUGGAUCUCACUUGAUUGUCGUUAAGAGAAUUCUUAGGUAUCUAAAAUACACACCUUGCCUAGGCUUGUGGUAUCCCAAAGGUGCAAGAUUCCAACUUGUAGGCUAUUCCGAUUCGGAUUAUGUCGGGUGCUGCAUUGAUAGAAAAAGCACAUCCGGAGGGUGCCACUUCCUAGGUAGAUCACUUGUCUCUUGGAUGUCAAAGAAACAAAAUAGUGUUGCCUUAUCAACGGCCGAGGCGGAAUACAUUGCCGCCGGUGCUUGUUGUGCACAAAUACUUUACAUGAAACAAACUUUGCUAGACUAUGGAGUAGUACUAGACAAAGUACCUUUGUUGUGUGACAAUGAAAGUGCCGUAAAACUUGCAAACAACCCGGUUCAACACACCUAUACAAAACACAUUGACAUCUGCCACCACUUCCUUAGGGAUCAUGUUGCUAAAGGUGACAUAUCUCUAGAGAAUGUGGGAACAGAAAAUCAAUUGGCGGAUAUCUUCACAAAACCCCUAGAUGAAGCUAGGUUUUGUAUGUUAAGAAAUGAACUCAAUGUGCUUGAUCUCUCUAACUUCUCUAAAAAAUGAAGUUGUGUGUUGACCUUGUAAAUAGCUUUUGUUUUGCAUAUCAUGCAUACCAAAACUAAAAAUACAAAAAAUUGUGUGUAGGGCUUGCCUAACAUGGUUAAGAUAACCCCCUUGUGUGUGUGAAAAAGCUUAACCUUGGAUCAAACUUGACAAGCCUUAGUUUACUUUCAAGUAUUGCAUUUCACCUCAUAUCAUAUGCAUGCUUGUUAGUUGAUCGUUUCUUUUUGGUUAUGCUUUGAGCAUCCGCUGUGUUCGUCCAUAGAUAUGGGGAGCAUUCAAAGCUCAUUAUGAUUUUAAACUCCUAGCUUUAUGGCCACACGAUGCUCCUCGGUGCUUUCUCUUGACUAUUUUCAUAAAAACUACUAAGCCUAAGGCUAAAUAUUUGUGAAAAUUUGAGGGUUUGAGAGAGAUCGCUCAUACCAGUUACAAUUGGUGUUUAUUUGAGUCUUCUUGAAGUUGGAACUUGGUUGGGUAAAAGUCGGACGUAGUUCUAAGUUGAAAAACAAGCCAGAGGUGCACCGGACGAUGCACCGGACUCUCCUGCAGAGCAUCCGGUGUGGUGAGUCUGCUGGACAACACUCACCGGAUGCAGGAACAGUGUCCCUGCAGCAUCCGGUGAGGUGUGUCCGGUGCUCAUCCAGGCAUGCCCUAGGGCACCGGACGCUAAAGCCAGCAUACGGUGGCCAUCGUCCGGUGAUCGGGUCAUCUGGGUUUCUCUCUGUGUUUUAGUCCGGUGGUCACCGGACGCGUCCGGUGCCACAUAAAGAGCGUCCGGUGGCCCCGUGGACAGCCCAUAUAACCUACGCCCGGAGACUUUUCGCGCAGGCAGUUCUUUUUCUCCCGAUCUCCUCUCGAUCCGCCGUCAGCCAAGCCCAUGCCCUAACUCGUUGUGAAAACUCCGCCGCUGAUGGAUUUGAGUUUCCUCUGCGGAUGUUCCUCCCCCCGCGCCAAAUCUGCUCUAAGGAGCCCUCCUCUUUCCUCUCCUCUCGCAGGAAUCCCCAUCUCGCGAGAAGGUUAGGUUUUGGGUGAGUUCUUGGACCCUUGCCCUCAAGGUGUUUGGUUUUAUGUGUCAAUGGAUUAGAACGAGGUUUUUGACCUCGGUUUGCUCCGUUUCAUCUGUGCAGCACCUUGAGGAGUUGAUUCGUGUUCUCCGGUGGAUUGCGUUCGAGAUCUUUUGUCCGGAACACGUCUCAUCUUUGGAUCGUAAGCCGUUCACGCCCGUUCCUUAUCUAAAUCUUGCGAUCUAUAGGGUUAUCUCAUCUCUAGCUAUUAUGUUUGCUUAUGUAUACCCUAUCUAUUCCAUCUCUUGCAGCGCGUUGAUCUCUCUCGGCAGUUUGUCAGUUGCUUAGUUUUUGAUGGUUUCAGAGGCAGUUUUCUUGCAAUGGAACGUUGCAAGAAUGUUAGUGGUCCGGCAGCUAGCACUGGUGGCUCUCCAGGAGGUGAUGGUGGAGGUGAUCCUCUCCGUGUCCUGUCAGCGGUAGAGAAGGGAAAAGGCAAGAAGCUGGCCACCAAGAAGAGGAAGGCAAGUGACAGAGAGGCUGAGGUGGCCGAGGCAGUUGCAGCAGCAGCUGAGGCAGCAGAGAGGGGUGGACGCUCAGGUGUCCUGAGGAUUAGGGCCGAUCUCAUGCCACGGCAGAGGCGUGCAGUUCUUCAGGUUGAGGCGCUUCAUGGAACUCCACCUGGCACCAUCAUGCUAGGGGGUCACCCUGUUCGCAUUGACGUGAGAGAGUCAGCUCAGGAGGACACAAACACCGAGACUGAGACAGAGGUCCAGGCAGAGGGCCCAACAGAGGCUCAGUAGCAGGAGCAGCCCCUCAGGAGGUCGACUCGCACGCGUACCCAGGCCAUCCCUAGGACUGGUACGCAGGGCCAGUCUACCUCCACUGCUCGCCCUACUCCAGCACAUGGUACUCCAGCUCCACGUCCAGCGCCAGUGAGGAUUCACAAGGACUACACCCAAGCCUUCGCUCGAGAGAUCCAGGAGCUACGAUUUGUUCCUUUUCCUACUUGGUUUCCGGCUACCAGAGAUCCGAGAGCCAGUGCCAGAUUCUAUACAGUUGUUCAGGAGGAUCUGUAUGAGGCAUUCGUCCGCUCAGAGGCUCAGUUCAGGGAGCACAAGGUGCUUGACCUUAAGGUGCUUUGGAAUGUGGUCGGUGCGGACAUCAGGCAAUGUUUCACUUAUCUGACCGGUCUCCUAGAGCUGCUUGCUUUACGUGGUACCUAUUGUGAGGAGUGGGUCUGGGAGUUCUAUGCCUCAGUGUGGGUUUCUCCAGACCGUAGCUACAUCCACUACGCACUGGCAGGCACAGACUAUAGGGUGUCAGCUCGGAGGGCUAGAGAGGUUCUUGGAUUGGUAGCCUCUUCCACUCGGAUCCAUCAGCUUUGCUAUGGGGACUUCGAGCCCCCUCGACGACCACAUGGUGGUGAUCUACCACCGGUUGACCUAGUGGCUCCCUGUUUCCAUCAACCCUUUGGAGAGGGCUCCACCAGGAUAGUGGGUGAUUUGACACACCCAUCCAGGAUCCUUGACUUUGUGUUGAGGAAGACUCUCUUUCCCAGGACAGGCUACAGAGAUGGCUUCACCAGGAUCCAGCAGUGGUUAGUGGCUCAUUUGAUUGCUCUGCGGCUGUUUGAUCUGUGGGACUUGAUAGUGUCAGAGAUUGAGGACACUAUAGCAGAGAGCUUCAGGGGUCGUCGUCACCUGCCAUACGCACACUGGAUCACAUUGCCUAUACUUCAUGCUAGGCCAGAGCCUCUUCCAGCUCACCUCUAGAGAGAGCUAUCAGAUGCUGACACUGUGUUCCCCCACUACGACCCCCAACAGAUGCUGAGAGCGCAUCAUGACCUUAGAGCCCCACCACCUCCUCCAACACCAUGUGGCCAGGUGCCACCACCUUCACCGAGGGCUACCCGCAGUUCAGGGGCAGUCCAUGAGACAGAGGAGGAGCAGGACAUAGCCAUUGGGGCAUUUGCAGAUGCUGAGGCUGAGGAGGAGUUUGAGUUUGCUUCGGAUAGCUCAGACGAUGAUUAUCGUUUCCCUGUGCUAGAUCUUCCUCCGAGGCAGCACGACCACGAGGCAGGAGGUUCGUCCAGUGCUACAGAUCCAGCGUUGCUAGCUAUUCUCGAGGGGAUGAGAGCCAAUCAGCGGAAGGCAGCUGAGGAGCAGGCUAGGAGGGAUAGGGAUCAGGCUGCCAUCAAUGCAGCCAUACAGGCCAGGCAGGACAAGCUCCAAAGAUAGUUUCUAGCUUUCCAAGCACAGCAGACUGCGAUGAUGGCGGCUCUUAUGGCUGCUUCAGGGAUUCAGUUGUCUCAAAUUCAGCUUCCAGGCACAUCUUCAGUCAGGCCACCGACUCCAGUAUCUCAGCCGAGUCACUUUCAGAGUUAGUCCCAGCCGCCGCUCCAGCUCCCUGCUCAGAGUCAGCCAUUCUCGACUCCUCAGCACCAGGUCUCCUAGGGUGCUAUUUAAUCUAGCUUUGAGCAGGUACCUUAGUUUACACCUCUGUGCUCUGGAUUUACACCUCAGUCAGCUACAGCGUCGCAGCUAGUGUUGGACUCCUCGAUAGGGUAGCAUAUCAGCUUCUCCUACAGUGCUCUGACUGGUGACCCUACUCCUUCACCUCUGCAGGCUCCUGCAGCUUUUACGGUCCCAGUUACCACUACUGAGCGUCUAUCGUCGUUAGUAGCUUCGUCUGAGCAGCUUGCACCGUCAUCCAUAGUGCUAGAGAUGUCAGCUACAGCGACAGAGUCCGUGUCAGCUUCGUCAGCAGGACUUGAGCAGCCAGCACAGCCCGUGACAGCUUCAGAGCCCACAGAGCCGACUGUUGAUGGUCCUUAAUGCUCACAUUUAAACAUCAACUAAUCAUAGAAAAGGAUCCAAAUGCAACCAACACCUAGACUUAGGGUUUUAUCUGACAGAAUUCCACAAGUUUUGGUGUUUGUCUCUUUCUGCAGGGGGUUAUCAGGAAAUACGGAAGAAAGGCCCACACGUCGGGUUUACAUAGAGAUAUUAACGUGCCGCGCAAUUUUCUACCAUCUAGAAGACUCCAGAAGCCACGGGAAGGAAGCGGAGGCCGAAAGGGGCCAGGCACUGGGCGCCCGCCAAGUUGACCUGGGCGCCCGCCCCCUCCUAGAGUCCAAACAGGACUCUCUUUUGGGAUCAAUCUCCACCGACCUAAAGGAUCAAGGAUAACCAUUCAAUCAAUGUCGGUUUGAUCCAACGGCCCAUAUUCACUUGAAGGGACUAUAAAACCAGACCCCCUGGCCCCUGGAGAUCAUACCUCUUCUACAAAAUCAAAGCUAGGGUUUCAAUUCUUCAUCCAAGUAGAGAGGAUCCCUCUAGUUCUUCUAGUUCUACCUCUAGUUCAUCUAGAUCUAGUUCUAGUUCAUCUAGUUCUAGUUCUAGUUAGUUCUAGUUGUAAUCUAGAAAAUAGGGAGAGAGAAGAGGAGAGCGGAGGAGGAGCCGGAUCUGUCGGAUCUUCCUCAACAUUGUACUUUUGCAGCAACUGGUUCGUUCUUCAUCGUUCUCCAGGUUCUUCAAUUUAUAAUUCCUGAGUUCUCUAAUUACUUUUAUUUACAUUCAAGUUAUUUAUUGGAUUCCUGCUUGCAUCAAGUGCUCUAAUCUUUGAAACAUUAGAGUAGUAAUUAAUAGAUUAUACGUGGUGUUUAGUCUUGUAAUUACCUGGAAUUGCACCCAAUCCUGCGGAUUGUUGUGGUAGCCUUAGGGUAGUGACAGCCCUAACGGUCGACGUAUUCCACCUCAAUCAAAUCGGUGUUUGUAGGACCAUAGUCAGACCUUCCUAGCCCAGGCCUUCUCAUCUCUUUCUGUGGUUAGUGCUCUGAUGUCCCGAAAUAGAUAAUCUUUGAAGUAAUUCUUGAUUCUUAGAUCAACUAGAGAACUCUCAGGAAACUUCCUCUCUUCCCACCAAAAAUAAUUAUAUAGUUAUCCUUGGGCGAUCUUGAUUCUUAAUUAGUACACUCACGUUCCCUGUGGAAAAUCGAUACUCUGGAAUACUCCCGGGUGAAAGCUACAUCGGUAUCCGUGCGCUUGCGGAUUUUUCUGUUUGCGUUUAAAAUACCCAACAAGCUUUCUGGCAUCGUUGCCGGGGAACGGUAGCUGUGCUAGUUUCGAACCAAGUCGUCCGUGUAUCCUUUUUCUUUUCCUUUUUUACCACACUCACCUUACCAUUUUCACCACACCACAUGGAUUUCUCUCUAAGCAUUAAUGAGCAUGGAAUUUAUUUCAUAGCCACUUCAUUUACUCCAUGCUCAUAUGCAACAUCUUCACAAUCCAUUGGUCUCUCCAACAUCACCACAUUCGAGAUCUCCAACCCGUCUUCCUUUCUAUUUAUAAAAACUUUAAAAGGGCGGUUGUCGAUGCAUAUGUCUAUAAUAAAUUUUGCAGAUCUCGUUGAGUUGAUCUUGAUAUAGGUUAGCGUUGGAGGGGAAACCACUUCGCCGACAUAAAUUGAUGGUUUCCCAAGGACAAGCUUAGUGUCCUAAAAUAAGCACUGAUCAGAUCGUAACAUGAGCUUUUAUUAUUUGCAACAUUACCUUGUGUACUGAGCAUAUAAGGAUAAUUGUAAAAAUAUUCCUUCGGGUAUUCUUGUCACUAACCUUUCCAGGAUUGGAGCAAGAAGAUCGGAUGAAUGACAAGCACAAGGUUUGUCCAACCAAUCAUCAUACAACAUUGAAUUAAAUUCAUCCAAACUUGAAUUUUGGAAAAUGCAAGCUUGGGGGAGUACUUUAUAUAAAAACAUCCUUUGCCAUGUUGCUAUGUUGGUUGUCCCUACCUUUGAGACAUGCUCAAUUUGUUAAAUACUAAUCACAUUACUUCAUCUUCACUUGAGUAGAUCUCUAUAAAAUGCUCUCAUGCUACAUUUAUUUGCUUUAGUAUAUGUCUAGGUUUGGAGUAGUUUCAUUUAUCUCUUAAUUAAGCAUGGUGCUUAGUUUAGGAAUGAUGAUCUUACUUCCAAGGGAUUUUAAAUUAAGCAUAGUGCUUAGGUUAAAAUGCCCUUCUAAAUCAAAUUAGACAUGGUAUCUAGGUUGAUUUUUGAGCCGAUAGUAUGCUAUAGUAGACAUUGGAUAUUUUGUUGGACUAACCCCUGCAGGAAAACAUUCAAUAUCGACCUGGGAAGUCCUGAGAUAAACUCACAUGGGAGACAAAGAGAGAGACACAUAAAGUUUAACAAUUUACACAAGGAAGACAUAGCUCACAAGAGAUGAUCCAUGGAGGGUGCCACAAACACGAUGCACAACCGCUAAGAAAGGAAAGCUUCCACAAGGAGAUACCGUACCAUCACUCUUCAAGUAAGGUAACAUCUUAAGGUACUUGACUAUCACUUUUAUAAGCUUCUCCUUGGUUCUGGCGUUCACAUGAAUAAAAGAGACAAACAUGUAUGAUUUAUAACUCUAGAUUAACCAACCGAAUCGAUUCAACAUGUUUAGUCCUUCCACCUUUGUGAUUCCACACUCCUAAUCAUAUAAGCUAAAAUGUUGCACAUUCAAUCUUUGGAAGAUACAAACAAAACAUAAAUAUAGAUAGAUUAUCUUUCCAUUAGGUUGAGCUAUCUGAUAUGACAAAUGCUUUAAAUGCUACACUCAUAAUCUUAUUAUCCAUCAACUUUGUCUUGCUCACUAUGCUUAAGGUUAGAGAAGAACAAAUACACUUUUCGUUCUAUUGGUGUUUUCCACCAACAGAGCCCAUGCACUUGAUCUCUGCCUUGUCUCUAUGAGCAGGUACACUUCGAGCAAAAUAUGAAGGAGUUUUACAACUCCCAGACUCCACCAAGUGAAGAACCUAGAUCUACGAGCACACACACACACUGGAGAUACUGGACACUCAGGCAAUCACUGCCCUGAGAUGCUUAAGGACGUAACUUCUGGAGUAACCCCAUUGUGGAAGUAAUUACUGACCUUCUGCUGGUCAAGACAGACAAUCCAGGACGCCCCGUCAUACCGAUCUCCAUCGGCAUGGUGGACUUCCUAGAAGCACUCUGCGACUUUGGCUCCAGUGUCAACAUUAUGCCUAGGGUACUCUAUGAAAAAUUCUUUACACAUCCUUUAUUAGAAACAGCCAUGUGUUUGUAGCUUGCAGAUCAUACGCUAAGUUUCCCAAAGGGAAUAAUGAAGAACCUCUGCGUCCGAGUUGGUACCUUGUACGCCUAGCAGACUUCGUGGUGAUAGAAACCGGUUCUGAUGAGGAGGCACCCGUCAUCCUAGGGAGGCCAUUCCUGAACAUCUCGGGAGGUGUCAUCUACGCUAGUGCUGCCAAGAUCAGAUUCUACAUCAAGGGGAGGAAGAAGACGUUUUCCUUCAAGAACAAGACUACACAAAUCUCAGAGCAUUCCCGACAUGAACUAAGGAAGAGGACCAACAGGAGGAACAAGAAUAAGCAAAUGUGGACCGAGUUAGCUAAGAUAGUCACUGCAGUUCAAGGAGGUCAAGAUCGUCAACUCAAGUCACCUUUCUUGAUCAAGAAGGACGACCCUGGUGUUCCAAGCAUCUAGUGCUCCAUUAAUAGAUACAACUUCUAGAAGAUGCUUUGCGACACCGGGUCAGGCGUCAACAUAAUGGUCGCAGUCACCUAUCAGCUCCUGUUCGGAACCGUGCCCCUAGAACCGACAUACAUUCAGCUUCUGAUAGCAGAUCAGACAUUCCGAAAGGUUGAAGAUUUUUAGGUUAUUGACAUGGGAGAAGACGAGUACGAUCCACUCAUCCUUGGGAGACCGUUCCUCAGCACCGUUAAAGCAAUCAUCUACAUUGGAACCGGAGAAGUCCACAUGCACUUCCCCUCUGAGAAGGUACGCCACUAUUUUACUGACCCUAACUAUAUAGUUGAAGACUCUAGGCAGGUCAGGACAAGAAGAAGACAACGCAACCGCAACCAGAGGAGGCAAAUCAUCAAGGACGGAUGGGCAGACUAUGAAGAAGAAGUAGUAAGGUCUAAAGACAUACAACUUGAACAGAACGGUCCUGAGGAGACCGUAGCACCGAGUCAGGUGUGUAGAGAGAAGAUAGUUAUACAAGAAGAGCAGGCGCCGCCGGAACCACCGACUACGCCAUCCAGCGAAUCUCAGGAUGACUGAGAAUACGUAGAGUUCCGUUCGGAGGACUUAAACACACCGAACGCCUUGCCAAGAGGUAAACUUGGUAGUUAUCUUUUCAAUAGUUUGCUUAGUUAAUCAGGUUUAUAUCAUCUUGAAAAGAAAAUAAAAAUGUUAAAAAUAGUAAGCCCCAUGUGAGUAUGAUCAUGGCAUAAAACCCAUAAGUACAUUCACUGUGGUGGCAUAAAAAUAAAAUAUAUAUAUUCCUGUCCUAUAAAAAUAAAUUUAUAAAAAUAAAUUUAUGAUCCUACUAAAGAGUGUAACAUUUAUUGAGGAGGCUCAACAUGAUAAAGGCUAGAUAUUUAUGCUAACACUUAACUAGUUCCACAAAGCUUUGUUGUCUAUUUGAGCUCCACAGAAUUCAAGGAUCAAAGAAGACUAGCAGACGGAGGACAUCCUAAUCACUGUCAAGGUGCUGCCAACAUUCAAAUACACCUCCGCCACCUACUAGCUACAUCAGAAGAAAUUACGUCAAAAUCCAGCUUGGGGGAGAGCACCCCCAUUUAUCCAGCUUAGUAUUCUACUCACAUUUAUACUUUACUCUAAUAAUAAAAAGAUGCAUAAUCAUAUAAACCCAAAUAAAGAUUUUGUGCUUAUAUAUAUAUCUUUGCUUAGUUUGCUAAAUAAAUAAAUAAAUUAAGUCUGCUAUGAACCCUCAUGAUAAGCUCUCACAUGGAAAUGAUGAAUAGUUGCUCUGCCAUGACUAGUUCUCAAAAUUGAAAUCUCUCUCAAGUUUAGGCAUAACUGUUAUUAAUUAAGAUUUGCUCUAAACCUGAACUUGUGGGAAGAGUACUUGAUCUAAAGUCUAAGUUGUUAACGGAUACGAUAUGGGAAGGUUGAGCUACUGUUUAUAUGUUCUUAGAAAUGCUAGAAUUCUGGAGAAUUUUAUCUUUUAAAAUCUUUAAAAUAAUACAUGAUGAGUUCCUGUAUGAUGAGAGUUUAAAAUCCUACCACAGCCAUAUAUACAUGCUUGCUAAACUUUGAGCCACACAUUUACUUUUUACUGCUUAUGAGCAUUGAGUGUGGUCAAGCUGUGUAGACCCUUAGGAGCUUGUCAUGUGGUUAAAUCAAGAUUCACUUGCACUCACACAUGCUGCUUCUAUUCCAGAAGUACGCAUCCACAUAUAUCCACCUAUUUCCAUCUCCAGAACCACCCAAAAAUAUUCUACUCCUAAUCCGGAAGAGAAUAGCCAUAAACAUUUCUGUUUUUCUCCUAUGAAAUAAAUGCUCAAGUUAUCUUGGUUACUACCACUUGCUACAUUAUUUCAAGAGAUGAGUGCUCUAAAAAAAGAGAGAGAAAAAAGAUACGAGGAAAUAAAAAGGGGCAAGUGCCCGGAACCUCGAAAGAAAAGAAAAAGUGAGACAAGAGGUAAAAAUGGACAAGUGUCCGACAGUAGAAUUAGGGGUACAAGAUACCCACCUGAGAGAAAAGAAAAAGAAAAUAUAGAGCAUCUCAUUCUCCUCAAAAAGUUUCGAAAGAGCAAGAAAGGUAUGUAUCCCCUCAAAAGAGCACAAGUAGAAUUAGACUUUCACCAUUGUUAUCACCAUCAUACACCAUUCAUUCGCCACACAUGCACAUCUUGAUUUGACUUAUUGACUUGUUCUUCUGGAUCCAUGGUUUGACUAUGCAAUAAAUGUCUUGUAAGUAUGUAUUAGCUGUCUCCCACCUAUGAGCUCUAGAUAUCAAAACCUUAUUAGAGUAGGGUGAGAGAGAAGGCAAUGCCACUAUGCCUUAUACCACAAAUACCACAAACUUUGAGAGAAGGCAUAUACCAUCACUGCCUUGGUAAGGAUCCAGAAAUACCACAAAAGAGAGACUAGAGAGAGUCAUACAAGGAAUCUCUGAGUUUUAUUUGAAAAUCUGCAAAAACUCCAGAGGUAUAGUUGAUCAAGAAUAAGAGACAUGGCGCUUGACUAGAUCGUUCUAUCUUUUAACUGCUCAAGACAUAGGUGACGGUUGCAAGCCCCAUGGUGGAAGGUAAAAUGAGUAAGUUUAAAUCCUAACAGUUUACCCUAACCCAGAGAUGAGAUCUUGUUUGCACGCAUGUGUACCUUUAAGGCAUGAAACCACUGCAGAAACUCUUGAGUUCAUCUUUGCUCAGAGAGGAGCAAAGGUUAAGCUUGGGGGAGCUUGUUGACGGUCCUUAAUGCUCACAUUUAACCAUCAACUAACCAUAGAAAAGGAUCCAAAUGCAACCAACACCUAGACUUAGGGUUUUAUCUAAUAGAAUUCCACAAGUUUUGGUGUUUGUCUAUUUCUGCAGUGGGUUAUCACGAAAUACGGAAGAAAGGCCUACACGUCGGGUUUACAUAGAGAUAUUAACGUGCCGCGCAAUUUUCUACCAUCUAGAAGACUCCAGAAGCCACGAGAAGGAAGCGGAGGCCGAACGGGGCCAGGCACUGGGCGCCCGCCAAGUUGACCUGGGCGCCCGCCCCCUCCUAGAGUCCAAACAAGACUCUCUUUCGGGAUCAAUCUCCACCGACCUAAAGGAUCAAGGAUAACCAUUCAAUCAAUGUCGGUUUGAUCCAACGGCCCAUAUUCACUUGAAGGGACUAUAAAACCAGACCCCCUGGCCCCUGGAGAUCAUACCUCUUCUACAGAAUCAAAGCUAGGGUUUCAAUUCUUCAUCCAAGUAGAGAGGAUCCCUCUAGUUCUUCUAGUUCUACCUCUAGUUCAUCUAGAUCUAGUUCUAGUUCAUCUAGUUCUAGUUCUAGUUCUAGUUCCUCUAGUUCUAGUUCUAGUUCUAGUUAGUUCUAGUUGUAAUCUAGUAAAUAGGGAGAGAGAAGAGGAGAGCGGAGGAGGAGCCGGAUCUGUCGGAUCUUCCUCAACAUUGUACUUUUGCAGCAACUGGUUCGUUCUUCAUCGUUCUCUAGGUUCUUCAAUUCAUAAUUCCUGAGUUCUCUAAUUACUUGUAUUUACAUUCAAGUUAUUUAAUGGAUUCCCGCUUGCAUCAAGUGCUCUAAUCUUUGAAACAUUAGAGUAGUAAUUAAUAGAUUAGACGUGGUGUUUAGUCUUACAAUUACCUGGAAUUUCACCCAAUCUUGCGGAUUGUUGUGGUAGCCUUAUGGUAGUGACAGCCCUAACGGUCGACGUAUUCCACCUCGUUCGGAUCAGUGUUUGUAGGACCGUAGUCAGACCUUCCUAGCCCCCUUCUCAUCUCUUUCUUUGGUUAGUGCUCUGAUGUCCCGAAAUAGAUAAUCUUUGAAGUAAUUCUUGAUUCUUAGAUCAACUAGAGAACUCUCAGGAAACUUCCUCUCUUCCCACCAAAAAUAAUUAUAUAGUUAUCCUUGGGCGAUCUUGAUUCUUAACUAGUACACUCACGUUCCCUAUGGAAAAUCGAUACUCUGGAAUACUCCCAGGUGAAAGCUACAUCGGUAUCCGUGCGCUUGCAAAUUUUUCUAUUUGCGUUUAAAAUACCCAACACCGACCCAGACCGCUUCUCCAGCACGUGCAACUUCAGAGGGUCACUCUACCACCUCCGAGUCGACGGCCGAUGGAUCAUACAACGCAGCUGUUGACACUUGCUAACACCACUUGAAUACUAGGUUGUCAUCCCCAGCAUGGCACUAGAGUGUACUAGGGUAUUUAUGCGCACACAGAUAAUCCGCAAACGCACGGAUACCGUUGAAGCUUUUACCCGGUUAAAGGUUUUAUCGUAUCCACAGGGAAACGGGAGAACCAACUACGCUCUAACUUAACCAAGAUAAGUAAAUAGAUGUAAAUAGGAAACAUGGUAGAAUCGAAUAAGAACAAUAUUAAAGGUAAGAUAACAGUGAGUGAUAAUAUGGGAAUAGAGAAUAGAGCAAUUCUAGUAUAUGGGCGAUGGUAGCAGAAUAGAGAGGAUAACUAUGGUUUCUCUACUUCAAAGGGGUAUGUCUAUGUCUGGGACGAACCACGUGAUAAGGGUACACCACAAAGGAUGCUUAUCCUUAGGCCGAUAAACCCUACCCGUCCUGCUAACAAGAGGUGGACUACAGAGGACCAACAUAACUGUCACCUACGCGGCCUACCACACGACCAGCUAGACAGGGGAUAUCCACAAGUAAUCUAGGUCUAAGCACCACGCUUGCACCUAUACUAUAACUCUCACCUAUAGCGUCCUAUAGAUUAAAGUACUCAAAAGAGUUGUGAACCAGAACAUACAUGAUUAAUAAUUGCAUAAUGAAUUAGAAGUAGAUUACCAGAGUCAUCCCAUGAGCAAGCUUGAUUAGAGCUUGAUCAUGACGAAGUACAACCGGAGGAAGAACCGAUAGGCCGGCCUCUCCUCUAAUCCUCCUUCGCUCUCCAUCUCUCUACUAUCUAGAUCUACACUAGUUUAGAGAAGAGAGGAGAGCUCUCAUCUCUAAACUCUAGCUUUUGCUCUGUCUAUGAAUAAUGAAUAAUGAUCAAGGGGUGCCUCCUCCAGGGGCCAGGGGGUCUGGUUAUAUAGUCCCCUCAAGUGAACCUGGGCCGUCGGAUCAAACCGACAUUGAUUGAACGGUUAUUCUUGAUCCUUUAGGUCGGUGGAGAUCUCCCGAGAGAAAGAGUCCUGAUUGGGCUCCAAGUCAGGGCGGGCGCCAGGGCAGGAGGGCGGGCGCCCUGCCUCUGGCCUCGUUCGGCUUUCGCUUCCUUCCCGUGGCUUCUGGAGUCUUCUAGAUGGAAGAUAAUUGCGCGGCAUGUUAAUAUCUCUAUGUAAUCCCGACGUGUGGGCCUUUCUUCCAUAUUUCCUGAUAACCCCCUGCAGAAAUAGACAAACACCAAAACUCGUGGAAUUCUAUCAUAUAAAACCCUAAGUCUAGAUGUUGAUUUCAUUUAGAUCCUUUUCUUUGUUUAUUUGAUAAUUAAAUUUGAUACUUAAGGACCGUCAACAAACUGAGCUUACCUCUUGCUCGUCCCUGAGCAAGGAUAGACUCAGCAAUGGAUCAGAAGUUGUUGCAAUAUCUUAAAAAUUUGAUGGUACAUAUGCUUUUAAAUAAGAUCUCAUCUCUGAGUUAGAGUAAACGGUCAAGAACUAAAACUUACUUUACCUUUUACCAUGGGACUUGUAACCGUCACUUCUGUCUUGAGUAGUUAAAAGAUAGAACAGUCUAGCCAAGUGCCAUGUCUCUUAUUCUUGAUCAGCUAUAGCUCUGGAGUUUUUGCAGAUUUUCAAAUAAAACUCAGAGAUUCCUUGUAUGACUCUCUAAAUCUCUCUUUUGUGGUAUUUCUGGAUCCUUACCAAGGCAGUGAUGGUAUAUGCCUUCUCUCAAGAUAUGUGGUAUUUGUGGUAUAAGGCAUAGUGAUAUUGCCUUCUCUCUCACCCUACUCUAAUAAGGCUUUAAUAUCUGGAGCUCAUAGGUGGGAGACAGCUAAUACAUACUUACAAGACAUUUAUUGCAUAGUCAAACCAUGGAUCUAGAGAAACAAGUCAAUAAGUCAAAUCAAGAUGUCCAUGUGUGGCGAAUGAAUGGUGUACGGUGAUGAUGGUGAUAACAAUGGUGGAAGUCUAAUUCUACUUUUGCAUUUUUGAGGAGAUACAUACCUUCCUUGCUUUUUGAAACUUUAUGAGGAGAAUGAGAUGCUCUAUCUUUCAUUUUUUCUUUCCUCUCAGGUGGGUAUCCUCUACCCCUAAUUCUACUGUCGGACACUUGUCCAUUUUUACCUCUCGUCUCACUCUUUUUCCUUUCUUUCGAGGUUCCGGGCACUUGCCCCUUUUUAUUUCCUCGUAUAUUUUUUUCUCUUCUCUUUUUUAGAGCACUCAUCUCAUGAGAUAAUAUAGCAAGUGGUAGUAACAAGAUAACUUGAGCAUUUAUUUCACAAGGAAAAACAGAAAUAUUUUUGGUUAUUCUCUCCCGGAUUAAGAGUAGAAUAUUUUUGGGUGGUUCUGGAGAUGGAAAUGAGUGGAUAUAUGUGGAUGGUACUUCUGGAGUAGAAGUAGCAUAUAUGAGUAAAUGUGCAAGUGAAAUCUUGAUUUAACCACAUGACAAGCUCCUAAGGGUCUACACAGCUUGACCACACUCAAUGCUCAUAGUAAAUGUGUGGCUCAAAGUCUAGCAAGCAUGUAUAUAUGGCUGUCGUAGGAAUUUAAACUUUCAUCAUACAGGAACUCAUCAUGCAAUAUUUUAAAGAUUUUUCAAAGAUAAAAUUCUCCAGAAUUCUAGCAUCUCUAGGAACAGAUAAACAGCAGCUCAACCUUCCCAUAUCAUAUCCGUUAACAACUUAGAUUUCAGAUCAAGUUUUUAUCCCACAAAUUUAGAUCUAGAGCAAGCUUUAAAUUAUAACAGUUAUGUCUAAACUUAAGAGAGAACUUCAAAUUUGCAAAUUAGGCAGAGCAACUAUUCAUCAUAUCCAUGCUAGAGUUUUUUUUAUUAAGAUUCAGAUUAGCAUAGCCACUUUAUUUAUUUAUUAAACACACUAAGCAAAAGAUAUAUAUAAGCACAAAAUCUUUAUUUGGUUUUUCAUAGUUUAUGUAUUUUAAUAUUCUAAUAUAAUAUAAGUAUAAAGAUAGGUAGAAAUACUUAGCGAGAUAAAUGGGGGUGCUCUCCCCCAAGCUGAAUUUUGACGUAAUUUCUCUUGAUGUAGCUAGCAGGUGGCAGAGGUGUAUUUGAAAGUUAGCAGCAUUCUGACAGCGAUUAGAAUGUCCGCCAUCUGCUAGUCUUCUUGAUUCUUAAAUUCUGUGGAGCUCAAAUAGACAACAAAGCUUGUGGAACUAAUUAAGUGUUAGGAUAAAUAUCUAGCCUUCAUCAUGUUGAGCUUCCUCAAUAAAUAUUACUCCCUGUUUUUAUAUUUUUAUUUUAUAAAGCAGAAAAGAAAUAUUUAUUUUAUUUUUAUGCCACCACAGUGAAGGUACUUAUGGGUUUUAUGCCACUCGUAUACUCACAUGGGGCUUAGUAUUUUUUAACAUUUUUAUUUUCUUUUCAAGAUAGCAUGAUUAACUAAUAAUCUAUUUAAGGAAAGUAAAUAAUUAAAGGGAAAAGGGAAUGCAGAAAGGAUAAAUAUUUAUAACUACUGAUCUUACCUUUCGGCGAUGGUUCAAUAUUUUAAGUCUUCUUAACAAGACUUCUCACCGUGUUCAUUCUUCAGGUGCGUCAUUUGAUUCAGGUGCGGACCUUGACGUCUGCACCUCUUGAUACGGUGUCACCCAUGUUCUUCGUUUGCCCAGCAGUUCGAAGUGCGGCGUUGGCAGUAACCUGCUCAGUGUGUUUGUGCUCGUAGAUCCAGGUCCUUCACUUGGUAGAGUCUGAGAGUUAUAAAACUCCUCCGUGUUUUGCUCAAAGUGUACCUGCUCAUAGAGACAAGGCAGAGAUCAAGUGCAUGGGUCCUGUUGGUGGAAAACACCAACAGAACCAAAAGUGUAUUUGUUCUUCUCUAACCUUAAGCAUAGUGAGCAAGACAAAUUUGAUGGAUAAUAAGAUCAUGAGUGUAGUAAUUAAAACAUUUGUCAGAUCAGAUCGCUUCAACCUUAUAGAAAGAUAAUCUAUCUAUGUAUAUGUCUUUUUCUUUAUAUCUCUCAAAGAUUGAGUGUGUAACAUUUUAGCUCGUAUGAUUAGGAGUGUGGGAUCAUGGAGGUAGUACUAAGAACAAGGAUUAAAGGACUAAACAGGUUGAAUCAGUUGGGUUGGUUAAUCUAGAGUUGUAAAUCAUACAUGUUUGUCUCUUUUAUUUAUAUGAACGCAAGAACCAAGGAGAAGCUUAUAAAAGUGAUAGUCAAGUACCUUAAGAUGUUACCUUGCUUGAAGAGUGAUGGUACAGUAUCACCUUGUGGAAGCUUUUCUUUCUUAGCGGUUGUGCAUCGUGUUUGUGGCACCCUCCAUGGAUCAUCUCUCUAUGAUGAAUGAGCUAUGUCCUUCUUGUGCAAAUUGUUAAACUUCAUGUGUCACUCUCUUCGUCUCUGAUGUGAGUUUAUCUCAGGACUUCCCAAAUCGAUUUUGAAAGUUUUUCUGCAGGGGUUAGUCCGACAAAAAUAUACCAAUGUCUACACAAGCAGUUUUUAGUUCAAUAACCGAACUAGACUCCAUGUCUAAUCAGAUUAAGGAAGGCUGUUUAACCUAAGCACCAUGCUUAAUUUAAAAGCCAAUAGAAGUAUGUGCAGUACUUCCAAACUAACACUUACUAGUAAAUAGACAAAGGUAGCAUGACAGCAUUUAUAGAGAUCUACUCAAGUGGAGAUGAAGUAGUGUGAUUUGUAUUUAACAAAUUGAGCAUGUCUUAAAGGUAGGGACAACCAACAUAGCAACAAGGCAAAUGUUGUAAAGUACUCCCCCAAGCUUGAAUUUUGCAAAAUUCAAGUUUGGAUGAAUUUAAUGUUGUAUGAUGAUUGGUUGGACAUACCUUGUGCUUGUCAUUCAUCCGAUCUUCUUGCUCCAAUCCUGUAAAGGCUAGUGACAAGAAUACCCGAAGGAAUAUUUUUACAAUUAUCCUUAUAUGCUCAAUACACAAGGUAAUGUUGCAAAUAAUUAAAAACUCAUGUUACGAUCUGAUUAGUGCUUAUUUUAGGACACUAAGCUUGUCCUUGGGAAACCAUCAAUUUAUGUCGGCGAAGUGGUUUCCCUUCCAACGCUGACCUAAAUCAAGAUCAACUCAACGAGAUCUGCAAUAUUUAUUAUAGACAUAUGCAUCGACAACCGCCCUUUUAAAGUUUUUAUAAAUAGAAAGGAAGAGGGGGUUGGAGAUCUUAAAUGUGGUGAUGUUGGAGAGACCAAUAGAUUGGGAAGAUGUUGCAUAUGAGCAUGGAGUAAACAAAGUGGCUAUGAAAUAAAUUCCAUGAUCAUUAAUGUUAUUUUCGUCUCCAUUCUGAAUGUUUAGAGUUCCUCUUGGAUUGGUCUCACUUAUGUCCUCUUCUAUAGUUGGAUGAAUCCCAUCUUCAAAGUCAGUCAAGAACUCACCAUUUGAAAUUGAACCAAAGUCAGAAUUCAUUAAGGCUUCUUCCUUAUCCAUCCAUUCUACACAUUCUAGCCAUUUAGAACUUGUGAUCAGGAAAGGGGAGGUGUUAGAAUUUUCAAUAUGGCUUAGCUCUCCUUUACUUGAUGUGUCAUCCUCGACUUCUUCAUAACAGGAACCAGGACAUUCUCUAAGAGAACCAUUAUUGCGAGGAUUUGAAUUAUCCCUGCUUGAAGGUCUCUUAUGGAACCAGAAGUCUAAACCAUCAGCAUCUGAAAGAUUUAAGGUCGGAAUUCCUUCCUCCCUUGGUGAAUUUUGGGGUAUUGAUGGUUUAGGAUCGAUAGCUAAAGUUUGGAAUUGAAGUGGUUGUGAUCUGGCUAUCGAAACUUCUUCUUCUUGUCUACGAACUGGUUCUGUCUCUUUCUCAGGGAUAUAAAAGCUAGUAGACUUUCCACUUAAUAAAUCAAUCAAAUUCCAAGCUUCACUAGCAGGUAGGUGAUAGAAGGAUCCUCUAGAGGCUGUAUUCAAGGUUUGCUUAUUUUCCCUACUAAGGCCCUCAAAAAAGUGAAUUAGAAGAACUUCUUCUGGAAUAGAAAGCUUUGGGCCAGUGAGAGUAAGGUUAAUAAAGCGGUCCCAUGAUUUCCUAAGAGAUUCUUCUUCCAGUUGUCUAAAAGAAAUAAUCUCACGCCGAAGUUCCGCCACUUUGGAGAUUGGAAAAUAUUUAGAAAGAAAACUACUAUAUAACUCCUUCCAAUCUCCAUGAACACUCCCUACUUUGAGUUUGUACCAAUGUCUAGCUUUUACCGUUAAAGAGAACGGAAAGAGCUUCCAUUUGAGGGUCUCAUCAGACAUUCCUUCUAUGCGAAGGAGGUCACAGACUUGAUAAAACUCUCUUAGGUGUGUGUAUGGGUUUUCCUCACCUUCUCCCGAGAAAGGUUGUUUUUGAACAAAUUCUAUGUAUUCGGGGUCUAUCUCAAAACUAGAUGCUAUGAUAGGCUUUGAAGAUUUUGGUGGUUCGAGAUGUAUGCCCGUAGGUCUAUGAAAUUCAUAGAUAGACAUGUUUGAAUUCAUGAUAGACCAGAGAUCAAGGAUUAGAUAAGAAGAAAGAUUAGCAGAGAUGAGGCAAAGGAUAAAAGGAAAAUAUAUUUUUUUAUAUAUUUUUAUUUAGAAAAUGAUUAAGCUAGUUCGCAGUCAACUCAGCAACCGUUUCCUUGGCAACGGCGCCAAAAAUGCUUGUUGACACUUGCUAACACCACUUGAAUACUAGGUUAUCAUCCCCAGCAUGGCACUAGAGUGUACUAUGGUAUUUAUACGCACACAGAUAAUCCACAAGCGCACGGAUACCGUUGAAGCUUUUACCCAGUUAAAGGUUUUAUCGUAUCCACAGGGAAACGGGAGAACCAACUACGCUCUAACUUAACCAAGAUAAGUAAAUAGAUGUAAAUAGGAAAGAUGGUAGAAUCGAAUAAGAACAAUAUUACAGGUAAGAUAACAGUGAGUGAUAAUAUGGGAAUAGAGAAUAGAGCAAUUCUAGUAUAUGGGCGAUGGUAGCAGAAUAGAGAGGAUAACUAUGGUUUCUCUACUUCAAAGGGGUAUGUCUAUGUGUGGGAUGAACCACGUGAUAAGAGUACACCACAAAGGAUGCUUAUCCUUAGGCCGAUAAACCCUACCCGUCCUGCUAACAAGAGGUGGACUACAGAGGACCAACGUAACUGUCACCUACGCGGCCUACCACACGAUCCAGCUAGACAGGGGAUAUCCACAAGUAAUCUAGGUCUAAGCACCACGCUUACACCAAUACUACAACUCUCACCUAUAGCGUCCUAUAGAUUAAAGUACUCAAAAGAGUUGUGAACCAGAACAUACAUGAUUAAUAAUUGCAUAAUGAAUUAUAAGUAGAUUACUAGAGUCAUCCCAUGAGCAAGCUUGAUUAGAGCUUGAUCAUGAUGAAGUACAACUGGAGGAAGAACCGACAGGCCGACCUCUCCUCUAAUCCUCCUUCGCUCUCCAUCUCGCUACUAUCUAGAUCUACUCUAGUUUAGAGAAGAGAGGAGAGCUCUCAUCUCUAAACCCUAGCUUUUGCUCUGUCUAUGAAUAAUGAUCAAGGGGUGCCUCCUCCAAGGGCCAGGGGGUCUGGUUAUAUAGUCCCCUCAAGUGAACCUGGGCCGUCGGAUCAAACCGACAUUGAUUGAACGGUUAUUCUUGAUCCUUUAGGUCGGUGGAGAUCUCCCGAGAGAAAGAGUCCUGAUUGGGCUCCAAGUCAGGGCGGGCGCCCAGGGCAGGAGGGCGGGCGCCCUGCCUCUGGCCCCGUUCGGCCUCCGCUUCCUUCCCGUGGCUUCUGGAGUCUUCUAGAUGUAAGAUAAUUGCGCGGCAUGUUAAUAUCUCUAUGUAAUCCCGACGUGCGGGCCUUUCUUCCGUAUUUCCUGAUAACCCCCUGCAGAAAUAGACAAACACCAAAACUCAUGAAAUUCUGUCAGAUAAAACCCUAAGUCUAGAUGUUGAUUUCAUUUAGAUCCUUUUCUUUGUUUAUUUGAUAAUUAAAUUUGAUACUUAAGGACCGUCAACAGCAGCACAGUUUCAGGCCGUGCCGAGGGACUCCAUUGCUCCGCCUCCACCUCCUUUGUCUUAGGUUUUUGGUGCUUAAUGCCAAAGGGGGAGAGAGUGAGAGUAUGUUAUUAGGGGGAGCUAGAGCUAGCUAGUGAAGGCUCUUGAUUAUUUUGUGUGCUACUCCAUGCAUCAUGUUUACGUUUAUGCAUUGCAUUUGUGUGAGAUACUCUUGUGAGAUACACUUAUGGUUGUGAGACAUGACCCUUUUUGCUUCAUUGUGAUUUCUUUAUGUCAUGUGUUUGGCUCAUAUUACUUUGCUUCCGCGUUUUUACGCCGUUGUUCUGUGAGCCACAUGUGUUUAUAUCCUGUUGUAUACAUCCCACAUAUAUGGAUGCAGGAUGGUAGACUUGGUUGAUAUAAGCAUGCAUAAUCCUUUUUGUUCUUAUUGUCUCAUGCUUAUAGAAACCAAGUCAUUUGAAAACCUCAUUUCCUUUCAUACUCGAGGUUAUUGUCAUCAAUCACCAAAAAGGGGAGGUUAUUGUCAUCUAGGCCCCUAAUGAUUUCGGUGAUUAAUGACAAUGUUGAUUACUCUGACUAACGUGUGUUUUCAGAGGCAAAGUCAUUAGUAAGGUCAUGGUAAUAGGUACUCGAUGAACAGGGACAUACAUGCCUACUUAAUAGUGGAAAUCGUUUCGGUUUUCAAAGGAUGGAUGGACAUCGUCAAGACUAGACUAGGUCUAAGUGCCAUAUGAUGAAGAAGGGCACUUAGAGUAGUUUAGGACUUUGUUUUCCUUUGACCGUACUAUUAAGAGGGGCUUUGAUCUAGUAGCUUGACUUAGGCAAGGCUUUAGGUUUAGGUGUGGUGCACACUUGGUAAACCUAGCACUAGGCAGCUCAGAGAUAGUCCUUGGAUUGAGAAGAACCAACUUUGUUUUGGAACAGUUGCGUUUCGACGAAGUUAGGGUGCCUAAGUAGGCACCAGACGCUGCACCGGAUGCUCUGUGAGUGCAUCCGGUGAGGUCCUUUAGCCGUUGGAGUCUUUGGUGCCUAGGGUUAGGCACCGGAUGCUAGCACCGGACUCACCAGGUAGCGUCCGGUCCCAUACCCAGGGAGUGUGUAAACUUGCCCUGAGCACCGGAUGCUAGCACCGGACGCACCGGGUAGCGUCCGGUCUUAAACUCAGGAAGUUUGUAAAACUCCUCGGAGCACCGGACGGUGUCACCGGACGCUUGGUGCAGAGCGUCCGGUGCAACAUCAACAGUGUCCGGUGACCCCAUUUUCAGUGGAAAACGGUUGGCCGACCCUUGGACUUCGUGGGGGCGUAUUUAUACUCCUCCACCUCGUCCAUGAGAGGUCUCUUGCCCAUUUGAACAUCUGAGAAACUUGUUGUGGAGCAAGAGAGUAGCAAUAGCCUAGAGAGGAUUGAGAUUUGAGAGAAUUCUUAUGAGAAUCCUUCUCUAGUUGAAUUCCAAGAGUCAAGUGUGCAUCCACCACUCUCUAGUGCCUUGUUUGGGUCAAGUGAGAGUUCUUUGCUUGUUACUCUUGGUGAUCGCCAUCACCUAGACAGUUCGGUGGUGAUUGGAGGCACGAAGACCGCCCGAAGUUUUUGUGGGUGGCUCGUGUCAAGCUUGUGAGCGGUUUUGGGCGAUUCACCGAGACGAAGUGUCGAAGAAUCAGCCCAUAGAGAGCCAUUGGUCCUUGCACGGACCAAGGGGGAGCAAGACCCUUUGCGCGGGUGCUCCAACGAGGACUAGUGGAGAGUGGCGACCCUCCGAUACCUCGGCAAAACAUCGCCGAGCACUUUCUUCCACUACUCCUUUACUUUCUAGCAUUUACUUUGUGUUUUUACAUUCCUAGAAUUGCCAUGCUAGAAUAGGAUUGGAACUAGGUUGCAAAUCUUUUUAUCCGGUAGCUCUCUAAUCACACUAGACACAAGGGGUUGAAUUGGAGCUUAUAGGUUGCUUAAAUUUUUAGAGAAGCCCAAUUCACCCUCCUCUUGGGCAUCUUGAUCCUUUUAGCCUUGAUGAGCGCGUAGUUGCGUGUGGUCUGAGAGAGGGCAUCCCCUAUGGGCAUGCCAUGGAUGUUGCCUAGGUACUUGGUGUCAAUGGUGAUGUAUCUCUGCUUCGCUCGAUGACUAGGCGUCCGCUUAGCCACCGAUAGUUGCUGGGGAUCCUGCCGGUGACCUCGGAUGCAAGAUGUGUAAGACAUAAUCUACAACUAAUCCUUUCUUUCUCUAAUAGUGAUCAUAGGCAGGCAAUAGGUCAGCCCUUGGUCAUAUAGGAGUAUGGCAAUAGGCCUUUCUAGUACAGUAGUGGGUAGAAGCAUACAUCAGCCAUACUUGGUAGGCGGAUGAUGUAUGUGGUGUACUAGGAGUAGUUGGGGCUGUACUCAGCCAUGCCUUGUGUACGUUAUAGUUGGUACAAGGCCUGUAUAUAUACACUAUGUAUGCAAUGAAGGGAAAGCAAUUCAAGUGCCACAUUUCCUGGGUUCAAGUUUUAGCCAGCGCUGAAACUGAGUGUGUGUGUGUGUGUGCCUGAGCUCGGCUCAUCUUCUACCUUGGGUCAGGGUAGAGGAAGAGGGAAGGUGAGUAGGGACUACUCACCAGGUGCUUGUGUCCAGGUGCCAACAAUUGGUAUCAGAGCCGUACAAGCCAUAGCUAGGUCCACCAACCAGCAAUGGCAGAGAGUGCGAUCCGGAACGACAGUGGGGAGGGAGGUGAUCGCUAGCUCUAGCCAGUACCACCGCAGGUCAAAGUACGCGUGGUCAAGGAGUAUGGCGGUAGCAGCUCCUGACCCAUGCUCACCCGCACCAACUAUGGUGAGUGGGCAGUGCAGAUGAAGUGGAAGUUAUGGGUGCAGAAGUGGUAGCGGGCGGUUGAGGAGGAUGACCAGAGCGAGGAUGUCCAUGUGGGGGUCAUGGAGGCGCUCAUGGCCUCAACGUCAGCGGAGUACCACGAGGCGCUGGGCGCCAAGGAGACCGCGAAGCAAGCCUGGGAGAUGCUGGAGUCGCUGCGCGUCGGCUCGGACUGAGCCAAGCAGGCCAGGAUUCAGCAGCUGCGCCAGGAGCUCAACGACAUCCGGUUCAAGUCUGCAGAGUCGGUGGAGGACUUAACUCUUUGUCUCCAAUCUCUGGCCACGUAGCUGGCCACCUACGGCAAGAAGGUGGAGGACGAGGACCUCGUCACCAAGCUGCUAUGCGUCAUGCCGGUGAAGUACUCGCAGCUCGCCAUGUCCAUCGAGACGAUGUUGGACAUCUCCACACUGUCUCUAGAGGAUGUGGCUAGGCGGCUACGGGUGGCAGAAAGCCGCAGCACGGCAGCCCCGGAGAAAGAGAAGCCCAAGUUGCUGCUGACCGAGGAAGAGUGGACCGCGCCCAUGAAGGACAAGCAGCAGAGAUGGCGCAAGGGGCACGGGAAGUAGCCGACGGACAAGAAGAAGAAGAAGAAGAACACCGACCCCAAUGCCUGUAGGCGCUGCGGGAAGGUGGGGCACUGGGCACAGGAAUGCCCAGAGAAGAAGCCAGAGAAGAAGGAAGAGGCCCAUCUAGCUUGGGACGACAGCGACGACGAGUGCGCUUUGUUGAUGGGGGAGUAUUGUGCGUUGCAGGAAGGCAAAGGAGGGGAAGCUGAGGCGGAGCAGCGGAUUGCGCCGCAGGCCGUCGAACUUGACGAGUCACGCGCUCGUUCUCCUUGGAGCGGCUGGUGACAAGCUGGAGCAGAGGUGGUAUCUGGACUCAGGUGCGAGCAACCACAUGACAGGGAGCCAUGCCAUCUUCUCCGAGCUCGAUGAGACAGCCACCAGAAGCGUGAAGUUCGGUGAUGGCUCAAGGGUGCAGAUCCGUGGCCACAGCACCAUCCUCUUUCGGUGCCAGAACGGCGAGCAUCAUGCCCUGAUGGACGUUUACUUCAUCCCCCAGCUGUGCACCAGCAUCAUCGGCCUGGGGCAGCUGGACGAACACGGCAGCGAGGUCCUGAUUCACGAAGGAAUGUUGCGGAUCAGGGACAGGGAGUGGCAUCUUCUCGACAAGGUAUAGCGCUCCCGUAACCGUCUCUAUCUCCUGGAUUUGAAGAUAGAGCAGCCUGUGUGUUUGGCAGCGUCGUGCAAGGAGGAGCCAUGGCCGUGGCAUGGCUGGUUCGGCCACCUCAGCUUCGACGCACUAGGCCGUCUUGGGAAGAUGGUGACAGGGCUGCUGGUGAUCCAGCAUGUCAGCGAGCUGUGCGACAGCUGCUUGGUGUUGACGGUCCAUAAUGCUCAUAUUUAACCGUCAACUAAUCAUGGAAAAGGACCUAUAUGCAACCAACAUCCAAAAUUAGGGUUUCAUCUGACAUAAUUCCACGAGUUUUGGUGUUUGUCUAUUUCUGCAGGGGGUUAUCAGGAAACAUGAAGGAAAGGCCCACAUGUCGGGUUUACAUAGAGAUAUUAACGUGUGUGCCAAUUUUCUAUCAUCUAGAAGACUCCAGAAGCCACGAGAACGAACGGGAGGCCGAUCGGGCCUGGGGGCAGGGCGCCCGCCCUCCCCCCUUGGGCGCCCGCCUAGCUACAGGAGCCAAUCAAGCUCCGCCUCGCGGAUCAUGCUCCACCGACCUAAAGGAUUAAGGAAAACCGUGCGAUUAAGGUCGGUUUGAUCCAACGGCCCACGUUCAUUUGGAAGGGCUAUAUAAGUAGGCCCGCUGGCCCCUGGAGAACAUACCUCUUCUACAAAAUCAAAGCUAGGGUUUCUAUUAUUCAUCCAAGUACAGAGGAUCCCUCUAGUUCAUCUAGUUCUAGUUCUAGUUCAUCUAGUUCUAGUUAGUUCUAGUUGUAAUCUAGAAAAUAGGGAGAGAGAAGAGGAGAACGGAGGAGGAGCCAGAUUUGUCGGAUCUUCCUCAACAUUGUACUUUUGCAGCAACUGGUUCGUUCUUCAUCGUUCUCCAAGUUCUUCAAUUCAUAAUUCCUAAGUUCUUUAAUUACUUUUAUUUACAUUCAAGUUGUUUAUUGGAUUCCCGCUUGCAUCAAGUGCUCUAGUCUUUGCAACGCUAGAGUAGUAAUUAACAGAUUAGACGUGGUGUUUAGUCUUGCAAUUACCUGGAAUUGCACCCAAUCAUGCGGAUUGUUGUGGUAACCCUAGGGUAGUGACAGCCCUCACGGUCGACGUAUUCCACCUCGUUCAGAUCGGUGUUUGUAGGACCGUAGUUAGAGCUUCCUAGCCCCCUUCUCAUCUCUUUCUGUGGUUAGUGUUCUGAUGUCCCAAAAUAAAUAAUCUUUGAAGUAAUUCUUGAUUCUUAGAUCAACUAUAGAACUCUCAGGAAACUUCGUCUCUUCCCACCAAAAAUAAUUAUAUAGUUAUCCUUGGGCGAUCUUGAAUCUUAAUUAGUACACUCACGUUCCCUAUGGAAAAUCGAUACCCUGGAAUACUCCUAGGUGAAAGCUACAUCGGUAUCCGUGCGCUUGCGGAUUUUUCUGUUUGCGUUUAAAAUACCCAACACUUGGUAGGGAAACAAAGGAGGAUGCUGUUCCUGAAGGCCGCCAAAUACCGCUCGGCGGAUCCGCUUGAGCUGGUCCACGGGGACUGUUGAUAUUUGGGAACGCAAUAAGGAAUUGAUCCGCAAGCGCACGGAUAUCGGUGAGCACUUCACCCGGGAAGUUAUCCAGAGUAUCGUAUUUAUUUUUUUACCACUAGGAGAAAGAGUGCAUCUGACUAACCGGUCUAUUACUACUAACCUUUUAGGCACAAAGAAUGUCUUUCGAUGUGAGUGAUAAAUAGAGAAGACUGCAACCGUAGUCUCUUUCUAACCUUGGUAAGGAUGAUCUACUGUUCUAAUGGGGAGGCUAACGGAAUCUAGACACCACAAAGGAUGUUCAACCCGCACCUAUAAACCCUAUCCUUCCUGCUAACGAGAUGUGAUCUGCAAAGGUAACUCGGAAUUGUCACGUUCCUCACUACUACCACGGUCCAGCUAGUCAGGGAAUAUCUAUGAGUACCCCAGCCUAAACACCACGUUUACACCAGCAAUGAUUACUCUAAACUCUACGCGAAGAGAUUAAAGUAAACUCAUAAACCAGAAGAGCAAUAAAACAAGAACUUACUAGAAUUUAGAAGUCGAAAUACUGAAGAAUCCUAGGAGCAAGCUUCGGGUUAGGAGAACUUGAUCCCGCAGGUACAAGCUUGGAGUAGACACCGACAGGCCGGGCUUCCUCCAAUCUACACCUCCACUCUAUCUCUCUCAAUCUAGUAGAAACUAGAAGAUCUAUUUCUACCUUACAUUGAUUGCUAAGCCUAAAAAGAAAUAUUAAUUAGAGAAGAGAUUUUCCUUUGAGGGCACCCCUCAGUCUCUAUGAUAAUUUCUUCAUGUCUUCUCCAGGGGCCAGGGGGUCUCCUUAUAUAGUCCUCCUCCUAUAUGCGUUUUUGGAUCGGUAGGCGAGGUGGUACUAUGUUUUUCUUGAUCCAAUAGGUCGGUGGAACAUCCCGUGCGAAGAGAGUCCUGAUUGACAUCCAGCAGGGGGCGGGCGCCCAGGUCACCAGGGCGGGCGCCCUGGGCCUGGCCCCUUUCGGCCUCCGUCUUCUUCCCGUGGCUUCUGGAGUCUUCUAGAUGGUAGAAAAUUGCGCGGUGCGUUGAUAUCUCUAUGUAAUCCCGACAUGUGGGCCUUUCUUCCUUAUUUCCUGAUAACCCCCUGCAGAAAUAGAUAAACAACAAAACUCGUGGAAUUCUGUCAGAUCAAACCCUAAUUCUAGGUGUUGGUUGUAUAUUGGUCCUUUCUCUUGUUUAUUUGAUGAUCAAAAUUGAUACUUAAGAACCGUCAACAAAUACCCCCAUACUUAGGCUUUUACUCAUCCUCGAGAAAAGGAUGGUUAAGAAUAAUAUCUGGGGUAAAACAUUUUAAAACAUUCUUUAUAUUUGCAGGGUGUUAAAAUUCCACUGUGUACCAUAGUCAGGUAUGUUUAUGGUUAAGAGUAAAGAUCCUUUCUUCUCAAUCCUGUCACUUGGAGUUUUUGUAUAUUUUUGAAAGAAAGUUAGCAUACCUUUUGAUCCUCAUAGGUUCUCUCAGAUCACUCAUUAUCUUUCAUAUAUCUCACUGCGGUUGUCUGAAUUUGCAAAAAUUCUCCAAUAUACUUACUUUGCAUUUAUUGCCUGAUCAAAACGGGAUCCAAGGAGGGGAAUGUCAUACUCUUAGAUCAAAGACUUUGAAAAUUAAAAUCUUUGUCAACUCUUACUGGCAUAUUGCUUAUUAGAGGGACCAUGGGCUAUCAUUUUUUUAAGUGGAUACCGAGGUACCCCUAAUUCUACUGCCGGACACUUGUCCAUUUUUUCUGCGAGGUUGUCGAGCACUUGCUCCUUUUUAUUUCCUCGAAAUAUCUCUAUUUUUGCAUAGCCCAUGCCUCUAAUGCAAUAAUACUUCGGAAGAGUGAAUUUUUCUGAAUAAAUGUCUUGAUCUUAGGAGCAUGAUAAAUCUCUCAACAAGGGUCUAACUCAUUUUGAACAAACUCAAUACAGAGUAGAUAGCUUUUUAUAAUCAUAAUUAAUAUAUUUAGGCAUAUAAAACACUGAGGAUGGUAGCUAGAAUUUUGAAUAUUUUGAAAUAAAUUCUCCAAGCAACAAUGAUAUCAAGAAUAAGAAACUCAUACUCUACCAUCACAUAUUCCAUAAUGAAUUAAGUAACAUAGGGUUUUAAAAUGAUUUUAUAAUAAUUGCAAGUUUUUAGGAAAUAUCACAGAUUGAGAUUAAUCAUGAUUAGAAAUAUUUUAAUCUUUUUAAUUUAUCAUGUCGGAAACAAUAUUCUGCCUAAUCAAGAUAUGUGUAUGUGUAAAGUAAAGUGUGCAGAGUGUGUACCUGAAUCGUGGAGUGGUGUAGUCGGAGUGUGUUUAGGCAUGUCGAGUGAUCUCUCCCAUACUUGUUUUCUGCUUUCUUGCACAAAAAAUAAAGUAGAGACACACGAGACAUAAUAAUAAUAAUAUUCUUUAUUAAUCUUGAGGCAUUUAUUACAAAAGACUAGUAGCAAACUGAUAAUAGCAAACUGAUGAUAAUAGCAAACCUAAACCGAAUUUAAGGACAUAUGACUAAAAUGUAUUGCCUCAUGGUCUAAUCUAGAUAACUUAGCGGCGCUCUAAUUCCUUAAUCUUCUUGUUGGCACUGGCAAGAUCCUGCCUAAGGCCUAGUAUAAUGGUGUUGUGGUUAGAGAGCCGCCUAGUGAGGGAAUUAAUCGAGGACUGGAGAUCUAUGAUAACUCUGUCUAGUCUGCGAACGUCCUCAUCAAUAUCGACUAUAGUCUUGCGACGCUUGGGAGGUGUCUCAAAAGCAUUGAGAGCGUGCUUCGGGGCUGCCUUUGGAGGGAUGAAACGGACUUUGGCUGCUCGAAUCCCUUCAAAGUAAGGCCUUUCCUCCUCUGUAGUGUAGCGUACACUGCUGAUCUCGCCGCUCCGGUUGGUCUUGACUCCAACGACCCUUUCAUUGGGUCUAGGUGGAAGGAUCCUAGUGCCGGUUGGCACCUUGAUAGUGGUCUUUGUCUUGGAUGAUGAUCCUUUGAGGAGUAGGGGUUGUGGCGGUGCGGUGAGAACUGGUUGAGCAUGGUAGGAUUGGGCGGAGCUGCGUUGGCGUAAUGGCAUGGCUUCUAGCUGUCGCUCUGUGUUGGCCGGGACGAGAGCACGGGCAUCGGGGUCUUCCACAGGCUCCAUGUUGAGGUUGAAGGGGAGGACUUCCCAAUCAUCGUGGUACUUCUCGGCCAUUGGAGUAGCAAGGAACUAAUCAAACUCUAAUUGAAGGAGAGAAGGCUUGGUGGCUUGGUGUUUGAAAACUGAGGUCAGGGGUCUGUUUAUAUAGGGGUCAAAAGGUGCCUCUAUGGGUUGUUCGGGUUGCUCCCGUUGACGUGCGUGUGAAACUUUCCAUCCGAGGGAUUAUUCGAAUUACCAUAAGUGCAUUUUCCAUAACAGAGAAAAUCGGGACCGAGGGGGAACAGGAGCUGGGCGCCCGCCCACCUGAGCUGGGCGCCCGCCCUCUCGCUGGCCCCUCUGUGGGCCCACUUUCUCGAGCGCGUUUCUAGAUGCGAAAUUAUUUAGAAAAAUAUAUAUAUGACCCAAAAUCAUCAGACUAAAAAGGUCCGGCUCUAAUUCUCCAUAGGAAGGUAAAAAUGGACUACGUCUAUUUCUUCAAAUUCUUCAUUGGGUUCUAAAAAUAAUUUAAGACGUUGACCAUUUACCUUGAAUAACGUACCUUCGCUAUUUUAAAGUGUGAUAGCUCCGUGGGAUGAUGAAUUAAUUACCUUGAAUGGUCCUUCCCAUUUGCUCCGGAGUUUUCCAUGCCCGAAAAGCUUCACCCUGGAAUUAAAAAGUAAUACCUUAUCUCUGGGUGUGAACUCCUUCUUCUUGAUUCUCUUGUCAUGCCACCUUUUGACUCUUUCUUUGUAGAUCUUUGAAUUGUGAUAUGCCUUCUCUCGCCAUUCUUCCAAUUCUGAUAGUUGCAUUCUUCUAUAAUCUCCAGCAACAUCUAGGUCCAUAUUCCAUCUCUUUAUGGCCCAGUGUGCUUUGAACUCUAGUUCAACAGGUAGAUGGCAAGUCUUCCCGUACACCAAUUGGUAUGGAGACAUUCCGAUUGGGGUCUUGUAUGCUGUCCGGUAUGCCCAGAGUGCAUCGGGUAACUUGUCUUUCCACGCCGUUCCCAUUUCAUUUACUGUCUUCUGAAGAAUAUUCUUGAUUUGUUUGUUGGAAGUCUCUGCUUGGCCACUUGUCUGAGGAUGAUAGGGGGUAGCGACGUUGUGACGGAUUCCAUGUCUUGAUAGAUAUUGCUUGAAGCGUUUGUCGAUGAAGUGUGCUCCUCCAUCACUUAUCACUACUCUGGGGACUCCAAAUCUUGGAAAUAUAAUUUCUUCGAACAUCCUCUUUGAACUGACGUUGUCGGCAUGCUUGCAAGGUAAUGCUUCUACCCACUUGGAGACAUAGUCAACCGCCACCAAGAUGUACUCGCACUUCUUUGAUGGAGGAAAUGGACCCAUGUAGUCUAUUCCCCAGACAUCAAAGAGCUCAAUCUGAAGGUUGUUGGUGAGUGGCAUUGCAUCCCUCGUAUUUAUGUUUCCGUGUCUUUGACAUGGCCCACAUCUUCUGAUAUAUUGCUUCGUGUCUUCAUACAUUGUAGGGCAGUAGAAUCCACACUGCCAGAUCUUUGAAUGUGUACGGAAUGCUCCAUAGUGACCUCCAUAUGGUGAUGAAUGACAUCUGUCGAUGAUCUUCCACCCUUCUUCAGUGGUCACACAUCUCCUGAGUAAGCCAUCAGAGCAUACUCGGAAGAGGUAUGGCUCAUCCCAUAUAUGUGAACGACUUUCUUGAAUAAGCUUCUUCUUGUUUGCUCCUGGUGGUACAUACCCUGAAACCAUAAAAUUAACAAUAUCUGCAUACCAGGGGUCAGACCUGUUAAUCCCGUAGAGCAUGUCGUCCCGGAGUGAAUCAUUGAUGGGGGUUUCCUGUGGACUCUUAAAGUACAUUCUAGACAAGUGAUCAGCAACAGAAUUUUCUACUCCCUUUUUAUCUUUUAUUUCUAAGUCAAAUUCUUGGAGUAAUAAGAUCCAUCUAAUCAGGCGAGGUUUAGCAUCUUUUUUAGUGAGCAAAUAUUUUAGUGCAGCAUGAUCAGUGUAAACAAUUAUUUUAGCUCCAACUAAAUAAGAUCUAAAUUUAUCAAUGGCAAAGACAACAGCCAGAAGCUCUUUUUCAGUGGUUGCAUAAUUAAGUUGAGCUCCUGUCAAAGUUUUACUGGCAUAAGCAAUUGCAUGAUGCUUCUUAUUUUUAGUUUGUCCUAAUACUGCCCCCACAGCAUAAUCACUAGCAUCACACAUAAUUUCAAAAGGCAACGACCAAUCAGGGGGUUGAAUGAUUGGUGCAGAGAUGAGUGCUUUCUUUAAUAAAUUAAAAGAUGUUAGACAUGCAUCAUCAAAUUUGAAAGGAGCAUCCUUGGCUAGCAAAAGAGUAAGUGGUCUAGCAAUAAAUGAAAAAUCUUUUAUGAAUCUACGAUAAAAACCAGCAUGGCCAAGAAAGCUUCGAAUUCCUUUUAUAUUCACAGGUGGAGGUAGUUGUUCAAUUACUUCAAUUUUAGCAUUGUCUACCUCAAUACCUCUUUCAGACACUAAAUGUCCUAGCACUAUUCCUUCUCUAACCAUAAAAUGACAUUUUUCCCAAUUAAGGAUUAAGUGCUUUUCUUCACAUCUUUGCAAAACCUUGUCUAAGUUUUCAAGACAACUAUCAAAAGUUUUUCCAUAAACAGAGAAAUCAUCCAUGAAAACUUCCAUAAUCUCUUCAAUCAUAUCAGAAAAUAUAGACAUCAUGCAUCUUUGAAAAGAAGCUGGUGCAUUACAUAACCCAAAAGACAUUCUACGGUAAGCAUAGGUUCCAUAUGGGCAUGUAAAAGUGGUUUUGCUUUGAUCGUCGGGAUGGAUCGGGAUCUGAUGAUACCCUGAAUAUCCAUCUAAGAAACAGAAGAACGAAUGGUUUGCUAACCGCUCUAGCAUCUCAUCUAUAAAAGGUAAAGGAAAGUGAUCUUUUCUCGUGGCUUUGUUUAGUUUUCUAUAGUCUAUGCACAUCCGCCAUCCUGUGACGGUGCGUUGCGGAAUUAGCUCGUUCUUUUCAUUCAUAAUAACAGUCAUGCCUCCCUUCUUAGGCACAACUUGCACUGGGCUUACCCACUCACUGUGCGGCAAAGGAUAUAUAAUCCCUGCAUGCAGCAACUUUAUAACUUCCUUUUUAACUACCUCUCUCAUAGUGUUAUUAAGUCUAUGUUGGGGUUCUCGAGAGUGGUGAGGUCGUUGUCCCGAUCUUCAUGACGUAGGAUAACUAGCUGAAGAUCAGCCGAUAACUUGCUGCAAGCAGCGAGGAUAACUAGUGCAACCUGACGACACGCACAAGGAGCCAACCACCGUCUCUAUACGGCAGCCUGAACCAAGGAUUCGCCCAACCACACUCUCAAAGAACCAACCUACGCAACCUGAACUCGAGGAUCAGGAGCACGGAUUGGGUGCUGAUGACGCGGCCGCUUCUGUAAUCUCCGCGAAGGAAAACACAAGAGCAAAGGGGUAGAGAUCACUCUCUGAAUUUGUUAGCACACAACUGAACAAAGGGGUUCUGUAUUUCAAUUAUCAAAGUCUUCGAUUACAAUGAGUCUUAGGGGGUAUUUAUACUAGCAACAGCCCUGCUAGAUAGGUAUGAAAACGAAAUAGAAUUUCUGAGGGAAGGCAAUGUGAAAGGUCCCCUCGAAAUGGAUUCCCGAAGUGACUUCGCGUGACUGUUGGCCUCCAGAGCAGUUUCCAAUAAACUGACCAUAACUUUUUAUUGGGAAGUCCAAAUGAUGAACCGUUUCUUGGGUGUGAAACUAGACUCCAAGACCUUUCCAGCAACGUAUGCCAUGCACCACAAAACGCUGUAGAUUGGUACAGUUUUACUUGGCAAGUUGUACCAACAUUCUGUCACGACAGACUGUUGACCUUCUGAGCAGUCUGUACUAAUUCUGGUCUAGAGGCAAUAUGGAGCAUCCAAACUGGUCGCCACUAGAUUUAUUGGAAAGUAGACUCGUCAAGCUUUCCAACAAGCGCUCAUGGACCUUAAUAUCUUUUGUGAGUGAAAAGUUAUGAAGAUUCUUUGCACUGGUCCGUUUUUGACUUGCACUGGUCCGUUUUUGACUUCUUCUGGAACUUGCACUGGUCCGUUCUUCAGGGUCCGAUUCAUCCUUCUCUUCUUCUAUAUACCUGAGUACAAUCAAGGUACAACACUUAGGUAGUAUAUAAUUCUCAUUAAUAUUAAAAUUAAUCUCAAAAAGUAGCGCAUUCACCUCUUGUUGUAGCUUCUUGGCUCGGCUACGUGUAAUUGCUCCAUCAAUGGCUUGGGCUGGUGCCGGCGUAGUCGGUGUAGAGGUUGGUGUGGAAUUAGAGGGAGCAUGCUUGGUUGGGAUGUCCUCAUCAUCCUCCCCCUCUUGAAAAGGAGUCGACCUCGACUCUAAUUCUUCUAAUCCGAAGAAUGGUGUCAAGUCAGCAACAUUGAAGGUUGUGCUAACACCAUAAUCUUCAGGAAGCUCAAUCUUGUAGGCAUUAUCAUUGAUCCUGGACAGCACUCUGAAUGGACCAUCUCCCCGUGGCAUCAACUUGGAUUUACGCUUGUCAGGAAAGCGGUCUUUGCGAAGAUGUACCCACACUAAAUCUCCGGGCUCAAAUAUCACCUUCUUGCGAUGCUUGUUUGCCCAAUCAGCAUAGUACUUGGACCUUCUUUCGAUUGCUUCUUUGGUCUUCUCAUGAAUCUUCUUGACAUAUGAUGCACGCUUGGAUGCUUCCAUGUUAAUCCUUUUCUGCAAUGGUAGAGGCAACAAAUCGAUCGGAGCAAGGGGUUUGAAUCCAUACACAACUUCAAAAGGACACAUAUUAGUUGUAGAAUGUACUGCCCUGUUGUAAGCGAAUUCCACAUGUGGCAAGCACUCUUCCCACUCCUUCAGGUUCUUCUUUAUCAAGGCUCGUUGCAGCAUAGAAAGUGUUCUAUUCACAACUUCAGUUUGUCCAUCCGUUUGAGGAUGACAAGUGGUGGAAAACAGCAGCCUUGUUCCAAGCUUUGCCCACAAUGUCUUCCAAAAGUAGCUCAAGAACUUGGUGUCACGGUCUGAAACAAUUGUUUUGGGCACGCCGUGUAAUCUUACAAUAUCCCUGAAAAAUAGAGAGGCUACGUGGGAAGCAUCAUCGCUUUUAUGACAAGGUAUAAAAUGUGCCAUUUUAGAGAACCUAUCAACAACAACAAAAAUUGAAUCCAUUCCCCUCUUUGUCCUAGGUAAACCCAAAACAAAAUCCACGCUAAUAUCUUCCCAAGGGGUAUUAGGAAUAGGCAAGGGAGUAUAUAAUCCAUGAGGGUUCAGUUUUGACUUAGCUUUGUGACAUGUGAUGCAUCUUUGCACAAGUCGUUGAACAUCUCUUCUCAUCUUUGGCCAGUAGAAGUGAUCAGCUAGCAUCUCAUAUGUCUUUCUCCAUCCAAAGUGACCCAUCAAUCCACCCGCAUGUGUUUCCUGUAGCAACAAAAGCCUAACAGAGCAGUGGGGUACACACAAUUUGUUAGCUCGAAACAAAAAUCCAUCAUGUAUAUGAUAUUUUUCCCACCCUUUUCCAGUUGUACAGUUUGCAAAUGGUUCUGAAAAUUCAUGAUCAGUAGGGUACAAUUCUUUUAUGCUUUCAAGUCCUGGAACCUUGACAUCUAGUAGAUUCAACAAAACAUUUUUACGUGACAAAGCAUCAGCAACAAUGUUUUCUUUACCUUUCUUAUAUUUCACAACAUAUGGAAAAGUUUCAAUGAAUUCAACCCAUUUGGCAUGUCUACGAUUCAGUUUUGCUUGCCCCUUUAAAUAUUUCAAAGCCUCAUGAUCUGAAUGAAUAACAAAUUCUUUUGGCCAUAAAUAAUGUUGCCAAGUCUCAAGAGCUCUUACCAAGGCAUACAAUUCUUUGUCAUACACCGAGUAGUUCAGUUGCGCACCUCCUAACUUUUCACUGAAGUAUGCAACCGGCUGUCCAUUUUGCAUUAGGACACCACCGAUUCCGAUCCCACUUGCAUCACAUUCAACCUCAAAGGUUUUAGUGAAAUCUGGUAACACUAGCAAGGGGGCUUCGGAUAGCCUCUUCUUCAAUUCUUGGAAUGCUCUCUCUUGUGGUUCACCCCAUUGGAAGGCAACACCUUUCUUUGUUAACUCAUUCAACGGAGCAACUAUGGUGCUGAAAUCUCUCACAAAUCUCCUGUAAAAACCAGCAAGUCCAUGAAAACUUCUCACCUGACUCACAUUUUCAGGAGUUGGCCAAUCCUUGAUUGCUUUCACCUUUGAUUCAUCAACCUGAAUUCCUGAACCUGAAACAACAAAACCAAGAAACACAACCUGAUCUGUACAAAAUGUGCACUUCUCAAGGUUAGCAAAUAAUUUUUCUUUUCUUAGCACAUCCAAAACUUGCUUAAUAUGAUCAACAUGUUCCUCCAAUGUCUUGCUGUAAAUUAGAAUAUCAUCAAAGUAAACAACAACAAACUUUCCAAUGAAUGCUCGCAAGACAUGGUUCAUUAAUCUCAUGAACGUACUAGGGGCAUUGGUCAAACCAAAAGGCAUAACUAACCAUUCAUACAGCCCAAACUUUGUUUUAAAAGCAGUUUUCCAUUCAUCUCCAAUCUUCAUUCUAAUUUGAUGGUAACCACUUCUCAAAUCAAUUUUAGAAAACAUCAUAGAACCACUCAAUUCAUCAAGCAUAUCAUCUAGCCUAGGAAUAGGAUGACGAUAACGAACGGUGAUGUUGUUUAUGGCUCUACAAUCUACACACAUCCUCCAAGAACCAUCUUUCUUUGGCACCAAAAUCACAGGAACAGCACAAGGACUUAAACUUUCUCGCACAUAUCCUUUAUCUAAAAGUUCUUGUACUUGCCUUUGAAUCUCCUUGGUUUCUUCCGGAUUGGUGCGGUACGCCGGACAGUUUGGAAGUGCAGCUCCAGGGAUGAGAUCAAUUUGAUGUUCAAUACCGCGCAAAGGAUGAAGUCCAGCAGGUGUUUCCUUUGGAAAAACAUCGACAUAGUCCUGCAAAACAUGUGCAACAACACUAGGGACAGAUGUUAAGUCAUUAGCUGAAAGCAAUGUGUCCUUGCACACAAGUACAAAUAGUACUUGAUCUGGGUUUUUCCUCACAUCUCUCAUUUCAGAUUUGGUGGCUAUCAUCACGAAGUUCUCUCCCUCUCUUUUUCUGUCAUCUCUCAUAUUUGGCUUGUGGCUCUCACUCACUGAUUUGUGGAGGGCACUCAAAUUAUUUUUCUCUCCUUCUUUUGCACUCUCAUUUCUCACUUCGGAGCUCUUUUGCAAGUGCUCAGCUAGGAUUUGCUGCGGUGUCAUGGGUUUCAGAAUCAACUCCUUGUUCUUCCACUUGAUGGUGUAUUGAUUGGUUCUACCACAAUGUAGAGAUGAUCGAUCAUAUUGCCAUGGUCUUCCCAACAGCAUGUGGCACACUGUCAUAGGCGCCACAUCGCACUCUACAGUGUCAAUAUAUUCACCAAUCUUGAAUGGAACUUUCACUCUUUGUGCAAUCUUAAUAGAACCUGAAUUAUUAAGCCAUUGCACAUGAUAUGGAUGGGGAUGUUUCAGCAGCUUCAACCCAAGCUUUUCAACCAUUUCUUUGCUUGCAAGAUUGUGGCAACUGCCACCAUCAAUGAUCACUUUGACAACCUUAUCUUGCACUUUAACUCUAGUCUGAAAAAGAUUGUGUCGCUGUCCAUUUUCAGCAUCGCUCAUUUGUACACUCAAAAUCUGAGUUACAACAAGAGCAGCACCAGAUUCAAAUUCACAGAUGUCCUUCUCAAGAUUACUCUCACUUCCACUAUCUACUUGUUCUUCCUCACUAGUAGAUUCAUACUCCCCUUGAUCAUUCACAAUGAUGGUUCUAGCGUUUGGACACUCUCUUGCAACAUGACCACGACCACCACACUUGAAGCACUGAAUUCCACUACUCUUGCUGGAAGAACCCACUGAGUUUGCUGAUUUGAAUUUCUCAUUUUGAGCAGCCAACUCUUUGCUACUAGAAGAACCAAGGUUGCUAGAUCGUGCACCACCAUUUGAGCUGGAAAAUGUACCUUUACUUCCACUUCCUUUGGGUGCAAAUUUACUUCCACUUGCUGCACUUUUUGUGUUGAAAGAUACUCCUCUAGUGGACUUCAUAUCCUGCUGCAAUUGCCGCUCAGCUUUGUUAGCUUGAUGCACUAAUUCAACAAGAUUACGAUAUUGCUGAAAUUCAACAAUGCGCUGAAUAUUCCGAUGCAGCUCUGACAUAAAUCUUGCAAUUGUUUGCUCUUCAUCUUCAAUUACAUUGGCUCUAAUCAUCGCCUUCUCCAUCUCUUUAUAAUAAUCAUCAACACUGAGGCUUCCUUGCUUCAGAUUUUGUAGCUUGUCAAAUAAAUCACGGCGAUAAUGUUUGGGGACAAAUCUUGCUCUCAGUUCUCUCUUCAUUUCAGCCCAUGAACGAACAUCACCUUGACCAGCUUCUUCUCUUUCAUUCAACAUUUGCUCCCACCAGAUUAGAGCAUACCCAUCGAACUCAAGAGCAGCCAUGGCAACCUUCUUUCUCUCAGAAUAAUUAUGCACACGAAAAAUUUUAUGCACCUUCAACUCCCAUGUAAGAUAUGCUUCAGGAUCAGAUCCUCCUUCAAACUGGGGCAUGGUGAAUUUUAACUUGCCAAACCUCUCUUCAUUGUGCUGAUUACGCCUACAAUUUCUUCGGUGACGACGAUCAUCAUAAUGGGGCUGUUCAUCCUCUUCUUCAGUAUCACUUUCUUCCAAUCCAAUACCUCUCCCAUGUCCAUGACCAGCACCUCUACCACCAUGAUCACGUCGUGGAAAAGGAGGUCUUCUUGCAUUGGCAGCAGCUCGCUCUCUACGCCGUUCCCUUGCACGACGAGCAGCUUCUCCUUCGCUUUCUUCAUCUUCAUCUUCAUGGUGACUGCCAUUUGCAUUAUCAUGAGGAUGAAUUUGCAACCGGUUCAUGAGUGCUUGAACAUUGUUUGUUAGCGUCUCCAUGCUUUGUUUCAUCUCAUCGAAUUGUGCCAUGGUGACACAAUCAUCAAUCUCCGGAUGCUCAGCCAUCUUGCUGCAAAAAAUUAGUGAAGGCAAAGCAACAAUAUAUAUAGAAUAGGGAAUUAUAUGUGGAAUCUCACAAUCUCACCACUCUUACCAACCGAAGCUCAUGUGAGUUCCCUGCAGAUUACAACGGCCAAUGCGAGGUGGUAACCGAGAAUGAUGGUUGGGAGAAUCCAAGAUCAGUAUUUUCCUAUGACGGUGGGUUAUUUGUGGAGCUUGGUGGGGAUAUAUUUCUCAAGGAAUGCAAUCUGAAUUCUUGAUAUUGUAAAGUUAAACCACAAUCCAAACUAGAAGUUCAAUGCCUAGUGCUGACCACAAGAUAUGAGUGAUGUAAAUAGAUCAAACACACGCGCAAAGAUAAUUCAGAUUUGAUGCAAACAAGGAGUAUGCCUAGGAUGCAAGUGUUGCAAUCAAACCCAAGCAAAAUUUUGCACCAAAGAUGGAUAAUGACUGAUUGUGUGACUUGAUAUAAAAUUCAGAACUUGAGCACAUAAACAGAGUGAAUUUUCUACUCUUUCUUCACAACUUUUCUUCCUCAACUCUCCUUUUUUUUCACUUUCCUUUUUUUUUGAUACUCUGUUUUUUUUAUAACUAAGAACAAGAGCAGAUAUAACACUUACACACACUUUUUUUUUUGAAACAAGACACAACCGUCAGCGUUCUAACUUGAUAGGCUCAAAGUUUACGCGAAGGAUGAUACCGGUUUCAGAUUUUCUUUAGGGAUUUGUAGAUAUAAAAGAGGCACAAAGGACACACAAAGGAUAUGAUGAUCAGCAACUAAACAAAACUCUAAUGGACUGAAACUUAACCAAACUCAUAAGAAAAACAGAUUGAAACAAAGGGCUAAUGCAAUUUUUUUAUGGCUUUUUGGUGGAUAGGACGAACAAGAUAUAUAUAUGUAGCUAAGGGUAAAAUUCCUGCCGUGGAAACUUGAGCUCUGAUACCGGAUGGUGAGGUCGUUGUCCCGAUCUUCACGACGUAGGAUAACUAGCUGAAGAUCAGCCGAUAACUUGCUGCAAGCAGCGAGGAUAACUAGUGCAACCUGACGACACGCACAAUGAGCCAACCACCGUCUCUAUACGGCAGCCUGAACCAAGGAUUCGCCCAACCACACUCUCAAAGAACCAACCUACGCAACCUGAACUCGAGGAUCAGGAGCACGGAUUGGGUUCCGAUGACGCGGCCGCUUCUGUAAUCUCCGCGAAGGAAAACACAAGAGCAAAGGGGGGUAGAGAUCACUCUCUGAAUUUGUUAGCACACAGCUGAACAAAGGGGUUCUGUAUUUCAAUUAUCAAAGUCUUCGAUUACAAUGAGUCUUAGCGGGUAUUUAUACUAGCAACAGCCCUGCUAGAUAGGUAUGAAAACGAAAUAGAAUUUCUGAGGGAAGGCAAUGUGAAAGGUCCCCUCGAAAUGGAUUCCCGAAGUGACUUCGCGUGACUGUUGGCCUCCAGAGCAGUUUCCAAUAAACUGACCAUAACUUUUUAUUGGGAAGUCCAAAUGAUGAACCAUUUCUUGGGUGUGAAACUAGACUCCAAGAGCUUUCCAGCAACGUAUGCCAUGCAUCACAAAACGCUGUAGAUUGGUACAGUUUUACUUGGCAAGUUGUACCAACAUUCUGUCACGACAGACUGUUGACCUUCUGAGCAGUCUGUACUAAUUCUGGUCUAGAGGCAAUAUGGAGCAUCCAAACUGGUCACCACUAGAUUUAUUGGAAGGUAGACUCGUCAAGCUUUCCAACAAGUGCUCAUGGACCUUAAUAUCUUUUGUGAGUGAAAAGUUAUGAAGAUUCUUUGCACUGGUCCGUUUUUGACUUGCACUGGUCCGUUUUUGACUUCUUCUGGAACUUGCACUGGUCCGUUCUUCAGGGUCCGAUUCAUCCUUCUCUUCUUCUAUAUACCUGAGUACAAUCAAGGUACAACACUUAGGUAGUAUAUAAUUCUCAUUAAUAUUAAAAUUAAUCUCACAAAGUAGCGCGUUCACCUCUUGUUGUAGCUUCUUGGCUCGGCUACGUGUAAUUGCUCCAUCAAUGGCUUGGGCUGGUGCCAGCGUAGUCGGUGUAGAGGUUGGUGUGGAAUUAGAGGGAGCAUGCUUGGUUGGGAUGUCCUCAUCAGAGAGGGUGCAACAGAAGGAUCUAUUGGAAUACGAUGGGUACAAAUCAUAGGACUGAUUCCUGUAAGAUCUUGGAGUGAGUAGCCAAACACUGAGUGAUGUUUCUCAAGAAUGGUCAUUAAUCGCAGAGUUUGAUCCUGAGUGAGUUUAUCGCUAAUGAUCACAGGGAACUCUGGAUUAUUGUUUAGGAAAGCAUAUGUAAGACCGGGUGGUAAAGUUUUAAGCUCUAUGGGGGGUCUAGGUGUUUCUGCAAACUCAUCUAAGGGUUCAGGUUCAGAAGGUUCGUCUUCUUCUUCUGUGAAGAAAGGAGUUUCGUCUUCUAAGUCUGGUUCUUCUAAAAGCUCUAGUGAUGCAGCCUUUACCUCCUCCAUAGGAUCAGGCAAAAGAUAUGAUUCGGCCUUAUUGUUUAAGGAGUGUGAAAUUGUUAUUGGGAAUUUAAAGGUUUUUCCAAGAGAAAUGUGUAGCUUUCCAGUAUGACCUUCAUAAAGGAGUCUUCUAAAAGGUUGUCCUAUCAACAGGUCGAAGUCCCAUGUAUCAAAGAUAUAGAAGUUCAAAUGAACCAUGGAGCCUUCUACCGUAAGAGGUAGGACAUUAAUAAUUCCAAGACUGGGGACUAAUUGUCCCGAAGAUUCCUUUAUGACCUUUGUUGUGGGGGUUAAGACAAGAUUUUUAAAUAGUUUAAGUGCAAAAGAUUCAGACAUGAUAUUGAUCCCCACAACAGGAUUAUAUAGAGCAUUAAAUCGAUCAGAAUUAUAAGCACAGCGUAUAGUUAUAGAGGGUGUGUCCAAACGGAUCACAUCAGAGGAAAGCUCUGAUUCCUCCAACCAUUCGCUACUCAUUACUGAGAUAAGCUCUCUCAAUUGAUAUUCACUUGGCAAAUAAAUGCUAAACUGGCCGUUUUGGGGUUUGUCAAUAGAAUGGUAGUUUGAAAUAUUUCCAAAAUCGGCAAAAAGAUCGGAUUCUAUAUCCUGCAUGAAGUCUGGUGGUGGAAUUUCUUCCUCUUGUGGCUCAGAACUUGGGAUAGCUAAAGUAGAUGAAGAAUUUGGCAGAGUGUCUACUUCGGCUUCGUAGGUUUCAUCAUGAAGGGUAUUAUCCAUCUCAGCUUCUAGGAUUCUAUCUAGGAUCACUCUAGCUUCAUCAGUAGGAAUUCGAAAGAAAGAACCUCUAGACAUUGUGUGUAGCAUUUUUUUAUGAUUUUUAUGAAGACCUCGAAAAAAGUGAAAUAAAAGAACAGGGUCUUCAAGAUUAAGGUUUGGACCAGAUUCUAAAAGAUCAGAAAAACAUUUCUAGGAUUUUCCCAAAGUUUCAUUAUCUUUUUGUUUAAAAGAUAGGACCUCGAGUCUAAGGUUGGCUAUACGGUCAAGGGAAUAGAAAUCUAGACAAAAGUUGGCUCGUAAAACUCCCCAUUCACCUUGUUGUUGACUUACAUUCUGACUGUACCAUUGUCUAGCUUCUCCCCUCAAAGAAAAAGGAAAAAGUUUCCAACGUAAAGUUUUAUCAGAAAUGCCUUCAAUGCGAAGACAAUCACAUGUUUGCUCAAAAUCUCUAAUAUGAAGGUAAGGGUUUUCGUCUUCCUUUCCCGAAAAAGAUAGGUUUUGAAUCAUGGCAAUCAACAUAGAACUUAACUUAUACUGGGAUGUUUGGAUAGGCUGUGAUGAUUCCCAUGGUAAAAGGUCAGUUGCUAAAGGGAUUGCAGAUUCAUGGAUCGAUUUAGAAUUUUGGUUUUCCAUAAGGUAAGGGUAAAGAAAAUAAAUAAAGAAUAUAAAAGAUAAGAAAAGAUAAAAGUAUAGAUACAAGCUAGUAGUAAGACUAACCAGAGUAUCGUAUUUAUUUUUUUACCACUAGGAGAAAGAGUGCAUCUGACUAACCGGUCUAUUACUACUAACCUUUUAGGCACAAAGAAUGUCUUUUGAUGUGAGUGAUAAAUAGAGAAGACUGCAACCGUAGUCUCCUUCUAACCUUGGUAAGGAUGAUCUACUGUUCUAAUGGGGAGGCUAACGGAAUCUAGACACCACAAAGGAUGUUCAACCCGCACCUAUAAACCCUAUCCUUCCUGCUAACGAGAUGUGAUCUACAAAGGUAACUCGGAAUUGUCACAUUCCUCACUACUACCACGGUCCAGCUAGUCAGGGAAUAUCUAUGAGUACCCCAGCCUAAACACCACGUUUACGCCAGCAAUGAUUACUCUAAACUCUACGCGAAGAGAUUAAAGUAAACUCAUAAACCAGAAGAACAAUAAAACAAGAACUUACUAGAAUUUAGAAGUCGAAAUACUGAAGAAUCCUAGGAGCAAGCUUCGGGUUAGGAGAACUUGAUCCCGCAGGUACAAGCUUGGAGUAGACACCGACAGGCCGGGCUUCCUCCAAUCUACACCUCCACUCUAUCUCUCUCAAUCUAGUAGAAACUAGAAGAUCUAUUUCUACCUUACAUUGAUUGCUAAGCCUAAAAAGAAAUAUUAAUUAGAGAAGAGGUUUUCCUUCGAGGGCACCCCUCAGUCUCUAUGAUAAUUUCUUCAUGUAGUCCUCCUUAUAUAGUCCUCCUCCUCUAUGCAUUUUUGGGUCGGUAGGCGAGGUGGUACUAUGUUUUUCUUGAUCCAAUAGGUCGGUGGAACAUCCCGUGCGAAGAGAGUCCUGAUUGACAUCCAGUAGGGGGCGGGCGCCCAGGUCACCAGGGCGGGCGCCCUGGGCCUGGCCCCUUUCGGCCUCCGUCUUCUUUCCGUGGCAUCUGGAGUCUUAUAGAUGGUAGAAAAUUGCACGGUGCGUUUAUAUCUCUAUGUAAUCCCGACAUGUGGGCCUUUCUUCCUUAUUUCCUGAUAACCCCCUGUAGAAAUAGAUAAACAACAAAACUCGUAGAAUUCUGUCAGAUCAAACCCUAAUUCUAGGUGUUGGUUGUAUAUUGGUCCUUUCUCUUAUUUAUUUGAUGAUUAAAAUUGAUACUUAAGAACCGUCAACAGGGACCUUUGCGGGCCGAUCACGCCGGUGACGCAUGGUGGGAGGAGAUACUUCCUCUUGCUCAUGGAUGACUGCAGCCGGUACAUGUGGCUGCAGCUCCUGACGAGCAAGAGCGAUGUGGCGAAGGCAAUCAAGCACUUUAAGGCGCGCACAGAGUAGGAGUCCGGGAAGAAGCUGAAUCGUGUUGACGCCGUUUUUGGGCGCGUGUCCAUGAUUGGUAAAGUGUAGGCCGGCAAGAUAAGACGACAGUGCUUGAUCUUCAGGGUAAGUUUGUUGACGGUCCUUAAGUAUCAAAUUUAAUUAUCAAAUAAAUAAAGAAAAGGAUCCAAAUGAAAUCAACAUCUAGACUUAGGGUUUUAUCUGACAGAAUUCCACGAGUUUUGGUGUUUGUCUAUUUCUGCAGGAGGUUAUCAGGAAAUACGGAAGAAAGACCCACACGUCGGGAUUACAUAGAGAUAUUGACGUGCCGCGCAAUUAUCUUACAUCUAGAAGACUCCAGAAGCCACGAGACCGAAGCGGAGGCGAAACGGGGCCUGACCCUGGGCGCCCGCCCACCUCCUGAGUCCAAUCAGGACUCUGCUUCGUGGGAGAUCUUCACCGACCUAAAGGAUGAAUCUAAACCAUACAAUCUAUGUCGGUUUGAUCCAAUGGCCCAUAUUCACUUGAAGGGACUAUAAAACCAGACCCCCUGGCCCCUGGAGGAGAGAGCCUCUCAACCCUAAUUCAUUGUUCUUCAAGGGAGAAGAAGCCUCUGAUCAAGAUUAGAGCCACCACCUCAAUUAGACAUCUAGAUUAGCAUAGCUACAUAGGAUUAGAACUAGAAGGAGUCAAUCUUCGAUUGGUUUCCGGAUCUGUCAAGAGGAUUCUUGGUAAUUCUCUAAUUGUGCUUCUAAUUGCUUUCUAAUUAUCUUUGUUCUUCAAUAUUAUGAAUAUGACUUUGUUCUACUUCAAUAUAUUGCUUAUGACUUUGCUCUACUUGCUUAUAUUCAAGAUUAUAUUGUUCUUAGUUUAUGAUAGUUAUAUACUUGGCUUAGUUAGAUUGGAUCUAUAUACAUGUUGAGGAUCGUAUAGCGUUUAUCCAUCGGAUCCAUGGGUAAAUGAUAGAUAUUGUGUAGGCGUGGUGCUUAUACCGUAUUUAUCUGCGAUUGUACCCAAUAUGCCAGAUCGUGGGGUAGUUCGUGAUAGUGACAGCUUCAUUGAUUCUUAUAUAGUCCCCCUCUCGUGUAUUGGGCUGGCAGAGCAACAUUAUUACAGGGGAGUGAUUGCUAUGUUUCUCAUUUACCUUGCUAAUAUCACUAUGCAUGGGCGUAGUCUUGUCUCGCAAUGAUUGCUAAGUAUGCUUGCACUAACUAUGAUAAUGCUAGACUAUAUAGUUGAGAAUAACUUAGGGAAUAUUCUUGUAGUUCGUUCUAAUACCAUGCUAAUGACUAUCUAGAAUAUCUAAUUGAGGUGCUUAUCAUAUUUAUUAUGUGGCUAGAUCAGAUUAGUUAUCUUUGUCACUAUUAUUAUUUCAUAUAUCCUUUAUGUGACACUUAUCCCUGUAUGCAAGAGUUAGAUAUAAUGUUCUCAAUUAUACAUGCAAUGAUAGAUUCUCAAUCUCAUAUUCUAUUCUGUAAUCAAUAUUGAUGAUUGUUAAUCCCUUCCCAGUGGUAAAAAUAUAAAUAACGAUACCUGGAAUACUUCUCGGUUAAAAUGCUACAUCGGUAUUAAUCUGUGCGCUUGCAGAUCCCAUUCAUUAUUUAUUUAGAAGAGCAAUUGCAUAUUUCAAUACCGCGUCUCUCAUGUCAUGCUGGGGAUGACAACUUGGCUUAAGUGGUGUGAGGGAUAGGUUUGGCAUUUUUGGCACUGUUACUAGAUUUAGAGAACUUAGUCUACUUUUGGUAAUGAUGUUAAGAAUACCCAACAAGCAUUUUUGGCGCCGUUGCCGGGGAAGGUUGAUUACUAAUCAGGAAUGAAAUAAAAGAUUUUGAGUUAUCAUUCGCAUCACUAAUAUGAUUGAGCUUAUCUAUUCUCUCAUACAGUUUUACCCCGAUAUUUUUCUAUUUUUAUCUUAUGCAGGGGAAUGUAUGAAUAGAAGACAUCGUCCAGGAAAUUUGGUUGACAAUCCCGAAGCAUUAUUCAAGAAGACGAGAGCCAAGCUCAAGAAGAGAUCAUCAACACUUCAGCCAGAAGCUUCAUCCAAUCAAGAAGAUCACCGGAACUUGUCUUCAGAGUUCGAAGCCAUGGCGAACAAAUCAAUCCGCGAGUUCUCAGCUCCCACUACGGACAACAUCCGCACUGGACCUGCUGCAGAGAUCGAUGGCAACUUUGAGCCCAAGCCUGGACUUAUCAACAUGGUGCAAUCCAACCAGUUCUGUGGGAAGGCACACGAAGAUGCUAGUGCUCAUUUACAACACUUCCUAGAGAUUUGCAACACAUUCACCAUAUCAGGAGUUUCCAAAGAUGCUAUACUACUUCGCCUCUUCCCAUUCUCACUGUUAGGAAGAGCGAAGCAGUGGUUCUACGCUACAAAGGAGAAGAAUACUACGUGGGCACUCUGCUCAACAAACUUCCUGGCUAAGUUCUUUCCCAUGGGCAAGACCAAUGCUCUCCGUGGGAAGAUUACAAGUUUUCAGCAACAAAAUGAUGAAUCUGUUCCAGAAGCAUGGGAGCGCUUUCAAGACUACAUCCUAGAAUGUCCCCAUCAUGGAAUGGAAAGUUGGCUACUAAUGCAGACAUUUUAUCAUUUGCUCAGCAACAGUGCCCGAGAGACCAUGGAUGUUGCAGCUGGAGGAGCAUUCUUAUCACUUACUAUACCACAAGCCACAACUCUUGUGGAGAAGAUGGCGUCCAACCAAAGUUGGAAUGAAGAAAGGACCCAGACACGCAAGAUAGGUGGAGGUAUGCAUCAGCUCAAGGAGAUAGACAUGCUGUCUGCUAAGCUAGACCUGCUCAUAAAGAAGCUCGACGAUAGAGCUGGAGAUAAGAAAGAAGUUAUGCACAUCUACGACUCUCACAUGACAUGUGAGGAGUGUGGAGACACUGGACACUCAGGCAACCACUGUCCUGAGAUGCUUGAGGAUCUGAACUACAUCAACAACAACAACAACCACUACUACAACCGUCCUCAACAAAAUCAAGGUUGGAAUCAACAGAGGCCUAACUACUCAGGUAAUUAUCAAGGUAACAAUUCUUACAACAAUAAUAAUAGUUUUCCACCUCUGAGAGAGUUAGUGUCUAAUCAAGGAAAGCUAAUGGAUAACCUAUCUAAGAAAUUGGCAUCAAAUGAUAAAAUGCUAGAAAAUAUAAAUAAUAGAAUGGAUAAUUUUUCUACUGCCAUCAAGAAUCUAAUUAGCUUUAAUAAAAUGAUUGAAUCUCAGUUAAAUCAAAUAUCUGCUGCUGUUCCUGCUACUAACCCCGGUAUACCAUCACAACCAUAAGGAUUAGAAUCUGCAAAUCUUGUAGACAUGUUUGAUGCAGGUAAUUGGAGUAACCCCGUCACUGAAUUCAAUACUGACCUUCUGCCGGUCAAGAGAGGCGAUCCAGGACGCCCCGUCAUCCCGAUCUCCAUCGGCAUGGUGGACGUCCUAGAAGCACUCUGCGACUUUGGCUCCAGUGUCAACAUUAUACCCAGGGUACUCUAUGAAAAAUUCUUUACAUAUCCUUUAUUAGAGACAACCAUGUGUUUGCAGUUUGCAGAUCAGACGAUAACUUUUCCAAAAGGAAUAGUGAAGAACCUUUGUGUCCGAGUUGGUACCUUAUAUGCCCAGCAGACUUUGUAGUGGUAGAGACCGGAAAUGAUGAGAGAGCACCUAUCAUCUUGGGGAGGCCAUUCUUGAACACCACGGGAGCUAUCAUCUACGCCAGUGCUGCCAAGAUCAGUUUUUACAUCAAAGGGAGGAAGGAGACAUUUUUCUUCAGGAACAAGACUACACAAAUCCCAGAUCAAUCCAGACGUGAGUCAAGGAAGAGGACCAACAGGAGGAACAGGAACAAGCAAGUGUGGACCGAGUCAGCUAAGAUGGUCACUGUAGUUCAUGGGGGCCAAGAUCAUCAGCUUAAGUCACCGUUUUUUACCAAGAAGGAUGACCCAGGAAUGCCAAGCAUCUACUGCUCCAUAAAUGGAUACAACUUCUACAAGGCAACUUGCGACACCGGAUCGGGCAUCAACAUAAUGGCCGCAGUCACCUAUCGGCUCUUGUUCGGAACCAUGCCCCUAAGACCAACAUACAUUCAGCUCCAGAUGGCAGAUCAGACAUUUCGAGAAGUUAAAGGAAUAGUAACUGAUGUCCUAGUCAAAAUAGACGAUCACUUUGUCUACACAGACUUUCAGGUUAUUGACAUGGGAGAAGACGAAUACGAUCCAUCCAUCAUCCUUGGAAGGCCGUUCCUCAGCACCGUUAAAGCAAUCAUCUACAUUGGAACCGAAGAAGUCCAUAUGCACUUCCCCUCAGAGAAGGUACGCCGUUAUUUUACUGACCCUAACUAUAUCGUUGAAGAAUCUAAGCAGGUCAGGAAACGACGCAACCGCAACCAGAGGAGGCAGAUCAUCGAGGACGGAUGGGCAGACUACGAAGGAGAAGUUGUAAGGUCAAAAGACGUAGAGUUUAAACAGAAUUAUCCAGAGGAGAUUGAAGCACCGAGUCAGGUAUGGAAAGAGAAGAUAAUUAUACAUGAAGAGGAGGCGCUGCCGGAAGUACCGCCUACGCCACCCAACGAAUCCCAAGACAAUUGAAAAAAUGGAGAGUCCCGUUCGGAGGACUUAAAAACACCGAACGCCUUGCCAAGAGGUAAACUUGGUAGUUAUCCUUUCCCUUUCAAUUAUUUUAAACAGUUUGCUUAGUUAAUCAUGUUCAUGCUAUCCUAAAAAGAAAAUAAAAAUGUUAAAAAACAGUAAGCCCCAUGUGAGUAAACGAGUGGCAUAAAACCCAUAAGUACAUUCACUGUAGUGGCAUAAAAAUAAAAUAAAUAUUUCCUUUCUACUUUAUAAAAAUGAAAAUAUAAAAACAGGGAGUAACAAUUAUUAAGGAGUCUCAACAUGAUAAAGGCUAGAUAUUUAUGCUAACACUUAAUCAAGUUCCACAAGCUUUGUUGUCUAUUUGAGCUCCACAGGAUUUAAGAAUCAAAAAGACUAGCAGACGGAGGACAUUCUAAUCGCUGUCAGAAUGCUGCUGACUUUCAAAUACACCUCUGCCACCUGCUAGCUACAUCAAGAGAAAUUAUGUUAAAAUUCAGCUUGAGGGAGAGCACCCCCAUUUAUCUCGAUAAGUAUUUCUAUCUAUCUAUCUUUAUACUUAUAUUAUUUUAGAAUAUAAAUAUACAUAACUAGGAAAAAUUAAAUAAAGAUUUUGUGCUUAUAUAUAUAUCUUUUGCUUAGUGUGUUUAAUAAAUAAAUAAAGUAGCUAUGCUAAUCUGUAUCUAAAUAAAAUUCAAACAUGGAUAUGAUGAAUAGUUGUUCUGCCUAAUUUGCAAAUUUUAAGUUCUCUCUCAAGUUUAGACAUAACUGUUAUAAUUUAAAGCUUGCUCUAGACCUAAACUUGUGGGAUGAAAACUUGAUCUAAAGUCUAAGUUGUUAACGGAUAUGAUAUGGGAAGGUUGAGCCGCUGUUUAUCUGUUCCUAGAGAUGCUAGAAUUCUAGAGAAUUUUAUCUUUGAAAAUCUUUAAAAUAUUGCAUGAUGAGUUCCUGUAUGAUGAGAGUUUAAAUUCCUACCACAGCCAUAUAUAUAUGCUUGCUAGACUUUGAGCCACACAUUUACUAUUUACUGCUUAUGAGCAUUGAGUGUGGUCAAGCUGUGUAGACCCUUAGGAGAUUGUCAUGUGGUUUAAAUCAAGAUUUCACUUGCACGUUCACUCAUAUAUGCUACUUCUACUCCGGAAGUACCAUCCACAUAUAUUCACCCAUUCCAUCUCCAGAAUCACCUAAAAAUAUUCUACUCCUAAUCCGGGAGAGAAUAGCCAAAAACAUUUUUGUUUUCCCUUGUGAAAUAAAUGCUCAAGUUAUCUUGUUAUUAACACAUGCUAUAUUAUCUCAAGAGAUGAGUGCUCUAAAAAAAGAGAAGAUACGAGGAAAUAAAAAGGAGCAAGUGCUCGGAACCUCGAAAGAAAAAGAAAAAGUGCGACGAGAGGUAAAAAUGGACAAGUGUCCGACAGUAGAAUUAGGGGUACAAGAUACCCACCUGAGAGAAAAGAAAAAGAAGAGCAUCUCAUUCUCCUCAUAAAAUUUCAGAAAGCAAGGAAGGUAUGUAUCCUCUCAAAAGAGCAAAGUAGAAUUAGACUUCCACCACUAUUGUUUUCACCAUUGUUAUCACCAUCAUCACCAUACACCAUUCAUUCGCCACACAUGCACAUCUUGAUUUGACUUAUUGAUUUGUUACUUUGGAUCCAUGGUUUGAAUAUGCAAUACAUGUCUUGUAAGUAUGUAUACUUUAUCUCCCACCUAUGAGCUCCAGAUAUUAAAGCCUUAUUAGAGUAGGGUGAGGGAGAAGGCAAUGUCACUAUGCCUUAUACCACAAAUACUACAUAUAUUGAGAGAAGGCAUAUACCAUCACUGCCUUGGUAAGGAUCCAGAAAUACCACAAAAGAGAGAUAUGAGAGAGUCAUACAAGGAAUUCUGAGUUUUAUUUGAAAAUCUGCAAAAACCCCAGAGCUAUAGCUGAAUCAAGAAUAAGAGACAUGGCACUUGACUAGACUGUUCUAUCUUUUAACCACUCAAGACAGAAGUGACAGUUACAAGUCCCAUGGUGGAAGGUAAAGUAAGUUUUAAGUCUUGACAGAUUACUCUAACUCAGAGAUAAGAUCUUAUUUAAAAAGCAUGUGUACCGUCAAUUUUUAAAAAUAUUGCAACAACUUAUGAUCCAUAGCUGAGUCUAUCCUUGCUCAGGGACGAGCAAGAGGUAAGCUUGGGGGAGUUUGUUGACGGUCCUUAAGUAUCAAAUUUAAUUAUCAAAUAAAUAAAGAAAAGGAUCCAAAUGAAAUCAACAUCUAGACUUAGGGUUUUAUCUGACAGAAUUCCACGAGUUUUGGUGUUUGUCUAUUUCUGCAGGGGGUUAUCAGGAAAUACGGAAGAAAGGCCCACACGUCGGGAUUACAUAGAGAUAUUAACGUGCCGCGCAAUUAUCUUACAUCUAGAAGACUCCAGAAGCAACGAGACCAAAGCGGAGGCGAAACGGGGCCUAACCCUAGGCGCCCGCCCAGGUGGUCAGGCCGCCCGCCCACCUCCUGAGUCCAAUCAGGACUCUGCUUCGUGGGAGAUCUCCCCCGACCUAAAUGAUGAAUCUAAACCAUACAAUCUAUGUCAGUUUGAUCCAAUGGACCAUAUUCACUUGAAGGGACUAUAAAACCAGACCCCCUGGCCCCUGGAGGAGAGAGCCUCUCAACCCUAAUUCAUUGUUCUUCAAGGGAGAAGAAGCCUCUGAUCAAGAUUAGAGCCACCACAUCAAUUAGACAUCUAGAUUAGCAUAGCUACAUAGGAUUAGAACUAGAAGGAGUCAAUCUUCGAUUGGUUUCCGGAUCUGUCAAGAGGAUUCUUGGUAAUUCUAUAAUUGUGCUUCUAAUUGCUUUCUAAUUAUCUUUGUUCUUCAAUAUUAUGAAUAUGACUUUGUUCUACUUCAAUAUAUUGCUUAUGACUUUGCUCUACUUGCUUAUAUUCAAGAUUAUAUUGUUCUUAGUUUAUCAUAGUUAUAUACUUGUCUUAGUUAGAUUGGAUCUAUAUACAUGUUUAGGAUCGUAUAGCGUUUAUCCAUCGGAUCCAUGGGUAAAUGAUAGAUAUUAUGUAGGCGUGGUGCUUAUACCGUAUUUAUCUGCGAUUGUACCCAAUAUGCCAGAUCGUGGGGUAGUUCGUGAUAGUGACAGCUUCAUUGAUUCUUAUAUAGUCCCCCUCUCGUGUAUUGGGCUGGCAGAGCAACAUUAUUACAGGGGAGUGAUUGCUAUGUUUCUCAUUUACCUUGCUAAUAUCACUAUGCAUGGGCGUAGUCUUGUCUCGCAAUGAUUGCUAAGUAUGCUUGCACUAACUAUGAUAAUGCUAGACUAUAUAGUUGAGAAUAACUUAGGGAAUAUUCUUGUAGUUCGUUCUAAUACCAUGCUAAUGACUUUCUAGAAUAUCUAAUUGAGGUGCUUAUCAUAUUUAUUAUGUGGCUAGAUUAGAUUAGUUAUCCUUGUCACUAUUAUUAUUUCAUAUAUCCUUUAUGUGACACUUAUCCCUGUAUGCAAGAGUUAGAUAUAAUGUUCUCAAUUAUACAUGCAAUGAUAGAUGCUCAAUCUCAUAUUCUAUUCUGUAAUCAAUAUUGAUGAUUGUUAAUCCCUUCCCAGUGGUAAAAAUAUAAAUAACGAUACCUGGAAUACUUCCCGGUUAAAAUGCUACAUCGGUAUUAAUCUGUGCGCUUGCAGAUCCCAUUCAUUAUUUAUUUAGAAGAGCAAUUGCAUAUUUCAAUACCGCGUCUCUCAUGUCAUGCUGAGGAUGACAACUUGGCUUAAGUGGUGUGAGGGAUAGGUUUGGCAUUUUUGGCACCGUUACUAGAUUUAGAACUUAGUCUACUUUUGGUAAUGAUGUUAAGAAUACCCAACAAAGUUGCCGAUGAGGAUGGUUGCCGAUGGGGGGAUGGCUGAACGUGACCAAGUCCAUAGGUAAUGAUGUGUUUGUGCCGAUGACUACCACAAGGCAGUCUGCCGAUGAUGCGGGGGAAGAGUUUGGAAGUUGCCGAUCGGCUUGAGGAGGUGUUCCAGUUUGUCACGCGGGGAUAGUUUUAUGUUUUCCUUAGUUAUUUAAAUCGUUUUGUAUACGGAUUCUGUUUAAUUUGGAAUUCGAGUUCUAGUCGUGUCUGGUUGUAGCUCUUUGGGUAGGGUAUAAAUGUGAACCCUAGGGCCUUGUAACAAUGAAUCAAUCAAUCAAACAUCAGUUUUUACUCAUAUUCCAGCAUCUACUAUUUCGACGACUUCGUCAUACUUUUUUUCUUUUUAUUACGAGUUCUUAGGAAUUCGUCGACUUAAGCUCGGCGUGUUCUCAAGUUCCGCGUGAAUACCUCUUGGCCGUGGCAUCCGGGCGCAUCGCUGUUGUCGGGACCAAAGUAUUCGAGUUACCACCUUUGCCGAUAGUAAGGUUAAAUCGGCUGGCACGCCUUAACGUUUAAAUCGGGUAUUAGCCUUUUGUGUUUGCAGAUCAGCUUUUGCAUCAACACAUCUUUUGGCACGCCCGGUGGGACAGAUCCAAGAUCAAGAUCAACAUGUCGACUUCUGAGUUUGAUCAGGAGAACGUCAUCCCCGUGACGGAAGCCAAUCUCAAGGAUGAGCAGAAGCAAGCUAUUGCUAAAGCCAUGGAGGAUUACAAGCAGCAAUGCCUGUGUUGACACCGUUUUUGGACACGUGUCUAGGAUGACAGGAUAAGGUGGCAGUACGAUGCGGGUUGCCGAUGGGGAUGGUUGCCGAUGAGGGAGAAGUUGAGUGUGACUAAGUCCACAGGCAGUAGUAUGGUGCCGAUGACCAGGUAAAAGGGUCUGCCGAUGACCAUGGCGAGGGGAUUGCCGAUGACGCGAAGGAGGAGUCCGGAAGCUGCCAGUUGUCAUGUGGAGGAGUUUCAGUUUGUUACGAAGGGUAGUUUUAUUGUUUCCUUAGUUAUUUGCAUCGUUUUGUAUAUGGAUUCCGUGUAAUUUGGAAUUCGAAUUCUAAUCGUGUCUGGUCGUAGCUCUUUGAGCAGGGUAUAAAUAUAAACCCUAGGACCUUGUAAUCUAUCUAUCAAUCAAUCAAACAUACGUUUUUACUCAUAUUCCAGCAUCUACUUUUCGACGACUUCGUCAUACUUUUUUCUUUUUAUUACGAGUUCUUAGGAAUUUGUCGACUUAAGCUCGACGUGUUCUUGAGUUCCGCGUGAGUACCUCUUAGCCGUGACAUCCGGGCGCAUCGCUGUUGUCAGGACUAAAGUAUUCGAGUUAUCACCUUUGCCGAUAGUAAGGUCAAAUCGGCUGGCACGCCUUAACGUUUGAAUCGGGUAUUAGCCCUUUGUGUUUGCAGAUCCGUUUUGCAUCAACACAUCUUUUGGCACGCCCAGUGGGACCAGAUUCAAGAUCAAGAUCAACAUGUCGAUCUCUGACCUCGAUCAAGACAACGUCAUCCCCGUGACGGAAGCCAACCUCAAGGAUGAGCAGAAGCAAGCUAUUGCCCAAGCCAUGGAAGAGUUCAAGCAGCAAUGCCUGAAGUCUUUCAGCAUAAACAGGAGCGGCGAAGUGGUCCAGAAAGAUGCACUGCCGGCACCACGGCAGGUCACCUUCGACGCCAAUCCUGGCAAGCUUCAAGAUAUGGUUGACAAUGCCAUCAAUCGAGCGUUGAUUAACCAAGCUGGUGUACUGUCUAAUACGGUUUUCAACGCCGUGGCAAGAACCUUCAAGGAAGGACAAAUCCCGCCGAAUUAUGUGGGUCCUUCCCAUCAUCAACCCACGGCACCAGAAGUCACGGCUCCAUCGGCUGCCUUGACGGGUGCAAGUGCACAGUCUGUCGUCCCUCCAAGUACAUUGGGAACUACUGGUGCACCAUCUAUGCCGAUGGCAACUAACCCACAAAUUUCAGUUGGGCAGCAUAAACUGACAACAGAUAUGUUGGCAUCGGCAAUGUCAGGGUUGACUCUCCCUCCCAACUGGUGGGGUUAUGGUAUGCCUCCAGAGUUGACGCCGGGAACAUCGCAAAUAACUGACGUGAGGGGCAAAACUCCUAUGACAUCGGUACCUCCCAAUGUGCCGAUGAAUCAGAGUCCUCGGUAUACCACAACUACUACUGCAAGGCCUCACACUGGGAAUCCUCAAGAUUCAAUGUUUCAGAUGCCUAACACAUCAGCAGAGUUAAUGCUGACGCAACAGAGGCCUAUGGCCCAGUCGGGGUAUGUCAGUUCAACGACGGUACCCAAUUACCAAUCAUCGGCAGCACCUAUGCCGAUGAACGCUAACAAUGGAUGGCUUGGACAGCAAGCCUUUCCACAAUCGCCCCAGCAGGGUUAUCAGACUACAGGGUUCCAGCAAGGGCAGGUCUAUCCCGGGUUCCAAGGUCAGGGAAUUCCCAACCAGCCAAUAAAUUUUGGACAGCCAAUCGGUGGACAGCAGUUUGGUAGUCCGCAGAUUGGAGGACAGGUGACCAAUACGAUGUUCCAUACAGGUCACGUCCCAAACAGACACGUGGAGGCUCGCCACCAAAUGCCAGAUCCGCAGCCGCCUCAUCGGCAAGACGCCGAUGCGUAUUGGGCCGAUAAGAUUGCUGAAGUAAUGAGGGAACAAUUUGGGAUAAAACCCAAAGUCAACACCUAUUCUUAUCGGACACCGUAUCCUCCAGCGUAUGAUUUGAUCCCGCUUCCACAUCGGUACAAGGUACCGGACUUUACAAAGUUUUCCGGACAAGACGACACGUCAACCAUGGAACAUGUCAACAGGUUCAUUAUUCAAUGUGGAGAGGCUGGUAACAGGGACGAAUUAAGGGUUCGUCUAUUUUCGUCAUCACUGUCUGGAUCGGCCUUUACUUGGUUCAUAUCAUUACCUCCCAACUCAGUAAUUACUUGGGCCGAUCUAGAGAAGCAAUUCCACAGAUACUUCUUCUCGGGGGUUCAUGAGAAGAAAAUUACCGACUUGGUCAAGUUGAGACAACGUAAUGAUGAGUCGGUUGAGGGAUUCGUGCAGAGGAUACGAGAAGUCAAGAAUAAAUGCUAUAGCCUGGUUCUGGAUGAUCGGCAGCUAGCCGAUUUGGCUUUCCAGGGUUUGUUGCCACAUAUCAGGGAUAAGUAUGCAUCUCAGGAGUUCGAAAGUUUAAGUCAUUUGGUGCAGAGGAUAUCUGAUCAAGACAUCAAGCCUUUCAAGCCUAAGAGGGCAUGGAAUAAGAAAGUGUCAUUUGUUGACGAAGCAACAAGCUCAGAUUCCGACGAGGAACCAGUAAUCGGUUUGGCAGAGUGGGUAAAAAACAAGAAACCAAUGUCUUGUCCUUUUGGGCAAAAGGAACCAGAGAAGUUCGCCUUUGACACCGCCAAGGCCGAUAGGAUAUUUGACUUUCUACUUCAGGAAGGUCAAAUCAAACUGUCACCUAACCAUGUGAUCCCAUCGGUAGAAGAGUUGAAGAGGAUGAGAUAUUGCAAGUGGCAUAAUGCAACUUCCCAUGACACCAACGAGUGCAAAGUAUUCAGACAGCAGCUGCAAUCGGCUAUAGAGUCAGGGAGAAUCAAGUUUGACAGUUCCAAAGCCCAGAAGCCGAUGAAGAUAGACCAACAUCCUUUCCCGACAAACAUGUUGGAUGCUAAGGGGAAGGCUAAGGUCCUAACAUCGGAGACAGCUGAGAAGAGUGCAUCGGUAGAUCCUCAGCAUCAAGUUACUACUGCCGAUGCAAGAAGUAAGGGCUUGGUCCAGGAAGGAACUAGCUCAGGAAGGCCUCCUCGAUCUGGUAUCGUCAUAACUCAUAGAAGGCCUCGAGAAACAUGGCAACAACGGGAAGAUCGGUAUCGGCGCCAGCAGGAAGAUUAUCGACGGGAAGAAGAAAGGCGCCGACAGGAGUGGAAUCGGCACAGGGAUCAUUGGAAUUGUCCAUUCUUCAUUCAUUGUUGGGAGGAAAAUAUCAAGCUUCCUACUGUCAGAGACUGCCCUGAGUGCAACGGUUAUGAUCGGUACGAUAGAACCGAUCGGCGUUAUCAUGAUGAUGAAAGGCGAUUUAAUGGGCCGAUCAGAGGAAGGGUGUCAGUUCAUGACCGGCUGGGGGGCAGAUUUAGAGGGCACAACAGACUUAGUGACCGUGUCCAGUAUUUUCCCAGGAACCGAGAAGAGCUCGAGGAAAUGGCUGAUGCGCGGGUUCCCGAUGAAUUCAUAUUUUGCAGGGAUGCUAACAUGCAUCGGGUGGAGCCAAGGGAGAACCGACGCCCGACGGAAAGGCAAAGGCCACUUCCUCCAUGGUGCCCUGGAGGAUUAACUAAGACACAGAAAAGGAGAUUGCAACGUGAGAGGCAAGAAGAGCUAAACAAGGGAGAGAACUCUGGAAGUCGGCAGCCGUCAGGCAAUAAGAGGGAAGGUCCAUCGGCAGAUGUCAACAUGGUUUUCAUGUUGCCGAUGGAGUUUCUUGCACCAUCCAGCGACGAUGAGUUGGAAUUUUCUAAUCAGAUAGCUCAGUUGGCUCUGGAUCCGAUGACGGCUAUCUUUGAGAAACCUGCCGAUGACGAGAGGCAGCAUCUCAAAGCUUUGUUCCUCAAAGGGAGGGUUGAUGGGCAGCCAAUGACCAAGAUCCUAGUUGAUGGUGGAGCUGCUAUUAAUAUUAUGCCGUAUGCAGUAUAUCGGAAGCUUGGGAAAGGGGAUCAAGAUUUGACCAAGACCGAUAUGAUGCUCAAAGACUUUGAAGGAAACGUGUCUCCAGUCAAGGGGGCGAUAUGCGCAGAGUUGACCAUCGGCAGCAAAACCUUGCCGACAACUUUUUUCGUGAUCAGCGGAAAAGGUGCUUACAACUUGUUAUUGGGACGAGAUUGGAUUCAUGCCAAUUGUUGCAUCCCAUCUACAAUGCAUCAGUGCUUGGUUCAGUGGGUAGGUGACAAGAUUGAGAUUGUCCCAGGAGAUUCUUCUUAUGUUAUCGCAUCGGCAGAGGCGGAUACUUACGAAAGGACUAGGUGCAUUUCAGGAGAAGUUUGGGAGAAGGACUUUCUCAAAGUUGCCGAUUAUGAGAUUCCACCGAUCCAAGCAGUCGGUUCUGACGACGGUUUUUAAUGGAUAGAUUCGCCGAUGAUGGAAAAUUAGGCCAGGGAUUCACAUCGGCCGAUGAUUUGGUAGAGGUAGAUAUAGGUGGUGGUGAUAAGCCUAGGCCUACUUUUAUUAGUGCUAAAUUAGAUCCUGAGUGUAAACGGCAGUUAACUAGUUUGUUAAAGGAAUAUAAAGAUUGCUUUGCUUGGGAUUAUACGGAGAUGCCUGGUUUAGACCGAUCAAUUGUUGAACAUCGGUUACCCAUCAAGUCUGGAUUUCGGCCACAUCAGCAACCAGCCCGUCGAUGUAAUCCUAACAUUCUACCUGAUAUUAAGGCCGAAGUCACUAAACUUAUUGAAGCUAAGUUUAUUCGGCAGUGUCGGUAUGCCGAAUGGAUUUCCAAUGUUGUUCCGGUUUACAAGAAGAAUGGGAAGCUUCGGGUGUGCAUUGACUUCAGGAAUCUCAAUAAAGCUACGCCGAUGGAUGGAUACCCAAUGCCUGUCGCCGAUCUACUGGUUGAUGCUGCGGCUGGCCAUCGGGUCAUCAGCUUCAUGGAUGGUAAUGCAGGUUACAAUCAAAUAUUCAUGGCAGAGGAGGAUAUUCCAAAAACCGCAUUCAGGUGUCCUGGUCAUGUUGGACUAUUUGAAUGGAUAGUCAUGACUUUUGGGUUAAAGAAUGCUGGGGCUACUUAUCAAAGGGCUAUGAAUUUUAUAUUUCAUGAGUUCAUCGGCAAGCUCGUAGAGAUUUAUAUUGAUGAUGUGGUGGUUAAGUCUGGAGAUUUCUCAAAGCAUCUUGCCGAUUUACAAAAAGUGUUAGAGUGCACAAGGAAGCAUGGAUUGAAGAUGAAUCCCAACAAGUGUGCAUUUGGUGUAUCGGCAGGGCAGUUUCUUGGUUUCAUGGUACAUCAGAGGGGUAUUGAAAUUAGUCGAAGAUCUAUUGAUGCCAUCAAUAAAAUAGUGGCCCCUACCAACAAAACCGAGCUCCAAUCCUUGAUCGGCAAGGUAAAUUUUAUCAGGAGAUUUAUAUCGAAUUUGUCUGGUAGGAUUCGUGCUUUCAGUCCUCUUCUUAAAUUGAAAGCCGAUCAAGAGUUUAUUUGGGGAGAAGAACAGCAGUUGGCUCUGGAUGAAAUCAAGAAGUAUUUAGUAAAUCCUCCAGUUCUAGUUCCACCUCAACAAGGGAAGCCCUUCAGAUUGUAUUUAUCUACCGAUGGAUCGGUUAUCGGUUCAGCUUUAGUUCAAGAAUUUGAAGGGAAAGAAAGGGUAAUUUAUUAUUUGAGUAGGAGGUUGAUCGAUGCUGAAACCAGAUAUUCGGCCAUUGAGAAACUAUGCUUGUGCUUAUAUUUUUCAUGCAUCAAGCUGAGACAUUACCUGUUAUCGGCCGAAUGUAUUGUUGUCUGUAAAGAUGACGUAGUCCGGUACAUGCUAUCUAUGCCGAUUAUGAGUGGUAGGAUCGGUAAAUGGAUUUUAGCGCUGUCGGAGUUCGAUUUGCGUUACGAAUCGGCUAAGGCAGUCAAAGGGCAGAUCAUGGCCGAUUUUGUGACUCGGCAUUGCGGUCUAGUGGAAACCUUGGAAAUUGCACCCUGGACACUCUUCUUUGAUGGAUCUACCUGUGACCGGGGGGCAGGAAUCGGCAUUGUAUUGGUUUCUCCUAAGGGGAGGAAGUAUGAAUUUUCCUUGCCGAUUGUUGCUACAUCAACAAAUAAUCAGGCUGAGUAUCAAGCUCUGAUCAAGGGAUUGGAGUUGUUAAGAGAGGUUCGUGCUGAUGCUGUUGAGAUAUUCGGGGAUUCCAUGUUGGUUAUAAAUCAAUUGGCCGGAAGCUAUGAAUGCCGGAGUGAAGUUCUCAUAACUUAUUUCGAGAGAAGUAUGCAACUGUUAAAGGAAUUCAAGAACUUCCGAUUGGAGCAUGUUCCCCGAUUGCAUAAUGAAGACGCUAAUCGGUUAGCCCAGCAUGCCUCAGGAUAUCAGCCAAUGAUUAAUGCGACAUCAGCAGUCAGUGCCGGUGAUUGGAGGAAAGAAAUUAUUGACUAUCUAGAAGAUCCGUCCAAAAAGGUUGAGAGACGGGUUCGAUUUCAAGCAACUAAGUAUGUGCUCCUCGAAGAUGAAUUGUAUUAUCGAACUAUUGAUGGAAUUCUUCUCCGAUGUUUGGGUGAUGAUGAAGCUAGGAGUUUGAUGGGAGAAAUCCAUGAAGGGGUGUGUGGAGCACAUCAGUCGGCUUUCAAAAUGAAAUGGAUGAUUAGAAGGAAUGGAUAUUUUUGGCCAACUAUACUUGAGGAUUGCUUUAAGUAUUUCAAGGGAUGCCAAGGUUGUCAAAAGUUUGGUAACAUUCAAAGAGCGCCCGCAUCGGCUAUGAAUCCUAUUAUCAAGCCUUGGCCGUUUCGGGGUUGGGCUGUUGAUCUGAUCGGCCAGAUUUAUCCACCAUCUAGCAAAGGGCAUAAGUUCAUUCUAGUUGCCACUGACUAUUUCACUAAGUGGGUUGAAGCUAUUCCUUUGAAGAAAGUCACAUCGGCCAAUAUGAUUGAUUUUGUGAAGGAGCAUAUUAUUUACCGAUUUGGAAUUCCCCAAACGAUUACUACCGAUCAGGGCACCAUGUUCACGUCGGGGGAGUUCGAUGAGUUCGCAAUCGGUAUGGGAAUUAAAGUAUUGAAUUCUUCUCCUUACUAUGCUCAAGCCAAUGGGCAGGCCGAAGCGUCUAACAAAGGGAUUAUCAAGCUUAUUAAACGAAGGAUUGAAGAAAAUCCUAGGCGGUGGCAUGCAUUGUUAAAUGAAGCAUUGUGGUCUUAUCGGAUGGCUUGUCAUGGAUCAACCAAGGUGUCACCCUAUCAAUUGGUGUAUGGACAUGAUGAAGUUUUGCCUUGGGAGAUUAAGGCUGGAUCUAGGCGAUUAUAUUUUCAAGAUCAAUUGGCUGCCGAUGAUUAUGCCACUUUGAUGACCGAUGAGUUAGAUGAUUUAGCAGGGCAUCGGUUAAAAGCUUUAAUGAGUAUAGAAGAAAAUAAGAAGAGAGUUGCUAGAUGGUAUGAUAAAAAAGUAAAGGCUAAGGAGUUUGCCGAUGGGGAUUUGGUAUGGAAAUUGGUCUUGCCAGUUGGGACUAAGAGUUCGAAGUUUGGAAAGUGGUCUCCUAAUUGGGAAGGUCCUUAUCGGAUAAGACACUCAGCUCCUGGUAAUGCCUAUAUUCUAGAAACUCUCGAAAGAGUUGAAUUCCCCAGAGCAUUAAAUGGCAAAUAUUUAAAGAAGUACUUCCCCAGCAUAUGGGUCGAUGCGUAAAAGUUUAAGUGCCGAUAACACUCCUAUCGGCUGGAGUUAAAUGUUUGGAGACAGACUUAAUGUUUCAAAAGAUGCCGAUAACAGUCUUAUCGGCUAGACUAAAAGCUAAAAGCGGGAAAACAAAGGUGUGUUGCCGAUGAAAGCUUCAGAUGUUCAGCAGCUCUUGGAUUGUCGAUAUGGCGCGCAGCCGGAUCUGAUUGGCUGUCUCUAUCUCCUUGAUAUCAUCAUCGGCAGAACCUUCUAUCGGCUUCAGCUUCCUCUUCAACUGCAGCGCUUUGCGACCAUGGACGUUUCGUUCUCGUUCAAGGUGCUUGAUGGUCUCCGGCAGUUGACUCUCUUCUUGCUGGGCUUGGGACAGAGCAUCCUCUACUUGCUUGAGUUCGGCCAGUAGAGCUUCUCUUUUUGCCGAUAGAUCAGAUACUUUCUGCUUCAGAACAUCACCUGAGGACUUUAAGGUGCCGAUGUUCUUAUGUUUCUCAUCGGCUAAGAGUUUUUCUUUCAUCAUCUCCUCAGAAAGCUGGAUUUGAGCUGCUCUAUCGGCAAGGCGUCGAGUGGCUCUCUGGUACUGUAGCUGGCGGCUUUCUAGGUGUGCAGCAUGGAAGAGGGUUUCUUCAGCAUCGGCAGGAACUUGGCCUCUAAGGGUUUUGAACAGGGCCUUGGCUGGGUCAGAAUCGUUGACCAGUUGAGAUGUGUCUUGAUGAAGUAUGGCCGAUAGCUCCUCCAGCUUAGCCCUGGUUUCUGCCGAUACAGUCCCAAUUGCCCGAGAGGAGCUUGCUUCCUCACCCUCUUCUUCGAGAAUAUCAAUGGCGAAGGAGAAUAAGCUAUCGGGAGAAUCUUGUUCCUGAAAAUGAGAAUGAAAUAAGUCAUUUUUAUGGUCAAAGCUUCGGCAGACAAUGUUGAUGAAAAAAUUGGAUGACUUACUUGCUUCAAGGCGAUCUCUUGUCUUUGACUGAAAAGUGCUGAUGGAGCUGCAGGCUGAUCGGCCAAAGAUGCCGAUGGAGCUACAGAUUGAUCGACCGAGAUUGCCGAUGGAACGAUAUCGACUGAAAAAAGACAAAAGGAGUUAUAAGGCUAAAUAAGAAUAAGUUCAUCGGUAGCGAUAUUGUUAAAGUAUGUUACCUGAAGGAGGGACAACGGUUGUCUGAAUCGGGAGAACUGCCGAUGGUAUAACUGGAUCCACCGGGCCAGUUGUUUGUUCCCCUAUGCUAGCUGAUGUAUCUUCUGUCUGAGACCCUGUCUGCUGGGGUUCUUCUAUCUGUGGUGCUUCCUGCAUAGGUGGGGGAGAUGGUGCUUGCUGUGGCUGGGCUUCUGGAGAAGAAGGAGAAGACUCCACCGGAAUUGGAGAUACCGGAGGAGGAGGGGGAGUUGCUACCUUCUGGCGCUUUGUUCCAGUCUUAGCGCCCGUGGUGCCCUUUCUCUUUGGUUGGCUAGACUGGGGGGCAUCGGUGCUCUCAUGCCUGGAUUUCGCCGAUAUGCCGGUUUGCUGCAAUAAUAAACAAGAGUUUAUAAGCGUAAAUGUAGCCAAUAUAAAGAUAGUCGGCAUAAAGGAAAAGAUUUGACAAAUUGCCUUGAAAGCCCGCGCCAGGGUGGGAGCAGCUACCGUUGGUGAUGUCUGAGCUCUUCUGGUAGUGACUUUCCUGAGGCAUACGCCCCGAUGCACGAUGGAAGCUAGAGUGGGAGCGUUGUGGCCGAUUGAGGAAAUCGGGCCUGAUGGAAACAAGUCAAUCGGCCUGCCACUCUUGCUAACCAAUGGAGGAAUACUGUCAACCUGCAAAAGGAAUACAAGGGUAAGCUGCCGAUAGAAGUGACAUUGAGAAAAUGAAACAUCGGUUUGAGUUACUUACAGUGUCAUCGGGAACUUCGUAUUCGGUGUCAAUCAUGCCGCGGUAUGAAAGCGCCGAUCUGCAGAAUAGAUGCUCUUUCCAUUCUGCCCACCACGGCUUGUAUGCCUGAGUGAUAAAAGCAGCCGGAACCCAUUCUGACAGAUCUACAUCCGUAUCGGCAUUUGGUGGUAAUUGGGCUACUCGAGUCCACUCAAGAAGGUUGUUGAUAGUUUCUCUGGGUUUUAUCACAUCGGCAUAAGGAAGUGCAAUCGGCAACUGGCCGAAAGCUAAUUGGCGAGCUAAUGCCGAUGGAUUAUAAAAUUCGUAGGUUUGGGGAGAAGUUUUUGUGCUACCAAAGAAAUUCACCGGAAUGGCCCUGGGAGUCACAAUUGCCAUCAUCGCCUCAUUGUCCCUGUCGAGAGCUUCAUCAAAUGGAUUGAAGGUCAGAGGGAGCAUGCUAUCUGGGUCAUCAUAAGCCAACCAUGGUCGUUCAUCUCUGGCCAAACCCUCAUACAGCGUCUCGAAGAAUCGGCCGAUCUGAUCCGGAGUGUUCCCUGAACCGGGUAAGACUAUAACAGCUUCGCCAAAGUUCAGGGGGGCACGUGUUGCCGAUUCCUCUUCACCCAACACGUAGUUCUCGGCUAUAUCUCUUGGGAAGUGCUGUGAGAACAAGUUGAGAUCAAGGCGCUUGUGCAGGUGCAGAUUGAGCCACAUAUUAAUAAACCACCAAGGACCUCCCAAGUUGCCGAUAGGUUGGCCGAGCAGGAGUUUCUGGACUACCUGAUGAAGAAGGUGAUAAACAGCGCCGAGCAAAUAACGGCCGAGAGGAAAUUGACCACCGCUAGCCAGUCUUUCUGCUGCCGAUAGAUAGACAGAAGUCGGUCCUGCCGAUCGACCACAGAAUACAAACUUGUCUAGCCACAUGUUCAGAAAGGUGGUUUGCUCCUUUAUGGUGACAGGUCCUCUCCCGCGGUACUUCUGGAUGUACCCUGACCAACCGCCGAUAGCGCGAGUCUCCACUUUGGCACUGGGGGCGGUAUCAAAAAAGUGGGUGCUAUCGGCAGAAGAUAUAUCUAACCCAGUAAGCAUGGCUACAUCGGCAAGGGUAGGAGAAGCAGGGCCGUGGCCAAAAACAAAAGCGUUGAGAGUGUCUGACCAAAAGUAAGAUGCAGCUAUCAGCAAUGACUCGUUCCUGUGCAUAUCGGCAAUGGACAGCCUAAUGCAUUGGGCUAAUUUCCUCUCACCCCAUUGAACUUCAUAAGAGUUGCUGACCCUCAAGAACCAGUCUUUCCACCCUACAGUAGGGCUGGGCCAAGAGCGAAAGGUGUCCUUCCAUAGAUCUAAAGCAAAGUUUUCAGCUCUAAAGGGAAUCCUGUUGGUUUCUGCAUUGAUAAGGUCGGUUGGAUCUGGAUCCCCUAGAGGGCCGAGGCAUUGAAGAUGUGGUUGAUCGGUAGGAAUGACAAUUUUGUUGGAUAACUCCUAGUGUUUUGGGGAAUAAAGAUACAAAGAAAAAGGAAAAGGGAAAUAUUCGGUAAGAUGAAUCGCAGAUGAACAGGAAUGCAAGAAAAGGGUACAGCAGAUGAGAUGGAAAUCUGACCUCAGGGACGACGAAGCCAACGGCCAUCUUGUCGUGAAGAGGACGCUGGAGGGCGCCGGAGUUGAUGAAGAGGAAUGCUUGUCGGAGAUUUUGAGGGUUGUGAAUGGCGCCGCCGCUGGAAAAGCGAAGUUGGAUGGCAGAAUGGUGUAAUGGGGGAGGAGUACCCAAGAAGGAACUAUUUAUAGGACAAAAUGGGCAAGGGCAAAUCUGACUUAUUUCUUUGCCACAUCCGAGAAACCCGAGGGUACUCAAGUGGAUAUGGUAACUGUUCGCGCGGUAAUCCAGGGAUUGUGCAGGUGAUUUGACAGGAAGCGGUCAUUAUCUAAAGAUAUUUUACUGUACGCGAUCUCCUGGUCGGUCCAUCGGCGAUAUUCUAUAACGGUCAUCCUGCCGAUGGGCGGAUAGAGGGGAGGUAACCGUUUUUGCGAAUCUCCUGGGCAGAGCAUCGGCAGAUAUUUGUAACGGUAUUGUUGCCGAUAUACGAAUAAGAAAGAUGCCCGUUUAGGAAGUUGGGGAUUUCGAGGAAUCUGCGGAGGAUUAGGAUCAGAGUUGUCCAGAUUGAGGUUGUCGGUUACCAGAUUAGGAGCAUUAAUUGCGGAGAAGGCAUCAUUACUGCAGAGAAUUUCGGAGCAUUAAUAGUUUUAUACUCCGAAACUGGGGGGCAUGUGUUGACACCGUUUUUGGACACGUGUCUAGGAUGACAGGAUAAGGUGGCAGUACGAUGCGGGUUGCCGAUGGGGAUGGUUGCCGAUGAGGGAGAAGUUGAGUGUGACUAAGUCCACAGGCAGUAGUAUGGUGCCGAUGACCAGGUAAAAGGGUCUGCCGAUGACCAUGGCGAGGGGAUUGCCGAUGACGCGAAGGAGGAGUCCGGAAGCUGCCAGUUGUCAUGUGGAGGAGUUUCAGUUUGUUACGAAGGGUAGUUUUAUUGUUUCCUUAGUUAUUUGCAUCAUUUUGUAUAUGGAUUCCGUGUAAUUUGGAAUUCGAAUUCUAAUCGUGUCUGGUCGUAGCUCUUUGAGCAGGGUAUAAAUAUAAACCCUAGGACCUUGUAAUCUAUCUAUCAAUCAAUCAAACAUACGUUUUUACUCAUAUUCCAGCAUCUACUUUUCGACGACUUCGUCAUACUUUUUUCUUUUUAUUACGAGUUCUUAGGAAUUUGUCGACUUAAGCUCGACGUGUUCUUGAGUUCCGCGUGAGUACCUCUUAGCCGUGACAUCCGGGCGCAUCGCUGUUGUCAGGACUAAAGUAUUCGAGUUAUCACCUUUGCCGAUAGUAAGGUCAAAUCGGCUGGCACGCCUUAACGUUUGAAUCGGGUAUUAGCCCUUUGUGUUUGCAGAUCCGUUUUGCAUCAACAGCCUGAGGUCCUUCAGCAUGAACAGGAGCGGUGAGGUGAUCCAGAAGGAUGCACUGCCGGCACCUCGGCAGGUUACUUUUGAAGCCAAUCCUGGUAAACUUCAAGAGAUGGUUGAUAGUGCUAUCAACCGUGCUUUGAUCAACCAAGCUGGUGUGCUGUCCAAUACGGUUUUCAACGCCGUGGCUAGAACUUUCAAGGAAGGACAAUUACCACCAGAUUAUGUGGGCCCCUCUCAUCAUCAGCAAGGAUCACCGGUGGUCACAGCUCCAUCGGUUGCUACGGCCGCUGCGGGCAUGGAGAUUCCCGUUCCUCCAAGUACGUUGGGAGUUACCAAUGCACAAUCUACACCGAUGACGACGAAUCCGCCGACUUCAGAAUAGAUUAAGCUUACUACAGAUUUAUUGGCAUCGGCAAUGUCAGGACCAGUUCCUCCUCCUAACUGGUGGGGUUUUGGUAUGCCUCCGAAAUACUUCAAGGCACCCGGUACAUCUCAAGCAACUGAUAUGAGAGGCAAGGCUCCUAUGGCAUCGGCACCUCCCAAUAUGCCGAUGAACCAGAGUCCCCAGUAUACUACAACUACUACUGCAAGACCUUACAAUGGGAAUUCUCAAGCUCCAACGUUCCAGAUGCCUAACGCAUCGGCAGACUCGAUGCUGAUGCAACAGAGGUUUAUGACUCAACCUGGGUAUGUUAAUUCGAUGAUAAUUCCCAAUUACCAGUCAUUGGCAGGACCUAUGCCGAUGAAUGCUAAUAAUGGAUGGCUUGGGCAGCAAGUCUUUCCGCAAACACCCCAACAGAGUCAUCAGGUUACAGGGUUCCAGCAAGGCCAGAUCUAUCCCGGGUUCCAGAAUCAGGGGAUUCCCAACCAGCCAAUGAAUCUUGGGCAGCAGGUCGGCGGACAACAGAUUGGCGGGCAACAGAUGGUGGUCCACGGAUUGGGGGCCAGAUGAUUAACCCGAUGUUUCAUGUAGAUCGUGCGCCGCACCGACACAUGAAGCUUACCAGCAGGUGCCGGAUCCGCAACCACCUCAUCAGCAAGAUGCCGAUGCUUAUUGGGCCGAUAAGAUUGCUGAAGUAAUGAGGGAUCAAUUUGGGAUAAAGCCCAAAGUCAACACUUACUCUUAUCGGACACCGUAUCCUCCUGCAUAUGAUUUGAUCCCGAUUCCAAAUCGAUACAAGGUACCGGAUUUUACUAAGUUUUCUGGGCAGGAUGACACGUCAACCAUGGAGCACGUCAACAGGUUCAUCAUCCAGUGCGGGGAAGCUGCUAACAGGGACGAGUUAAGGGUUCGCUUAUUCUCGUCAUCAUUGUCUGGAUCGGCUUUCAACUGGUUUAUAUCAUUACGUCCCAACUCAGUGAUUACUUGGGCUGAUCUGGAGAAACAAUUCCACAAAUAAUUCUUUUCUGGGGUCCAUGAGAAGAAGAUCACCGAUUUGGUCAAAUUGAGGCAACGCAAUGAUGAAUCAGUUGAAGGUUUUGUGCAGAGGAUAUGGGAAGUCAAGAACAAAUGCUAUAGCCUGGUUCUGGAUGAUCGGCAGCUAGCCGAUUUGGCUUUCCAGGGUUUGUUGCCACACAUCAGGGAUAAGUAUGCAUCUCAGGAGUUUGAAAGUUUAAGUCAUUUGGUGCAGAGGAUUUCUGAUCAAGAUAUCAAGCCAUUUGAACCCAAGAGAGCAUGGAACAAGAAGGUGUCCUUUGUUGAUGAAGCAGCAAGCUCAGAUUCUGAUGAGGAACCGGUCAUCGGCUUAGCAGAAUGGGUAAAAAACAAGAAGCCGAUGUAUUGUCCUUUUGGACACAAGGAACCAGAGAAGUUCGCGUUUGAUAUCACUAAGGCCGAUCGGAUAUUUGACUUUUUACUUCAGGAAGGUCAAAUAAAAUUAUCACCUAAGCAUGUGAUCCCAUCGGCUGAGGAGUUAAAGAAGAUGAAGUAUUGUAAAUGGCACAAUGCAACUUCUCACAGCACCAAUGAGUGCAAAGUGUUUAGGCAACAGCUGCAAUCGGCUAUAGAGUCAGGGAGGAUCAAAUUUGACAGCUCCAAAGCUCAGAAGCCGAUGAAGAUUGAUCAACAUCCUUUCCCAACAAACUUGCUGGAUGCUAAGGGGAAGGCCAAGGUCUUGACAUCGGAAGAAGCUGAAAGAAGUGCAUCGGUGGAUCCUCAGCAUCAAAUCACUACCGCCGAUGCGAAAGGAAAAGGCCUAGUCCAAGAGGGAGCUAACUCAGGGAGGCCUCCCCGAUCUGGUAUCAUCAUAACCCACAGAAGGCCUCGGGAGACUUGGCAGCAACGUGAAGAUCGGUAUCGGCACCAGCGAGAGGACUAUCAUCGGGAAGAAGAAAGACGCCGUCAGGUGUGGAAUCGGCAUAGGGAUCACUUGAAUUGCCCUUUCUUCAUUCAUUGCUGGGAGGAGAAUAUCAAACUUCCCACUAUCAGAGAUUGUCCUGAGUGCAACGGUUAUGACCGGUAUGACAGGUCUGAUCGGCGCUAUCAUGAUAAUGAUCGACGAUUUAAUGGGCCGAUUAGAGGGAGAGCACCCGUUCGUGAUCGGCAGGGGGGCAGGCUCAGCGUGCACGAUAGGCUUGGAGAUCGUGUUGAGUAUUUCCCCAGGAGCCAGGAAGAACUUGAAGAGGCAGCAGCAAUUUCCUCCAUGGUGUCCAGAGGGGUUGACCAGGACACAGAAAAGAAGGCUGCAGUGCGAAAGGCGAGAAGAGUUAAGCAAGGGGGAGAACUCUAGACAGUCUGGGGAUCAGCAACAACCAGAUCCUAAGGGGAAAGGUCCAUCGGAGAUGUCAACAUGGUUUUUAUAUUGCCGAUGGAGUUCCUUGCGCCAUCCAGUGAUGAUGAGGUAGAAUUCUCCGACCAAAUAGCUCAAUUGGUUCUGGAUCCGAUGACAGCUAUCUUCGAGAAGCCUGCCGAUGAUGAAAGGCAACAUCUUAAGGCUCUGUUUGUCAAGGGAAGGGUUGAUGGUCAGCCGAUGACUAAGAUUUUAAUUGACGGCGGGGCUGCUAUCAACAUCAUGCCAUAUGCAGUGUAUCGGAAGCUUGGAAAAGGAGAUCAGGACCUGACCAAGACCGAUAUGAUGCUCAAAGAUUUUGAGGGCAAUGUAUCCCCAGUUAAAGGAGCUAUCUGCGUAGAAUUAACCAUCGGCAGCAAAACCUUGCCGACGACCUUCUUUGUGAUCAGUGGAAAAGGUGCCUACAAUCUGUUGCUAGGGAGAGAUUGGAUUCAUGCCAAUUGUUGCAUCCCAUCUACAAUGCACUAGUGCUUGGUCCAGUGGGUAGGUGACAAGAUUGAAAUUGUCCCAGGAGACUCUUCAUAUGUUAUUGCAUCGGCGGAAGCAAACACCUAUGAAAGGACUAGGUGUAUUUCAGGAGAAGCUUGGGAAAAGGAUUUCCUCAAAGUUGCUGAUUAUGAAAUUCCACCGAUCCAAGCAGUCGGUUCUGAAGAUGGUUUUUAAUGGAUAGGUUCGCCGAUGAUGGAAAAUUAGGCCAGGGGUUCACAUCGGCCGAUGAUUUGGUAGAAGUAGACAUAGGUAGUGGUGAUAAACCUAGACCUACUUUUAUUAGUGCUAAGUUAAGUCCUGAGUGUAAGCAGCAGUUGACUGAUUUGUUAAAGGAAUAUAAAGAUUGCUUUGCUUGGGAUUAUACUGAGAUGCCUGGUUUGGACCGAUCGAUUGUUGAACAUCGGUUGCCUAUUAAGUCUGGAUUUUAGCCACAUCAGCAGCCAGCUCGCAGAUGUAAUCCUAAUAUUCUUCCUGACAUCAAGGCCGAAAUAACUAAACUUAUUGAAGCCAAAUUUAUUCGGCAGUGUCGGUAUGCCAAGUGGAUUUCCAAUGUUGUUCCGGUUUACAAGAAGAACGGGAAGCUUCGGGUCUGCAUUGAUUUCAGGAAUCUUAACAAAGCUACACCGAUGGAUGGCCACCCGAUGCCAGUUGCCAAUCUGCUAGUUGAUGCUGCGGCUGGGCAUCAGAUCAUUAGCUUUAUGGAUGGCAAUGCAGGAUACAAUCAAAUAUUCAUGGCGGAAGAGGAUAUUCCAAAGACCGCAUUUAGAUGUCCUGGUCAUGUCGGGUUGUUUGAAUGGAUAGUCAUGACCUUUGGCUUAAAGAAUGCUGGCGCUACUUAUCAAAGGGCCAUGAAUUUUAUAUUUCAUGAGUUCAUUGGCAAGCUGGUGGAAAUUUAUAUUGAUGAUGUGGUGGUUAAGUCUGGGGACUUCACAAAGCAUCUUGCCGAUCUACGAAAGGUGUUGGAGUGCACGAGGAAGCAUGGUUUGAAAAUGAAUCCCAAUAAGUGUGCAUUUGGUGUAUCGGCAGGGCAGUUUGUUGGUUUCAUGGUGCAUCAAAGGGCGAUUGAAAUUAGUCGAAGAUCUAUUGAGGCUAUCAAUAAAAUAGUUGCCCCUACUAAUAAGACUGAGCUCCAGUCCUUGAUCGGCAAGGUGAAUUUUAUCAGGAGAUUUAUAUCUAAUUUGUCUGGUAAAAUUCGUGCUUUCAGUCCUCUUCUUAAGCUAAAAGCCGAUCAAGAAUUUGUUUGGGAGAAAGAACAACAGUUGGCUCUGGAUGAAAUUAAGAAUUAUUUAGUGAAUCCUCCAGUUCUAAUUCCACCUCAGCAAGGGAAGCCCUUCAGAUUGUAUUUGUCUGCCGAUGGAAUGGUCAUCGGUUCGGCUUUAAUUCAAGAAUUUGAAGGGAAAGAGCGUGUAAUUUAUUACUUAAGUAGGAGGUUGAUUGAUGCUGAGACCAGGUAUUCAGCUAUUGAGAAACUAUGCUUGUGCCUUUAUUUCUCUUGUAUCAAGUUGAGACAUUACUUGCUGUCGGCCGAAUGCACUGUUAUUUGUAAAGAUGAUGUGGUCCGGUACGUGCUGUCUAUGCCGAUUAUGAGUGGCAGGAUCGGUAAAUGGAUUUUGGCGCUAUCAGAAUUCGAUCUACGUUACGAAUUAGCUAAGGUAGUUAAGGGACAGGUUAUGGCCGAUUUUGUAACCCAACAUUGUGGUGCAGUGGAGGCUUUGGAAAUUGUACCUUGGACGCUUUUGUUUGAUGGAUCCACAUGUGACCUGGGGGCAGGAAUCGGCAUAGUAUUAAUUUCCCCUCAGGGAAGGAGGUAUGAGUUUUCCUUACCGAUUGUUGCCACGUCGACGAAUAAUCAGGCUGAGUAUGAAGCUUUAAUAAAGGGAUUGGAGUUGUUAAGAGAAGUUCAUGUUGAUGCUAUCGAGGUCUUCGGGAAUCCUAUGCUAGUUAUAAAUCAAUUGGGUGGAUGUUAUGAGUGUCAAAGUGAAGUUCUCGUAACUGGAAAGGAGUAUGCAACUAUUAAAGGAAUUCAAGGAUUUCCGAUUAGAGCAUGUUCCUCGAUUGCAUAAUGAAGAGACCAAUCGGCUGGCUCAGCAUGCCUCGUGAUAUCAGCCUAUGAUUAAUGCGAUAUCGGCAAUUAGUGCCGAUGAUUGGAGAAAAGAAAUCAUUGACUAUUUGAAGGAUCCAUCUAAGAAAGUUGAAAGGCGGGUUCGGUUUCAAGCCACCAAGUAUGUGGUCCUCGAAGAUGAAUUGUAUUACCGAACUAUUGAUGGGAUUCUUCUCCGAUGCUUAGAUGGUGAUGAAGCUAGGAGUUUGAUGGGAGAAAUCCAUGAAGGGGUAUGUGGAGCACAUCAGUCGGCUUUCAAGAUGAAGUGGAUGAUUAGGAGGAAUGAAUAUUAUUGGCUUACUAUACUUGAGGAUUGCUUUAAGUAUUUCAAAGGGUGUCAAGGGUGUCAAAAGUUUGGUAAUAUUCAAAGGGCGCCUGCAUCGGCUAUGAAUCCUAUCAUAAAGCCUUGGCCGUUCCGAGGAUGGGCUAUUGAUUUGAUCGGCCAGAUUUAUCCACCAUCUAGCAAAGGGCAUAAGUUUAUUCUAGUUGCCACCGAUUAUUUCACCAAGUGGGUUGAAGCUAUUCCCUUGAAGAAAGUCACAUCGGCCAAUAUGAUUGAUUUUGUGAAAGAGCACAUCAUUUACCGAUUUGGGAUUCCUUAAACAAUUACUACUGAUCAGGGCACUGUGUUCACAUCAGGGGAAUUUGAUGAAUUUGCAAUCGGUAUGGGGAUUAAAGUGUUGAACUCUUCCCCUUACUAUGCUCAAGCUAAUGGGCAGGCCGAGGCAUCUAACAAAGGAAUUAUUAAGCUUAUUAAACGGAAGAUUGAAGAAAAUCCUAGAAGGUGGCACACAUUGUUAAAUAAAGCUUUAUGGUCAUACCGGAUGGCUUGUCAUGGAUCGACCAAGGUUUCACCCUAUCAGUUGGUGUAUGGGCAUGAUGCAGUGUUACCUUGGGAGAUUAAGGCUGGGUCUAGGCGAUUAUCUUUUCAAGAUCAGUUGGCUGCCGAUGAUUAUGCUACUUUGAUGACAGACGAGUUGGAUGAUCUAGCAGGGCAUCGGCUGAGGGCUUUGAUGAGUAUAGAAGAGAAUAAGAAAAGAGUCGCCAGAUGGUAUGAUAAGAAGGUAAAGACUAAGGAGUUUGCCGAUGGAGACUUAGUAUGGAAAUUAAUUUUACCGAUCGGGACUAAAAGUUCAAAGUUUGGGAAGUGGUCUCCCAAUUGGGAAGGUCCCUAUCGGAUAAGUCGAUCGACUCCUGGUAAUGCCUACAUUUUAGAAACUCUCAAAGGAGUUGAAUUUCCCAGAGCAUUAAAUGGCAAAUAUCUAAAGAAGUACUACCCUAGCAUAUGGGUCGAUGCAUAAGAGUUUAAAUGCCGAUAACACUCCUAUCGGCUGGAUUGAAAUAUGUUUGGAGCCGGACUUAAUGUUUCAAAAGAUGCCGAUAACAGUCCUAUCGGCUAGACUAAACAUCAAGGAAGCUGGAAAGUAGGGAGAAGCGGGUAUGUUGCCGAUGAAGAGCUCACAUGUUUAGCAGCGCUUGGAUGGCCGAUAUGGCACGUAGGCGAAUUUGGUUGGCUGCUUCUAUCUCUUUGACGUCUUCAUCGGCAGAACCUUCUAUCGGCUUCAGCUUCUUCUUCAACUGCAGUGCUUUGUGACCAUGGGCAUUUCGCUCUUGCUCAAGGAGCUUGAUGGUCUCUAGCAGUUGACUCUCUUCCUGUUGGGCUUGGGAUAGGGCGUCCUCCACUUGCUUGAGUUCUGCCAACAGGGCUUCUCUUUUUGCCGAUAGAUCAGAGAUCUUCUGCUUCAGUGCGUCUCCUGAGGACUUCAAGGUGCCGAUGUCCUUGUGCUUCUCAUCGGUCAGGAGCUUUUCUUUCAUCAUCUCUUCAGAAAGCUGGGUCUGAGCGGCUCUAUCGGCAAGGCGCCAGGCAGCCCUCUGGUAUUGCAGUUGACGACUCUCUAGAUGUGCUGCUUGGAAAAGGAUUUCUUCAGCAUCGGUGGGGAUUUGGCCUCUCAGGGUCUUGAAUAAAGCCUUGGCCGGGUCAGAGUCAUCAACUAGUUGGGCUGUGUCUUGAUGAAGGAGGGCCGACAGUUCUUCCAGCCUUGCCCUGAUCUCUGUCGAUGUAACCCCAACAGCUCGAGAGGAGCUUGCUUCCUCACCUUCAUCUUCGGAGACGUCAAUGGCAAAGGAGAAGAGGCUGUCAGGAGAGUCUUGUUCCUGUAAAGGAAAUAAAGUGAGUCAUUCCAUGGUCAUAUAUUGAUAAGUAAUACUGAUGGAAACUGGAUGGCUUACUUGCUUCAAGGCGAUCUCUCGCCUUUGACUGGAAGAUGCCGAUGGAAUCACAGGUUGAUCGGCUGAGACUGCCGGUUGAGCUAUAUCAGCUAAAAAAAUAACAGAGAUAAUUGUAAGACAGAGAGAAUAAGUUCAUCGACAGUAAUCUCAUGAAAUAUAUUACCUUGAGGAAGAGCAAUACUUGUCUGGAUGGAAGAGAUCACCGAUGCUGCUGGGUCGGUAGUUUGUUCAUGCACGUCAGCCGAUGUGUCUUCUGGCUGAAGUACUUCUGGUUGAAAUUCCUCUGGAUGAGGAUCUUCUGCUUGUGGUGCUUCUUGCGGUUGAGGAGGAGAUGGUACUUGCUGAGUCUGUGUUUCUGGAGGAGAAGGAGAAGAUUCCACCGGAAUUGGAGAAACCGGAGGGGAAAGGGGAGUUGCCACUCUCUGGCGCUUUAUUUGUGCUCUGGUACUCCUGGUACCUUUUCUCUUCUGCUGGCUGGACUGGGGGGCAUCAGCACCUUUGCUUUUGGUCCUUGCCGAUGCGCUGGAGUGCUGAUACAGAAAGAAAGACACGUAAGUACAAGUUUGACAAAUAUAAGAAUAAGAUCGGUAUAAAAAUUGAAGGUAUACCCUGAACGCCUGUGCCAAGGUAGAAGUAGCUACCGAUGAGGACAUAUGAGUCCUCUUGGUGGUAACUUUCUUGAGGCGAACACCUCGAUGCAUGAUGGCGGCCAGGGUAGGAGCGUUGUUGCCGAUUGAAGAGAUUGAACCUGAUGGAAACAGGUCAAUCGGCUUGCCGCUCCUGCUAACCGAUGGAGGGGUGUUGUCAACCUACAAGAUGAUACAAAGGUGAAUCACCGAUGGAAAUAAGACUAAGAAAAUCAAAACAUCGGUUUGAAGAUACUUACAGUAUUAUCGGGAACUUCAUACUCGGGGUCGAUCAUGCCGCGGUACGUAAGAGCCGAUCUGCAGAACAGAUGCUCUUUCCAUUCUGCCCACCAUUGCUUGUACGCCUGAGUGAUGAAGGCGGCUGGAACCCACUCUGUCAAGUCUGCAUCUGUAUCGGCACUUGAUGGCAGUUGGGCUACUCGGGUCCAUUCAAGGAGGCUGGUGAUGGUUUCCCUGGGUUUUAUCACAUCGGCAUAAUAGAGUGCAGUCGGUAGCUGGCCGAAAGCUAAUUGACGAGCUAGUACCGAUGGAUUGUAAAACUCAUAGGUCUGGACGGAGGUUUUCCCACUGCCAAAGAAAUUCACUGGUAUAGCUCUAGGAGUGAUCAGUGCCAUCAUCACUUCAUGAUCCUUGUUGAGAGCGUCAUUGAACGGAUUGAAAACCAGAGGAAACAUGGUGUCUGGAUCAUCAUAAGGCAACCAUGCUCGCUGCUCUCUGGUCAAGCCUUCGUACAAGGUUUGGAAGAAUCGGCUGACCUGAUCUGGAUUACCUCCUGUGCCAGGCAGAGCUAUGACAGCCUCACCGAAGUUUAGGGGAGGACGUGUUGCCGAUUCUUCUUCAUCCAGUUCGUAGUCCUUGGCUAUGUCCCUUGGGAAACGCUGUGCAAAAAGAUCGAACUCAAGACGCUUGUGCAUGUGGAGGCUGAGCCACAUGUCGAUGAACCACUAGGGACCUCCCAAGUUACCGAUGGGCUGGCCGAGUAGGAGUUUUCUGGUCACUUGGUGAAGGAGGUGAUAGGCUGCACCGAGCAGGUAUCGGUCGAGGGGAAAUUGGCCACCGUUAGCCAGUCUCUCUGCUGCCGAUAGAUAGACUGAGGUCAGGCCUGCCGAUCGGCCACAGAAUACGAACUUGUCCAGCCACAUGUUUAGAAAGGUGGUUUGUUCCUUUAUAUCGACGGACCCCGUUUUGCGGUACUUCUGAAUGUACCCGGACCAGCCACCGAUGGAGCGGGUUUCUACCUUGGCACUGGGCGUGGUGUCAAAGAAAUGGGUGCUAUCGGCAGAAGAUACAUCUAGGCCAGUGAGCAUAACUACAUCGGCAAGUGUAGGGGAAGCAGGGCCAUGGCCAAAGACAAAGGCAUUGAGCGUGUCCGACCAGAAGUAUGAUGCAGCUAUCAACAGUGAUUCGUUCCUAUGCAUAUCGGCAAUAGACAACCUGAUGCAUUGGUCUAGUUUUCUCUCGCCCCAUUGGACUUCAUUUGAGUGGCUGACCCUCAAGAACCAAUCCUUCCAUCCCACGGUAGGACUGGGCCAGGAACGAAAGGUAUCCUUCCAUAGAUCCAAAGAGAAAUUCUUGGCUCUGAAAGGGAUCUUGUUGGUUUCUGCGUUAAUGAGGUCGGUUGGAUCUGGAUUCCCUAACGGACCAAGACAUUGGAGGUGUGGUUGAUCGGUGGGGAUGACGAUUUUGUUGGACAGAUUCUAAUGGUUUUGAAGGUGAAAGAAAAAACAAAGAAAGAAAAAAAAGAGGAUGUUCAGUAAAAUAGAUUGCGGAUGAAUAGGGAUGCGAAAAAAGCACAAAAGGUGGAGUGAAGAACUGACCUCAGGAACGGUGAAGUUGAUGGCCAUCUCGCCACGAAGAGGAUGAUCGAGGGCUUCGGAGUUGGUGAAGAAGGACUUCGUCGGAGAUCUUGGAGCUCUCGAACAGUGCCGCCGCCGGGAAAGUGGAGUUGGAGCUGUGGAAUGAUGUGAUGGGGAAGAAGUACCCGAGAAGGAACUAUUUAUAGGACAAAACGGGCAAGGACAAAUCUGACUUAUCUCCUCGCCGUAUCCGUGAAAUCUGAGGGUACUCAGGUAGAUAUGGUAACUGUUCGCACGAUGAUCAAGGGAUUGUGCAGGCGAUUUGACAGGAAGCGGUCAUUAUCUAGAGAUAUUUUACUGUGCGAGAUCUCCUGGUCGGUCCAUCGGCAGCGCCUUGUAACGGUCAUAUUGCCGAUGGGCGUGUAAAGUGGAGAUAGCCGUUUGGGAGGAAAAGAUAUGGACGUCCUGAUCAGUCCAUCGGCAAGUCCCUGUAACGGUAAUAUUGCUGAUGCGUGACUAAAAUGGAAAUGUCCGUUUGGGAGGUUGAGGAUUUGGAGGAAUCUGCAGAGGAAUAGGAUCAGAGUUGUUCAGAUUAAGGCUGUCGGUUACUAGAUUGGGAGCAUUAAUUGCAGAAAGGCAUCAUUACCGCAGAGAAUUUCAGAGCAUUAACGAUUUCAUACUCCGAAAUUGGGGGGCAUGUGUUGAUGCCGUUUUUGGGCGCGUAUCCAUGAUUGGUAAAGUGUAGGCCGACACGAUAAGACGGCAGUGCUUGAUCUUCAGGGUAAGUUGCCGAUGAGGAUGGUUGCCGAUGGGGGGAUGGCUGAACGUGACCAAGUCCAUAGGUAAUGAUGUGUUUGUGCCGAUGACUACCACAAGGCAAUCUGCCGAUGAUGCGGGGGAAGAGUUUGGAAGUUGCCGAUCGGCUUGAGGAGGUGUUCCAGUUUGUCACGCGGGGAUAGUUUUAUGUUUUCCUUAGUUAUUUAAAUCGUUUUGUAUACGGAUUCUGUUUAAUUUGGAAUUCGAUUUCUAGUCAUGUCUGGUUGUAGCUCUUUGGGUAGGGUAUAAAUGUGGACCCUAGGGCCUUGUAACAAUGAAUCAAUCAAUCAAACAUCAGUUUUUACUCAUAUUCCAGCAUCUACUAUUUCGACGACUUCGUCAUACUUUUUUCUUUUUAUUACGAGUUCUUAGGAAUUCGUCGACUUAAGCUCGGCGUGUUCUCAAGUUCCGCGUGAAUACCUCUUGGCCGUGGCAUCCGGGCGCAUCGCUGUUGUCGGGACCAAAGUAUUCGAGUUACCACCUUUGCCGAUAGUAAGGUCAAAUCGGCUGGCACGCCUUAACGUUUAAAUCGGGUAUUAGCCUUUUGUGUUUGCAGAUUAGCUUUUGCAUCAACAAAUCGGCUUCGGACUGACUGUGGCGGUGAGUUCACGGAGGUUGAAUUCACCAUGUACUAUGCUGAGGAGGGAGUAGGGCAUCAUCUCAUAGGGCCCUACUCACCGCAGCAGAACGGCGUGGUGGAGCGACGAAAUCAAACCAUCAUCGCCAUGGCGUGAUCCAUGCUGAAUGCGAAGGACAUGCCGGUUGAACUUUGGGGGGGAGGCGGUGGGCACGGUAGUGUUCAUCCUGAACCGUUGCCCCACGAAGGCGUUGAAGGGGCAGACUCCGUACGAAGCUUGGCACGGGCGCGAGCUGAACGUCACGUUCCUACGCAUGUUCGGGUGCGUCGGCCAUGUGAAGACCACCAAGCCGGGCCUCACAAAGCUGGAAGAUAGGAGCACCAAGGUGGUGUUCCUCGGCUACAAGGAGGGAUCUAAGGCUUAUCGGCUCUAUGAUCCGGUCGGCGGUAAGGUGUUGGUGUCACGAGAUGUGGUGUUCGACGAGGCGGCGGCGUGGAAGUGGGACAAGGCAGAGGAGCAAGGAGGCAGUGGGCAUGGCGACACUUUCAUCAUGGAAUGCUUGACGAUCCAUGAUAGGGAAGAGGAGUCUUGAGAGCUAGCAAUCGGGGAAGCCGGUGACAUUACAGCUCCAGAGGUGGUGGAGCCAUCAAGUCAAGCAGUGGCUGGAACGCCAGUUGUGGGGGUAUAAACCCCUAUACCCUUACGACUAGACUUGGGCCAGGAGGCUUGGCCCAUCACAUGACAAAUUCGGGACUUUAUCCAACUGCUCGGAGUUUCGCGCAAGGAAACAAGACGUGGAGAUCAAGUAGGAUUCUAGUCGGUUAGGAUAGAAAUUGAUAUCGUACUAUCUAUGGAAAUUGUAACCGACUAGGAUUGGUUUCCAGAUCUGUAACCCUGCCCUCCGGACUAUAUAAGGAGAGGCAAGGGACCCCCCUAGGACAUCGAAUCUCAACUCGACACAAUCCAUAGCAAUACAAUCAGACGCAGGACGUAGGUAUUACGCCCACACGGCGGCCGAACAUGGAUAAAAACCUUGUCCGUGUCUUGCGUCACCAUCAAGUUCGUUGCUUGCGCACCGUCUACUGAUAAACUACUACCGUGGGUAUACCCCAAGGCGGCGUCAACAAACUCUUUCGACUCUUGCCGGCCAACUCGUGUCACCACACACGAACAGCUGGAGACGUCCCUAACAAUAACAUCGACCCCCAGGGGACGAUCUGUCAAGCUCAAGACAGCUGAAGACCAGAAUUGCCCUUAUGGUCUAAACAAAUCGACCGACCAGUAUUCUCGGCAUACCCAAUUUCUAUUCAGCAGGGCGGGCUUGUCGUCGGGACAGAGCAGCCGGGCAGCUCACCAUUACGUCAACAUGGUAUCCAUCCGAGUCCUGUCGGACGAUAAGGCUACCAGUACGAACUCCAGUACAGGGUCUGUCCCUACCGAGGUUUUACACUCCGAGGACGAAGAUUACGACCUGGAUUUGCCACCAUACCCUCCAGGUUUUUCUCGUUUUCCAGUCUUUCCACCCCAGCGAGGAGAUCUCGUCUUUAACGUCGGCAACGAUGAACCGGUUGUCGACGGCGAAACCGACGAGCAGAAGCAACUCCGCGAGCAGCGCAAUGCCGAUCGUGCUCGGCGGCGCACGGAUGAGGAACGACAACUUGCGCCACACAACCUCAGUGAUGCUUUCGACAUGGUCGGGGAUCAGCCAGUCUACAAGACGCCAAGCGCGAACGUGGCUGUCGCCAUGGCAAAUCUGGACCGACUCCCCGACACCCUGGAGUGCCAGGGCGUCCGGUCCAGUAUACGGGCGCAUCUGAUCGCUGCGAUGGGACAGACAGCCACUUUGCUCAAAAGGGUCCAAGCCGUCCCCUACACGGAGGUUUCCUCUGACCAGACUCAUCGCAGCCGGACUUCACCGUGACCCAGCGGGCGCCAUCAUAGCCGCUCCCUCAACGGUCGCAGAAAGGACGCUGGAUGCGACAACCGUGGUGAGGACAUGGGUGGUUAUCGUGAGCAGAGGCACGGGCGUGGUCAGGAAGUAAACCAGGAUAGGGAUCUACGCUAUAACAUCCCUCCCAAGGAUGCCCGCGACUGCAUCAACAGGCGCGCUACGGAAAGAGCGGUACACGAAAACCUACGACGCAUUGAGUAUGAUGCAGCACACGGCCCCCUGGCCUAAGAUAGUUCUCUUCACACCUUCGCCAGGUCGUAUGGCCCCGCAACUUUAUGCUCGAGAAGCUUAAAAAAUACGACGGCAAGGAGAAUUCUAAAAAUUGGAUCACUCUCUACGAGAUCGCAGUCCGAUCAACAGUAGGAGACGAGCACGUCAUGGCAAAUUACUUCCCAGUCGUCCUUGACCAAGCUAGCCAUCAGUGGCUCCUCGGCCUGCCUGAGGACUCCUUCGAUUCUUGGGAAGAACUGUGCCAGGCGUUUAUUGACAAUUUCAUCGCUACCUGCAAGCAGCCUAGAAACUAAUACGAUCUCGAGAGAAUAAGGGACAGAAAGAACGAGCCCUUGCGCGAUUACAUCCGACGAUUCUCGGAUAUGCGCCUUAAGAUUCCAAAAAUUUCUCACGACGAGGCCAUAUCAGCCUUCAUCAAAGGUCUACGCUUCCAUGAAGCACUAAGGAAUAAGCUACUGCGCAAAAGGCGGACCACGGUUACCGAGCUCCUCGCCACGGCAAAAAACUACGCUGAUGCCGAUGACGCAGAAAAACUCAUCCGAGAAGAUGCGAGAGGCGCCCACCAGCCUUCCCGACGAGACGACAGUCGCGGACGCUUCGACAACCGAAACCCUCACCGCAGUGACAACCGCGACCACCGAGAAGGUUGGGACAAGCGACGCGACAACCGUGAUGAUUUUAUAAGCAAGCGACCUCGUGACCACGACCACGAGGUGAACACAAUCAAGCGCCCCAACGGACGACGGGACUAUCAGGAAGACUACAACAAGACACUAAAAGGACCAUGCCAACUCGAUCCCAAGUCCAACCAUACGAUGGAAGAAUGUCGCGUCCUAAAAAGCAUCUAUACUCAGCGGGCCGCUCAGGGAGACUCUGUUAAGAAAAAUGGGAAACAAGAUAGGCACGAAGACGAAGACGACGACCAGGAUAGGGACCCGCGGCACCAGUAUGUCAGCCCUACCGAUGUGGUACAUUCCAUCUUUGGAGGCAAAGUUUCCAUCGAAUCCAAACGAGAAAGGAAGCUCCUGAAGAGAGCCUGCCUCAAUGUGGACAGCUCGGAUGGUCUGAUCACUGACCCGAAGUUUCCCCCUGGUCGCACAGAGAGAUCUCCUUCAACAGGCAGGACUAGUGGGCUGCAAUCCCAGAGCCAGGACGUUUUCCUCCGAUCCUAGACCCUUGCAUCUACAGCGUCAGAUUCGAGCGCGUGCUUGUCGACGGAGGCAGCUCCAUCGAUAUUGUUUUCCACAAUAGCCUGCCUGCUCUCAAGCUAACUUUAGCGCAACUGAAGCCAUAUGACGCUCAGUUCUGGGGCGUCCUGCCAGGUCAAAGUUCAGUACCCCUCGAGCAGACAACGCUGCCUGUCCAGUUUGGAACACCCGACCACUUUCGCAUAGAGUUCGUCAACUUUGUGGUCGCCGACUUUGACGGUACCUAUCACGCAAUUCUAGGUCAUCCCUCGCUGACCAAGUUCAUGGCGGUCCCGCACUACUUGUAUUUGGUCCUCAAGAUGCCAACUGAGAAAGGCGUCUUGACCGUCAGAGGCAACAUCUACACCGCAUACACUUGCGAGGAGGAAAGCUUCAACAUCACUGAGGCAAUUGAUCUCUCGAUUCGCAUGACAGAAACUGUAGCUCAAGCCACGCAAGUUCCACCCGACUAGCUCCAACUACCUGAGCAGGAGACUCCAAGGAAAAACUCAAAGUCCAAAGAGCACAAGGAAGUACAGCUGGUCGACGGCAACCCCGAGAAGACGGCUCUCAUCGGGGCCAACCUGGACCCCAAAUAGGAAGACGCGCUCGUUAGGUUUCUAAGGGACAACGUAAGAAUUUUUGCAUGGAAACCCAUAGACAUGCCCGGCGUCCCACGAAACCUGGUCGAGCACUCCUUAAAUGUCUUGAAGACCGCAAGACUGUUGACGGUCCUUAAGUAUCAAAUUUAAUCAUCAAAUAAAUAAAGAAAAGGAUCCAAAUGCAACGAACACCUAGACUUAGGGUUUUAUCUAACAGAAUUCCACAAGUUUUGGUGUUUGUCUAUUUCUGUAGGGGGUUAUCAGGAAAUAUGGAGGAAAGGCUCACACGUCGGGUUUACAUAGAGAUAUUAACGUGCCGCGCAAUUUUCUAUCAUCUAGAAGACUCCAGAAGUCACAAGAACGAACGGGAAGCCAAGCGGGCUCGGGGGUAGGGCGCCCGCCCGCCCCCCUUGGGCGCCCACCCAGCUACAGAGUCCAAUCCGGACUCGUUUCGCGGAUUACGCUCCACCGACCUAAAGGAUCAAGGAUAACCGUUCAAUCAAUGUCGGUUUGAUCCGACGGCCUAGAUUCACUUGAGGGGACUAUAUAAGUAGACCCCCUGGCCCCUGGAGGAGGCACCGCUUGAUCCCUAUUAAUUAUUCAUAGACAGAGCAAAAGCUAGGGUUUGGAGAUGAGAGCUCUCCUCUCAUCUCUAAACUAGAGUAGAUCUAGAUAGUAGCGAGAUGGAGAGCGAGGGAGGAUUGGAGGAGAGGCCGGCCUGUCGGUUCUUCCUCUGGUUGUACUUCGCCAUGAUCAAGCUCUAAUCAAGCUUGCUCAUGGGAUGACUCUGGUAAUCUACUUCUAAUUCAUUAUGCAAUUACUAAUCAUGUAUGUUCUGGUUCACAACUCUUUUGAGUACUUUAAUCUAUAGGACGCUAUAGGUGAUAGUUGUAGUAUAGGUGUAAGCGUGGUGCUUAGACCUAGAUUACUUGUGGAUAUCCCCUGUCUAGCUAGAUCGUGUGGUAGGCCGCGUAGGUGACAGUUACGUUGAUCCUCUGUAGUCCACCUCUUGUUAGCAGGACGGGUAGGGUUUAUCGCCCUAUGGAUAAGCAUCCUUUGUGGUGUAUUCUUAUCACGUGGUUCGUCCCAGACAUAGACAUACCCCUUUGAAGUAGAGAAACCAUAGUUAUCCUCUCUAUUCUGCUACCAUCGCCCAUAUAUUAGAUUGCUCUACUCUCUAUUCCCAUAUUAUCACCCAUUGUUAUUUUACCUUUAAUAUUGUUCUUAUUCAAUUCUACCAUCUUUCCUAUUUACACCUACCUAUCUAUCUAGGUUAAGUUAGAGCGUAGAUCAGUUCUCCCGUUUUCCUGUGGAUACGAUAAAACCUUUAACCGGGUAAAAGCUACAACGGUAUCCGUGCGCUUGCGGAUUUAUCUGUGUGCGUAUAAAUACCAUAGUACACUCUAGUGCCAUGGUGGGGAUGACAACCUAGUAUUCAAGUGGUGUUAGCUAGUUUUAACAAGCAUUUUUGACGCCGUUGCCGGGGAGACGGUUGCUGAGUUGACUACGAACUAGCUUAAUCAUUUUCUAAAAAAAAUAUUUUUCCUUUUACCCUUUGCCUUAUCUCUGCUAUUCUUUCUUCUUAUCUAAUCCUUGAUCUCUGGUCUAUCAUGAAUUCAAACAUGUCUAUCUACGAAUUCCAUAGACCUACGGGCACACAUCUCGAACCACCAAAAUCUUCAAAGCCUAUCAUAGCAUCUAGUUUUGAGAUAGACCCCGAAUACAUAGAAUUUUUUCAAAAACAACCUUUCUCAGGAGAAGGUGAAGAAAACCCAUACAUACACCAAAGAGAGUUUUAUCGAGUCUGUGACCUCCUUCGCAUAAAAGGCAUGUCCGAUGAGACCCUUAAAUGGAAGCUCUUUCCGUUCUCUUUAAUAGGAAAAGCUAGACAUUGGUAUAAACUCAAAGUAGGGAGUGUUCAUGGAGAUUGGAAGGAGAUACAUAAUAGUUUUCUUUUAAAAUAUUUUCCAAUCUCUAAAGUGGCGGAACUUCGGCGUGAGAUUAUUUCUUUUAGACAACUGGAGGAAGAAUCUCUUGGCAAAUCAUGGGACCGCUUUAUUAACCUUACUCUCAUUGGCCCAAAGCUUUCUAUUCCACAAGAAGUUCUUCUAAUUCACUUUUUUGAGGGCCUUAGUAUGGAAAAUAAGCAAACAUUGAAUACAGCCUCCGGAGGAUCUUUCCAUCACCUAUCCGCUAGUGAAGCUUGGAAUUUGAUUGAUUUAAUGAGCGAAAAGUCUCCUAGCUUUUAUAUCCCUGAGAAAGAGAAAGAACCAGUUCCUAGACAAGAAGAAGAAGUUUCGAUAGCCACAUCACAACCACUUCAAUUCCAAACUUUAGCUAUCGAUCCUAAACCAUCAAUACCCCAAAAUUCUCCAAGGGAGGAAGUAAUUCCGACCUUAAAUCUUUUAGAUACUGAUGGUUUAGACUUCUGGUUCCAUAAGAGACCUUCAAGCAGGGAUAAUUCAAAUCCUUGCAAUAAUGUUUCUCUUAGAAAAUGUCCUGGUUCCUUUUAUGAAGAAGUCGAGGAUGACAUAUCAAGUGAAGGAGAGCUAAGCCAUAUAGAAAAUUCUAUCAGCUCCCCUUUCCUGAUCACAAGUUCUAAAUGGCUAGAAUGUGUAGAAUGGAUGGAUAAGGAAGAAGCCUUAAUGGAUUCUGACUUUGGCUAAAAUGGUGAGUUCUUGACUCCCUUUGAAAAUGGGAUUCAUCCAACUAUAGAAGAGGACAUAGGUGAGACCAAUCCAGGAGAAAUUUCAAACAUUCAGAUUGGAGACGAAGAUAACAUUAAUGAGCAUGGAAUUUAUUUCAAAGCCAUCUCAUUUACUCCAUGCUCAUAUGCAACAUCUUCCCAAUCUAUUGGUCUCUCCAACAUCACCACAUUUGAGAUCUCCAACCCCCUCUUCCUUUAUAUUUAUAAAAACUUUAAAAGGGCGGUUGUCAAUGCAUAUGUCUAUAAUAAAUAUUGUAGAUCUCAUUGAGUUGAUCUUGAUAUAGGUCAGCGUUGGAAGGGAAACCACUACGCCGAGAUAAAUUGAUGGUUUCCCAAGGACAAGCUUAGUGUCCUAAAAUAUGCAUUGAUCAGAUCGUAACAUGAGCUUUUAAUUAUUUGCAACAUUACCUUGUGUAUUGAGCAUAUAAGGAUAAUUGUAAAAAUAUUCCUUCGGGUAUUCUUGUCACUAACCUUUCUAAGAUUGGAGCAAGAAGAUCGGAUGAAUGACAAGCACAAGGUACGUCCAACCGAUCAUCAUACAACAUUGAAUUAAGUUCAUCCAAACUUGAAUUUUGCAAAAUUCAAGCUUGGCGAAGUACCUUACAUAAAAACAUCUUUUGUCAUGUUGCUAUGUUGGUUGUCCCUACCUUUGAAACAUGCUUAAUUUGUUAAAUACUAAUCACACUACUUCAUCUCCAUUUGAGUCGAUCUCUAUAAAUGCUGUCAUGCUACCUUUAUCUAUUUACUAGCAAGUGUUGGUUUGGAAGUACUCGCCAUACUUCCAUUGGCAUUUAAAUUAAGCAUGGUGCUUAGGUUAAAUAGCCUUCCUUAAUCUGAUUAGACAUGGAGUCUAGUUUGGUUAUUGAACUAAAAACUGCUUGAGUAGAUAUUGGUAUAUUUUGUCGGACUAACCCCUGCAGGAAAACUUUCAAUAUCAACCUGGGAAGUCCUGAGAUAAACUCACAUUGGAGACAAGGAGAGGGACACAUGAAGUUUAACAAUUUGCACAAGAAGGACAUAGCUCAUUCAUCAUAGAGAGAUGAUCCAUGGAAGGAGACAAAGUACAUAAACAAGAUACACAACCACUACGAAUGGGAAGCUUCCACAAGGUGAGAUGGUACCAUCACUCUUCAAUUAAGGUAACAUCUUAAGAUAUCUGACUAUCACUUUUAUAAGCUUCUCCUUGGUUCUGGCGUUCACAUAAAUAAAGAGACAAACAUGUAUGAUUUAUAACUCCAAAUUAACCAACCCAACUGACUCAGCAUGUUUAGUCCUUUAAUCUUUGUUCCUAGUACUACCUCCAUGAUCCCACACUCCUAAUCAUAUGAGCUAAAAUGUUACACAUUCAAUCUUUGAGAGAUAUAAAGAAAAAGACAUAUACAUAGAUAGAUUAUCUUUCCAUAAGGUUGAGCGAUCUGAUCUGACAAAUGUUAUAAGUACUGCACUCAUGAACUUAUCAUCCAUCACCAUUGUCUUGCUCACUAUGCUUAAGGUUAGAGAAGAACAAAUACACUUUUGGUUCUGUGGGUGUUUUCCACCAACAGGACCCAUGCACUUGAUCUCUGCCUUGUCUCUAUGAGCAGGUACACUUCAAGCAAAAUAUGGAGGAGUUUUAUAACUCUCAGACUCUACCAAAUGAAGGACCUGGAUCUACGAGCACAAACACACUGAGCAGGAUGCUGCCAACGCCGCACUUCGAACUGCUGGGCAAACGAAGAACAUGGGUGACACCGUAUCAAGAGGUGCAGACGUCAAGGUCCACACCUGAAUCAAAUGGCGCACCUAAAGAAUGAACACGGUGAGAAGUCUUGUUCAGAAGACUUAAAACAUUGGAUCCUUCCGGAAGGUAAAAUCGGUAUUUAUCCAUAUUUAUCUUUUCUGCAAUCCUUUUCCUUUUUUUAUUUCAUCACUUGCAUUAGUAUAUUUACUUUUCCACAUUAGCAUUAGAAAAGAAAACAAAAAUAUUUGUUCAUUGCACUGUAUCAUAAAAUCUAAAGCCCCAUGUGAGUAGACUUGUGGUUUAAAACCCAUAGGUAUAUUGACUGUGGUGGUAUAAAAUAAAUAUGUUUUGAUCUUACAAUAAAAAAAAUAAUAAGUGCAUGAUCCUGCUAAAUAAAUAAAAUUUAUUAGGGGGAAUAUCAAUAUGAUAAAGGCUAAGAGAUUUUAUGCUAACACUUAACCAUUCCACAAAGCUUUGUUGUCUAUUUGAGCUCCACAGAAUUCAAGGAUCAAAGAAGACUAGCAAACGGAGGACAUCCUAAUCGCUGUCAGGGUGCUGCCGACAUUCAAAUACACCUCCGUCAACUGCUAGCUACAUCAGAAGAAAUUACGUCAAAAUCCAGCUUGGGGGAGAGCACCCCCAUUUAUCCAGCUAAGUGUUUCUACUCAUAUUUAUACUUUACUCAAAUAAUAAAAAGACGCAUAAUCGUAAAAACCCAAAUAAAGAUUUUAUGCUUAUAUAUAUAUAUAUAUCUUUUCUUAGUUUGCUAAAUAAAUAAAUAAAUAAAGUUUGCUAUGAACCCUCAUAAUAGGCUCUCACAUGGAAAUGAUGAAUAGUUGCUCUGCCAUGAUUAGUUCUCAAAAUUGAAAUCUCUCACAAGUUUAGGUAUGACUGUUAUGAAUUAAGAUUUGCUCUAAACCUAAACUUGUGGGAAGAGUACUUGAUCUAAAGUCUAAACGGAUAUGAUAUGGGAAGGUUGAGCUGCUGUUUAUCUGUUCCUAGAGAUGCUAGAAUUCUGGAGAAUUUUAUCUUUAAAAAUCUUUAAAAUAUUGCAUGAUGAGUUCCUGUAUAAUGAGAGUUUAAAAUCCUACCACAGCCAUAUAUACAUGCUUAUUAGACUAUGAACCAUACAUUUACUUUUUACUGCUUAUGAGCAUUGAGUGUGGUCAAGCUGUGUAGACCCUUAGGAGCUUGUCAUGCGGUUAAAAUCAAGAUUCACUUGCACGUUCACUCAUACAUGCUGCUUCUACUCCGAUAGUACGCAUCCACAUACAUCCACUCAUUUCCAUAUCCAGAUUCACCUAAAAUUAUUCUAUUCCUAUCCAGGAGAGAAUAGCCAAAAAUAUUAUCCUAUCCCUGUUAUUCCCCAUGAAAUAAAUGCUCGAGAUAUUUUGGUUACUACCACUUGCUACAUUAUUCCAAGAGGGUGAGUGCUCUGAAAAAAAAAGAAAAGUGAAUACGAGGAAAUAAAAAGGGGCAAGUGCCCGGAACCUCGAAAGAAAAGAAAAAGUAAGACGAGAGGUAAAAAUGGACAAGUGUCCGACAGUAGAAUUAGGGGUACAAGAUACCCACCUGAGAGAAAAGAAAAAGAAAAUAUAGAGCAUCUCAUUCCUCUCAAAAACCUUCAAAGUGCAAGAAAGGUAUGUAUCCCCUCAAAAGAGCAAAAGUAGAAUUAGACUUUCACCAUUAUUUUCAACAUUAUCACCAUCAUCACCAUACACCAUUCAUUCGCCACGCAUGCACAUCUUGAUUUGACUUAUUGACUUGUUUCUCUAGAUCCAUGGUUUGACUAUGCAAUAAAUGUCUUGUAAGUAUGUAUUAGCUGUCUCCCACCUAUGAGCCCAGAUAUCAAAACCUUGUUAGAGUAGGGUGAGAGAGAAGGCAAUAAUAUCAUUAUGCCUCAUACCACAAAUACCACAUACUUUGAGAGAAGGCAUAUAUCAUCACUGCCUUGGUAAGGAUCCAGAAAUACCACAAAAGAGAGACUAGAGAGAGUCAUACAAGGAAUCUCUGAGUUUUAUUUGAAAAUCUACAAAAACUCCAGAGCUAUAGUUGAUCAAAGAACAAGAGACAUGGUGCUUCACUUGACCGUUCUAUCUUUUAACUGCUCAAGACACAAUUGACGGUUGCAAGCCCCAUGGUGGAAGGUAAUAUGAGUAAACUUAAAUCUUAAUAGUUUAUCUUAACCUAGACAUGAGAUCUUGUUUGAACGCAUGAGUACCUUUAAGGCAUAAAACCACAGCAAAAACUCUUGAGUCCAUCUUUGCUCAGGGACGAGCAAGAGGUAAGCUUCGGGGAGUUUUUUGACGGUCCUUAAGUAUCAAAUUUAAUCAUCAAAUAAAUAAAGAAAAGGAUCCAAAUGCAACCAACACCUAGACUUAGGGUUUUAUCUAACAGAAUUCCACAAGUUUUGGUGCUUGUCUAUUUCUGUAGGGGGUUAUCAGAAAAUAUGGAGGAAAGGCCCACACGUCGGGUUUACAUAGAGAUAUUAACGUGCCGCGCAAUUUUCUAUCAUCUAGAAGACUCCAGAAGCCACAGGAACGAACGGAAAGCUGAGCGAGCUCGGGGGCAGGGCGCCCGCCCUCCCCCCUUGGGCGCCUGCCUAGCUAUAGAGUCCAAUCAGGACUCAUUUCGCGGAUUACACUCCACCGAUCUAAAGGAUCAAGGAUAACCGUUCAAUCAAUGUCGGUUUGAUCCGACGGCCCAGAUUCACUUGAGGGGACUAUAUAAGCAGACCCCCUGGCCCCUGGAGGAGGCACCCCUUGAUCCCUAUUCAUUAUUCAUAGAUAGAGCAAAAGCUAGGGUUUGGAGAUGAGAGCUCUCCUCUCAUCUCUAAACUAGAGUAGAUCUAGAUAGUAGCGAGAUGGAGAGCGAGGGAGGUUUGGAGGAGAGGCCGGCCUGUCGGUUCUUCCUCCGGUUGUACUUCGCCAUGAUCAAGCUCUAAUCAAGCUUGCUCAUGGGAUGACUCUGGUAAUCUACUUCUAAUUCAUUAUGCAAUUACUAAUCAUGUAUGUUCUGGUUCACAACUCUUUUGAGUACUUUAAUCUUUAGGACGCUAUAGGUCAGAGUUGUAGUAUUGUCGACAAAAGCUAGUCGGCAGUCUACCCAGGGGUAUACCCACGGUAGUAGUUUAUCGGUAGACGGUGCGGAAGCUACGAACUCGACGGAGAUGCAAGACACAGACAAGGUUUUUAUCCAGGUUCGGCCGCCGUGUGGGCGUAAUACCUACGUCCUGCGUCUGAUUGUAUUGGAUUGUGUUGAGAGAAUCUCCUUGGGGGGUCCCUUGCCUCUCCUUAUAUAGUCCGGAGGGCAGGGUUACAGAUCUGGAAACUAAUCCUAGUCGGUUACAAUUGCCAUAGAUAGUUCGAUAUCAUUCCUAUUCUAACCGACUAGAAUCCUGCUUGAUCUCCACAUCUUGUUUCCUUGCGCGAAACUCCGAGCUUGUCGGAUCAAGCCUCGAACUUGUCUCGUAAUGGGCCAAGCCUCCUGGCCCAAGUCUAGCCGUAAGGGUAUAGGGGUUUAUACCCCCACAGCUAGUCCCCGAGCACCAUGUAUUGUGAAGUAACACGCCGUCUUGAGCUUCUUCAACUAGUGAGGUUUGACAUCUUCAAUAAGCAGGAAGGUCGCCCAAACAGUUGCAACGGUAUUUUGACCAACUCAAAAGAUAAUUGACCAACAUUGACAUCGAAGAAGCAGGUUGUUCGAAGAAUGCAUGGUGCUCUUGAGAAAAAAUAUUUCUUUUCUCGAUGAAGUGUGCCCACUUUACUUUUAUAAAAAGUAUGUCCUUAACAAAAAAGGCAAGCAAGUUCACCACAAGGUGAAGUGUGCCCACUUAGUCCCCGAGCAUGGUAGCAGGUGUCGUAGGCACGUGGUGCCAGGGUCAAAAGAAAAGUCCUCAAAGAAAUUCUUAAACUGAGAUGCAUCGCCAGAUGCAUCGUACCGAUGUAGUCCCCGAGCUUGCUGGAAGGCGAAGUAUGAGCCAUGUAGCAAGGUCUAAAAAAUUCAAGUUUUCUAGUCCCCGAGCAUCUCAUGCUCAUUUGCCAUCGGGUAGACUUACCAACCAGUCCCUGAGCGUGUAGUGCUCGGUGGUUGGUGCAGUACCCAGAUUUCCAAACUGGCAGACUGGUCGACCAGUACCCAAGCAUACAGUGCUCGCUGGUCGGUGCAGUCCCUAGAUCUCCAAACUGGCAGACUGGACGACCAGUCCCCAAGCAUACAAUGCACGGUGGUCGGUGCAGUCCCCAGAUCUCCAAACUGGCAGACUGGACGACCAGUCCCCGAGCAUACAGUGCUCGGUGGUCGGUGCAGUCCCUAGAUCUCCAAACCGGCAGACUGGACGACCAGUCCCCGAGCAUACUGUGCUCGGUGGUCGGUGUAGUUCCCAGGAACGUUGAUCCUCUACCAAUUUUCGUCUGUUAUUUUGAAAAACAUCUCAUCACAUAAAUGGGUGAUGUGACGAGACCUCCUGACGCAUUGUCAGAUGGUUGCGUGAAAAGGUGCACCCGGUAACUGCGCAGCCGCUCUUUGCGUGGUUCAAGAAAAGGAAACCAUUAAUUAUGCAAAAAGGCUGCCGUAUUAACUGCUGGUAAUUGUUGGAAGCCGAAACGCCGCAUCUGCCGCUGGGCCCGCCCACUUCCCAAGAAUGCGGGAAGUGGGAGGGGUGGAGUUGUUACUUAUAAAAGCUUGAUGGUGCCCCCGUAUCGUUUACCCUGCCAUUGCCUUCAAGCUUUCCAUUCUUGCCUUCUGCAACCAUCAUCAAUCCCCCAACCUCGUAGUCAUUCCCACAGUGUUAAUGGCGAAAAGCGACUCCAAGAAGAGGGCCGAGCUGAUGGCUAAGGAAUGGAAGAAGUCUCGGAGCAGCGUGAGGUCCCUCAAUGACCUCGUCGGCAUGGGUCUACUACACAGCCAAGAGCUCGGCGGCUGGAGGGUGCCGGAGGGGGAGAGCUACCCCGACCCCCGUGCCGGUGAGAUAGUGGUUUUCGAAGAUUUUUUCAACAGGGGUUUCGGGGUUCCUGUCCAUCCUUUUCUCCAGGGGCUUCUUCUUUACUAUGAGAUCGGGAUCUGCAAUCUGUACCCGAACUCAAUUCUUCUUAUUUCCACUUUUAUCCAUCUGUGCGAGGCCUAUGUUGGGAUAGAGCCGCACUUCGAUCUUUUCCGCUACCUUUUCUGUUUGAGGAAGAAAGGAGCGGUUGGAGGCUCCAAGAUUGCAGGUGGAGUAUACCUCAAUCUUCGUGACGGGAUGAAGAACUGGUAUCUCAGCUACCCAUGGAACACUUCGCUUACCGAGUGGUACAAGAAGUGGUUCUACGUCAGGGAAGAACCGGGCAGCUCCACGUUCUGCGACGUGGGGUACAUUCCCGAGAAGAGGGUCAGUUCGACAGACCGCCCAGCGUUCACCGGUCAGGUAGAAGACCUGAUGAAGCUGAUCGAUUGGUCGUGUUUGGACGGGCUAGGAGUGGUCGGCAACUUCGUUUGUCGUCGGGUGAUGCCCUGCUAGAAGAGGGUGCACUCGGCGUACGAGUACGCUGGGAGCCAGGACCCGACCAGGAUGAGCCCAGAGGUCUUGGAGAAGGUGGAAGUGCAACAGCUGUUGAACGAGCUGUUCAACUUUGCCGACGGCAGCUUCGUCCGUAGUAGUGAUCGGGUGCAGGCCUUCAAGCUGGGGCGAACAGCUCCCAAGGUAAUGUUGCGAACCGAUUUUGCUUUUUCGAGUACUAGUUCUCCUAGUUGUUGAUUUGUCUUUUAUUUUUGCUGUAGAUUGGAGACGUUGACCAGUGCGCGGUGUUCGUAUCACUGGCACCCGGCAUGGAGAACCCCGCGGGGGUAGACCCGUCGGAAGAGGACGCUGCUCGGUGUGCUUGGUACACCAGCAGUGAGGAAGAGCAGAACCAUCCCGCCCCGACCACCGAAGACAGAGUGGCGGGGAAAAGGCCGCUAGCAGCAAACCCCUCCCCUGCGGAAGCGCUGUCGGCGGAGAGCAGUCAGGCGCCAAAGCGCCGUCGACUCAUCCGGAUCACCGACAACGACGACGAGGAGGAGGAGGCCGCGCCUUCCCUGGUCCGGAGGCCGCGCAGUCGUCCGGACGUAGCGCCGACCACCACUGAUCGGGUGACUAGCGACCCUCCUACACCGCGCAUCGUAGAGACGGGGGCGCAGGCACCAUCCGGUAGGACCAGGAGGAGGUUCACCGCAACACACAGGCGAUCUGACCUGUAAGUGUUUAAUCUUACUUUCGUACUGCGACGUUCUGCAUUUUGCUGCUAUUUCUGACAUUAUUUAAAUGUCGUUUCGUUGUCCAGCGUGGCGUCGGAUGUCGACCCCGACCAGGUCGCUGAAUAGAGGACGGCUGAGCCUGUAGCCGCCGUUGGUGACGCCGCGCCGCAAGCCACGGAGCAGCCUGUGGUGACAACUGCUGCUACGAGCGCCGAGGAAUAACCGGCCCCGGCGAGUGCCGCGGCGAGCAUCCCGACGAGGGAUGAAGAGGCAGCGAGGACCCCUCCACCGAGUAAUGUUGUGGGGGAGGAAGACAGAGUCCCGACUCCUCCAGCCGGAGAAAGGGGGGUCCCAACACCGCCCCGAGCAGAGGCCUCUUCGCCCAUAGGCUCCCCUGGCCUGCACCAGGGGCCAGUGAUGCCUACGACCGCGGCCGGUGGCAGUGCGGCGAACGAGGAGCCCUGGGCGGCCUCUAACGACGACGUGGAGGAGAUCCAGGGUCGUCCCAGUGACGGCCGCCAGCACGUCUACGUGUGGCGCCAACGCGGGGACCACUUCAUUGGACAUGAGGAGCUCGCGGAGACGGAAGAGGCCGCGAGGGUGGAGCGCGCGGCCAAGCGUCUCGUGGACGAGGUUAAGGUAAGUAGUCCUUUGUGCUGCUCGACACUUAUAUGCUGUGUUCCUGGGUUCGACAUAUGUUCUUCUUGCAGGGCGCGAUGAAAACGGUGAAGUACCGGAAGAGGUGCUUCGACCAAAUAGAGCGCAUUGUGGCCGAGAACAAGGCCUUGUCCACGCAGGUGGACCGGCUUCGGUCGGAAGUUGGAGAGAAGGUGGCCGAGAUGAGUGCUCAGGAAGAGCGUCGUUUCGAGCUCACUCGGCGUUUAGCCGACCAGUAUCGGCAGCGGACAGGUGAGUCAUGUACUCCGAGCAUCUGUUUGUGGCCGCGUGGCUAGUUGUGUUGACCAGAGGAUUGUUCCUGUAGACUUGGAAGAGGAGGUCGCGCGCCUCCGGCAAGAGAAGGAACAGCUCGACCAAGAGCUUGCCGGGGCGCUGGAGGCCGGGCGCCGAGCAGGCGAGGAGCUAAGCCACAGGAAUCGGGAAUUGUCUGGUAAUAACCGUGCCACCCCCUUUUUAUUUGGUUGCUUCACAUUCCUUUCCUUGUUCUGACCUCCUGUUUGGUUUGUAGUGCUCAAGGUGAAUACCAAGAAGCAUUUAGACGAUCUGGUCAAGGAUCGGGACUCCUGGAAGGCCAACUGCAUUAAGCUUUGGAAAGGAGUGGCCCCGGUUCUGGACUUGAUCAGCCCUGAGCUUCCUGAAGACCAGCCCCGCGCGCCGAGACUAACGCCAGUCGAGAAGGCGCAACGAGCGUGGGACUGGCUCCAACAGUUCGUCAAGGACGCCGGGGAGUUCGCCGGCGCGCACGUCCUCAGCAUGGUGUGCGCCCACUAUCCCCUGGUCGACCUGUCCAGGCUGGAGAGGGGGUACCCUAAGGAAGUUGGCCCACAGGAGGCAGACGACCUUCGAGCUGGCCUGCUUGACUUGUCGUCGACGGUGAUCGGCGACAUCAACCAAUGCGGGACGGCCACUCCCCCCGACCAGCCGGGGUCAGACAGAUCGGCCAGGGAGUUGUCGGGGGCGUCCAUUGCCGGAGAUGGGCGGUCGACGCCUGCGGUCUCGACCAACCAGGCACCGGUGGCCCCGACCCCUUCGUCUGGGCAGCAAGGCCAAGCGGGUGAUCAGCCCGAGCAGUAGGCCUAUAGGAUAGUCUGUAGGAGUAGACUAGUAUCCGCCCGUCGGGGUGUUUAUUGUAAACUUUGUAUGUAAAGUUUGUAAUAAAAUUUGAUUUUGUCAUGACCAUGAUUCUGAGAGCUGUAAUGUUAUCUGGGUGAUGUAUCACUGUGUUUGAUUGAUAGUCGUUAAGAGUCUUUGCCGCAGAGGAAGACUGUUGUACUCGUCGGAACCUCUGCGUGUAAACAAUACAUAGCGAAAAAGAAAAACUUUUAUUAUUGCUAAUUAUAAGAAACUUACAAGCAAAAGAUACUGGAACUUAUGGAUAAAAACGGCGCAGUUUGUCUAUGUGCCAAGAAAUGGGCACGCGUGUUCCAUCUCGAUAUGCCAGUCUGUAGGAUGUAGGGCGUGUGACCUCGGCGACCACAAAGGGUCCUUCCCAAGGCGUGGAUAACUUGUGCGUUCUUUCCUGGCUUGUUUUCCACUUGAGUACUAGGUCACCGACUGCGAAAGAAUGGUCUUUGAUGUUCCUGUUGUGAUACCGCCUGAUGGCUUCGAGAUACUUUGCUGUUCGAAGACAUGAAAUUAGACGCUUUUCCUCCAUGCAGUUGAUUUCGAGCUCCCUGGCGUUGUCAGCCGUUGAUUGGUCGAAGUUUUCAACUCUUGGAGGUCUGAAGGUUAUAUCAGACGGAAGUACUGCCUCGGAGCCAUACACCAUGAAGUAGGGUGAUACACCUGUAUUGCGACUGGCCUGUGUUCGGAGACCCCAGACCACGGCCGGCAAUUCUUUCAUCCAUGGACCAGGCGCUCUGUCGUUCUCGGUGUACAACCUUUUCUUUAGGGCAUCAAUGAUCAUUCUAUUUGUGCGUUCGACUUGACCGUUUUCUCGUUGGUGAGCAACUGACACGUAUUUUAUGACUAUGCUUCUGUCAUCGCAGAAGUCCCAGAACGUAGUGCCAGUGAACUGAGUGCCCAGGUCGGUGAUUAUACUGUUGGGGAUCCCGAAUCUGUGUAUGAUUUGAUUAAGGAACUCCACGGCCUUCUUGGAGGUUGCUUUGACCAGUGGUGUAACACCCUAGGGGUUUGUCACUUGCUAAGUACUAGGUUUGAGCUCAAACAUGACAAGUUCAUUGGUAAUAAAGAGGUCAAAGUCAAUCUAUGAAAGUAAACCCCAACUUGGGCUUGGUGGAUGCAACCUUGCUUGCAUAUAUGCCUUUUUAAAAGGUAUGCUUUGAUGAUGCUAAUGGAACCUUUUCCAUGUGUCUUAUAUCCAUCCCAAUCUAUGUUGGUCUCUGGAAAAGUUUGGUGAAGUUUGGAAUCAAGAAGUCACAUGAAAUGAUAAGUUAUAUCCUUGUUGGAAUGGCUCUAUUAAGGAAAUAGAAUCAUGGGUCACCAACCAGACCUUGCAAACUUGCUCAUAUGACACUAGAUGAAUUAUACAACAAAAGUCAUGAAGGGUUCAUGUUGAGCUUAUGUAAAGAAAAUGCUGGAAUUGGCCUAAAACCCUAUUUGGAGCUUUAUCAGGAUACUGCUUUGACCAAAGUGAAAGUUUGACUUCGGUUGGAGUUAUGAGGAUUGACCCUAAAUAAAAGUUGUAGUUUUCCUUCUGUAGAAGAAACUUUAUUCAAGGGUCAAGAACCAAAUCAGCCUGCAAAUAGUUCAAACAGAGGCUCAAAGUUCGAAUCAGCUGCUGCUUUUUAGCCCUGAGAAAUAAUUCUAAGUCCCGGAAAGUGACAGCAGCAAGUUAGCUUCUUUGUGACAUUUUAGCAUCCAAAUUCAUAUAGUAACUCAGUUGGAUUCCUUAAUAUGAGUUGGAUUACUCUUCUUGAUGAAAGCAAUGGAUCAAGUAUCAUCAAAUUUAGAGUUCAUUUGGAUAUCUAAAAGUAGCUCCCAAAACAGCAAAUGAUUAUUUUAUCGCUAAACGGACGUCGACCCGUUGGCAUGCCGUGUUCUCAUGUUUUUGUUAAGCAACAAAAGUUGGUCCAAGAAUAGAAGUAGUGGACAAUUACUUGGAAAAGGUCAUGUAAAAAGUUGCAUCAUGUUUGACGUGAUUUGGACCAUCAAUUCUUAGUUUUGCUAAUCACCGUCAAUACGUUGACACUCGUGACUUGGCAUCUAAUUAUCUCAUAAUCUGUUUGUCUAAUGACCAUGGUCCCUUAUUAAAAGUUGUAGUGCACGGUAGGGUGAGCAAACUUCGUUUUUGGCCCAUCUCCAAAUUCGGCCCGGAACAAGCCCAAAAUUGCCUCUCACCUUGCCAACUCCGACGCGCGCCACGUGCUCGACAAAAUACUUCAAAGGACGACGCGUGUCCUGCGCGUGGUCACCAUGCACGGCCCUGUGCCCCACCUCCCCUGUCCUUGCUGCUUCGAUGGCAUAGAGCCGCCCAGGCGCCCUCCACUCCGUUGGCUCACUCUCUGUGCUUCCCCAGUCCUCCCUACUCGCCCCCUCUCGCCCAUCGUUCGCUCUGGAGCUUGCCAUGGCCAGCAGCAGCCAUGGCCGGUGGACAGAGCUCCCUGCCAUCGCUGCUCUCCCUAUUGCGCUUGGUUAAGCCUCAGGCUGGAAAUGUCCCGGCGUCCACCCCGCCUUCCUCCUCCUCCUGCGCAUGCUCGCGUGGCCCAUGGAAGCCGAAGCCGCGCCGGUGUCGGGCCACCAUCGCUGCAGCCGUCGGCAUCCAUGGCUAAGCCACCCUGGACCACCACGGCGUGUGCCGCGGCCACCACGGGGUGCGCACGGCCCCCCUGGUCCUCCCCCGCCACUUCUUCGUCGCCGACGUGCCGCUAAACCGCCGGAAAACGCGAGUCCGAGCACCUCCUCUGUUCUGAUUCGCGUUAGGGAUCUCGCGCGACAAUUCGACGAAAUGGGAGGGGUUAUGUGCGAACCUGUGAGUCAUGUGAAUAGUGUUGCAAGGAUCUAUUCGUUGGAAUCUAGUUUGUGAAAAGUUCAGGGUUCCUGAUGCAAGAUCCAUUUUGCUUUGUUUCAUUCAGAUUUCUAGAUGAUCUUUGAUAAUGCAUAGAAAUUUAUAGAAAAGUCGUAAAAUAGCAAAUGUGAACUUUUUGGAAUUCUUAUGAAAUUCACUAUGCAGUAGAUCUAUAAUAUGGCAUGGUUUAGUUUGAAGUUUUCGUCGUAAAAAUAGAUUUAUGCAGUUAGGUUUUAAUUGCUUGUUAUAUUUGUCUUUUUCAUAACUGCUGUGUUGUUGCCUAAAUAAAUGUGAAAAUAUUGUGACAUGCUUUUCAUAUGAUAUUUGAUGACUGGUACAAUUUUCAUGAAUUUAGGAACAAUAGAUUAAGAGUCAUAAAAAUAACAAAUACCCCGUGUUCCUUUGCUCCUAUUCUGAGUGGAUCUGCAUAUUUGUAUUGUUUGGCUCAGUUAAGUUGUGAAUCAUGCCUUAAUGAAAAUAUAUAAGUUUUAUUACUUUUCAUGAUAUUUCCAAAAAGAUAAAUAGCACAAUUUUCGGUUAAGCACAUGUUUAGUUAUAGUGGUUUAAAGUAUUGUUCCAGUUUCUGUCUAAACCCAGACAGCACUGCAUUGUUUGUAAUGUACGACCUUAUUAAUGGUAGGUUUAGCUGUAGAUGUUUAUAACAAAGAUGUUCACAAUUUCGUAAGAUUUCUAGAAAGUACACAAUCAUAAAUUAUGGACAUGUGAACCUCAAGUUAUAGCUGUUUAAUGUAGCAUGACAGAUUCUGUCUAUGUUUUGGACAGAGAUGCCUUCAUGGGAUUAAUUGACCUUGUUAACUGUGGAAUCAUAUUUAGAUGAUAAUAAGAAAGUUGUAGGUAACUUUAUAAGCUUUCCACAAAUAUAAGAAUUAUGUUUGCUGGAGGUCAACAACUCCAGUUAUGCUGCUUUGAAUUGCCUAUCAGUUUUCUGUGUGUAAUUGUACCCCUACUGUUUGGGCAGCAUGGGCAGUUUUGAUUGUGCAACUAAUUUCAUGAUAUAAAUGAUGUUUCUUGUGCAACUUGUCUAUAUACAAUAUGUAGAUAAUUUAUUAACAUAUCUUGUGGUAAAGUUUCAUAUCAUUUGGCUAAGUGGUUUAUGAGUUACAGUAGUAUGAAGUUCAUCCCCUGAAAUGCUUGUUCUCUGGAAAUUCCUGGACCAGAUUAUAUGGUCAUGCAUGUUUGACUUGGUUAACUUGUUAAUCAUGCUAAUAUGAUUAAAGAUGAAUUGUAUAUGAUUUUAUAAUCUUUCCAGAAUGUCCUAUUGCAUAGUUUUUGGAGCUGUGUAGCUCUAGUUAUGAAUUGUUUACUGAGUUGCUGCAUGUAUGUCCAAAAUUGCUGAAAAUGCAUGAAUGCUUGAUUGCUUUACUUGUUGUGUGCAAACUGUGAUUCAUGUCUUUAAUGGUGAUUAAGUAAUACACUUGUAACCUUGUAAAACUUGUGUCAUUAUUGAUAUGUUUGCUCUAUAUAAUUGGUCGUGUGAUGUUAGCUAAAUAACUUUAGAUGCCUAUGUCUUGCAUACUUUUCUGUGAUGCAUGUUGUGUUAUUAUUCUUUAUAUUCAUGCACUUGCAUCUUGCAUCUCAUCUAGGUGCGCUAGAUGAAUCACGUCAAGGUCUUGGUGUGGGAACAAACCCGAAGACAGUGUUGGGUGGACCCAUCCUGAAGGUGGAAGGACAAAGCAAGUGUUGUGACCUAAGAUGUCACCAAGAUGGAGCAACUAAUUGAACUGACUCCUUGUUGAUCCCAGGCAAGCCCCGGAGCAUUAUAAGUCUCCUACUACUUUUGAAUGCAAUUGAGAAUAUAUGUUAUAUAUGUAUUGUUGCAUUAAGUAUAGGAGUUGGGUGAAACCCUUGCUGCAUAUAUCACUCCUUGUCCAGUAAAUAUACCUAUACCCCUACGUAGAUUCAGAAUCGAAUCUAAAUGCUUAGUUAUGCUUAGACCGGUAAAGCCAGGUGACGUUGUGUCACCUGAGCCAAAUAGGUGAAUACCUGGAUAAGUUGGCUAUAUAUGCUAUCAUGGAAAUAACCAAGUGAUGAGGAUGAAUAAUUGGAGACCGGGCGGGACGAUGGUAGAGAAGUAACAAGACAUGGAGGUCUUGGGUGCCUAUCUAUCCCCGCAUGUGUCGAUUAAGGACCGAUCGUUGACAGCUCUCUUGUCAUGUUGAACGCAUGUCCCACACUUAGCUGGAAGGAUAAGUCGUUCCAACCGCGAAGCCUGAGCACUUUCCGGGCCGGGAAUCGGCCCGAUGUACGCGCUGUAUUGGUGAUGGUUGAGGAGAACGACGAGGGCGCGGCGCGCAACCUUGGUAUACCUUGGAUACCUCGGUCUCCGGAACGGUCCUCGGGUACGGGCGGUGCCUGUCGAACCCGCGAAUUGGUCCUGGAUAGUGCAAUACGGUGAUCUGUAGCUCACUUGAUCAGUGAGUGUGGUUUGUGUGGGGAAUAACUCGCCAGUUGGUUAGAAAUCGAUUCGAAUCGCCAUCGCUCCUGGACAGUGAGCACUUGACUUGAGCUUCGUCAUCGUAGUAAUGUUUAUGGAACACUUGGAAGGUUAUGGUAUGAUGAUGUUGGAAAUGCCACAUCAAAUAUGGGUACUAUGGUUGUAUCUUAAUCAAGUGAUUGCUUUAGUACAGGUGCUAAUCUAGAUGACAGGUUAAUAAUUAUUAACUUGAGCUAAAUACCUGAAAGGUUACUUAGUUGCAACUUAAGCUUUUUAUGCAAAAAGUGUUGUCAAGCUAGCUCCACCAAUAAAGCCUUGCAUACUCCUUGGUGUCAUAUUAUUUCUGGUUUAUGACGGGUAAGUCUAGCUGAGUACCUUCUCGUACUCAGGGUUUAUUCCCACUUGUUGCAGGUUGUGAUGUAUCAUGGCUACUGCAAGAGUUGGAUGAGUCCUACCAUAAUAGAGGAGUAAGAUCAUGGGCAUGAUCCUUCUUAGUUACCUCAUCUAUGUUGCUUUUGUUGGAGUUGACCUGAAUACUGGCAUGUAUUUGAAAUGAGGGCAAUAUUGGUUUCAAAUUACUUUACUUCCACUACUUUUCAACUCAAGUUGUAAUAAAUAUAUUAAACUCUGAUGUAUGUCAAACUACUUGUGAAAUGGAUGUAACAUGUGACUUGUUAUGUUGAAUCACUAUGAUCUUGGCUUGUAUGAUGGUUGGAUUGAAAUCCCUCGUGAUUUUACAAACUACCGGGUUUAUGAGAGUUCGACUAUGUUAAAGCAACUGCUUUGGCGGGAGUUUUUCAUAGUUGAUCUCUUGUAAAUUGGGCGGUUCUGUUACAAGUGGCAUGUAUUCGAUCCACUUCGAGAAUUUAUCGAUUAACACGAAGACGAACUUGAAGUUGCCGGGAGCUGGUUUAAAUGGCCCGAUCAUGUCGAGGCCCCAGCAGGCGAAAGGCCAGGAUGACGGAAUAGUUUGAAUCUCAUGAGCAGGUACGUGGGUCCUUUUGGCAAAGAACUGGCAUCCUUCGCAAUGUCGGACCAGUUUUUCUGCGUCGGUGACCGCGGUUGGCCAGUAAAAACCUGCUCGGAAAGUCUUCCCGACCAGUGUUCUGGAGGCUGCGUGGUUGCCGCAGGAUCCGGCGUGUAUGUCAUCUAGGAGCUUGAUGCCAUCAUCUUGGGAUAUGCAUUUGAGCAGCACUUCGGAACUUGCAUUUUUUUCGCAUAAGUUUGCCGUCCACCAGUAUGUAAUUCUUUGAUCGUCGAAUGAGGCGCUCGUUCUCCGUUUUAUCCUGAAAGCCUGACCCGUCCGAUAUAUACCUGAUGAACGGGGUGCGCCAAUCACGGAUGCUGGAUGUCGGAGUAGCGUCGUCUAUGAGCAUUGCCUCAAUAGGUUGCUUUUUGACCAGGUCUGUGCCCACACUUGGCUCAUGGAUGUCCUGGAUGAAAACACCUCGCGGGAUCUGGGCCCGAGAUGACCCUAACUUUGACAUCGCAUCCGCUGCCUGGUUCUUGUCCCGGACCACGUGGAUGUACUCUAUGCCAUAGAAGUUGGAUUCCCAUUUGCCGAUUUCUUUGCAGUAGAGAUCCAUCUUCUCGUGGGUUGCGUCCCAUUCCUUGUUGAGCUGGUUGAUAAAUAAAGCGGAGUCGCCGUGGACGUAGAGGCGUUUGACUCCCAACUCAACGGCUAGUCGUAUGCCAUGUAAGCAUGCUUCGUACUCAGCGACGUUGUUUGACGCCGGAAAAAGGAUCCUAAGGACGUAACGCAAUUUGUCCUUGUUAGGCGACACGAAAAGUAUCCCAGCGCCGGUGCCGUUGAUGUUCAAGGACCCGUCAAAGAACAUUGACCAGUGGUCGGAGACGUCGGAAACGGGAGGCUCGUUAAGAUCCGUCCACUCUACGAUGAAAUCGACCAGGGCCUGAGACUUGACUCUGGUGCGGCUCUGGAAAUCUAGGGAGAAUGGGCAUAACUCCAUUGCCCAUUUUACAAUUCUACCGUUGGCGUCUUUAUUGCGCAGAAUAUCACCAAGAGGGAAACUGGUGGUUACCGAGACCCGAUGGCCGUCGAAGUAGUGCUUUAGCUUCCUCGAUGUUAUUAGAAUGGCUUAUAUGAGCUUCUGUAUUUGUGGGUAUCUGGCCUUGGACUCAUUUAAGACUUCGCUUAUGAAAUAUACGGGUCUCUAGACCUUGUAGACGUGGCCUGGCUCGUCUCGCUCGACCACUAUUGCCGUGGAGACGACCCUGUCGGUUGCUGCAAUGUAAAGGAGUAGGUCUUCAUUGGGCUAAGGCACUGUGAGAACAGGCGGUGAGGUGAGGAAAGUCUUGAGCUGGGUGAACGCAGCGUCAGCUUCCUCUGUCCAGGAGAAUUUUUCUGACGCCUUCAAGAGUUUGAAGAAGGGAAGGCCUUUUUCUCCUAGUCUUGAGAAGAAGCGGUUGAGGGCGGCCAUACAUCCGGUGAGCUUCUGAAUAUCCUUGACGUUCUUAGGUGGUCGCAUGUCGAGCACUGCUUUUACUUUUGAAGGAUUUGGUCGUAUGCCGUCGCGGCUGACGACGUUGCCGAGCAGUAGACCAGAGGGGACCCCAAAGAUACACUUUUUCGGGUUAAGCUUCCACUUGUACUUGUUUAGUGCCUUAAAGGUUCGGUCUAAGUUAUCGAUUAGGGUGAUUGCGUCCCUUGUUUUGACGACGACGUCGUCUACAUAAGCCUCGAUGAGGUCAUCACGAAUCUCAUCGUGGAGGCAUUGCUGGAUGGCCCGUUGAUAGGUGGCUCCAGCGUUUUUGAGUCCAAAGGACAUGGUCGUGUAGCAGUAUGCGUCGAAGGGAGUAAUGAAAGAUGUUUUGAUCUGAUCAUCUUCCUUUAGCGAGAUCUGGUGAUAGCCAGAGUAGCAGUCUAGAAAAGAGAGGAGUUUGCAUCCGGCUGUUGAGUCGACCACCUCGUCGAUGCGAGGGAGACCAAAAGGAUCUUUAGGACAGUGUUUAUUGAGAUCAGUGUAAUCAACGCACAUUCUCCAUUCAUUAUUCUUUUUGCGUAUAAGAACCGGAUUGGUGAGCCAAUCGGGAUGAUACACUUCUUUUAUGAAUCCGGCUGCUAGAAGCCAUGUUAUUUUUGUCCUAAUAGCCUCCUUUUUAUCACGAGCGAACCGUCGCAGCUUUUGCUUGAUGGGUCUUGCGGUCUUCGAGACAUUUAAGGAGUGCUCGAUCAGGUUUCGUGGGACGCCGGGCAUGUCUGCGGGUUUCCAUGCGAAAACGCUCACGUUGUCCCUUAGAAACCUGACGAGCGCGUCUUCCUAUUUAGGGUCCAGGUUGGCCCCGAUGAGGGCCAUUUUCUCGGGGCUGCCUUCGACCAGCUGUACUUCCUUGUACUCCUUGGAUUUUGAAAUCUUCCUGGCGGUCUCCUGCUCGGGUAGUCGGAGCUGGUCGGGAGGGAGCUGUGCGGCUUGGCUUGCUGUUUCUGCCAUGCGAAUUGAAAGAUCAAUUGCUUCAGUGAUCUUGAAGCUCUCCUCCUUGUAGGUAUAUGCAGUGUAGACAUUGCCUCUGACAGUUAGGAUGCCCUUCUCUGUAGGCAUUUUGAGGACCAGAUAUGAGUAAUGUGGAACUGCCAUGAACUUUGUCAGCGAUGGUCGGCCCAGUAUGGCGUGGUAGGUUUCAUCGAAGUCGGCGACCACAAAGUUGACGAACUCUGUUCGAAAGUGGUCGGAUGUGCUGAAUUGGACAGGCAGUGUUAUCUGUCCGAGGGGCACUGAACUUUGACCUGGCAAGACUCCCCAGAAUUGAGUGUCGUAGGGCUUUAGCUGUGCCGGGGUUAUCUUGAGAGCAGGCAAGCUGUUGCGAAAAAGGAUGUCAAUGGAGCUUCCCCCAUCGACGAGCACGCACUCGAAUCUGAUGCUGUUGAUGCAAGGAUCCAGUAUUAGAGGGAAACGUCCUAGUUCCGGGAUGGUGGCCCACUGGUCCUUCCUGCUGAAGGAGAUUUCCCUGUGCGACCAGGGAGGGAAUUUCGGGUCAGCGAUUAGGCCAUCCGUGGUGUCUAUAUUGAGGCAGGCUCUUUUUAAGAGCUUUCUUUCUCGCUUAGACUCGGUGGAGACCUUGCCCCCAAAGAUGGAGUGGACCACGUCGGUGGGACUGACAUACUAGUGUCGUGGGUCCCUAUCCUGGUUAGGACGCGCAUUCCUCCAUCGUGUGGCUGGACUUUGGAUGCAGCUGGCAUGGUCCCUUCAACGUCUUGUUGUAGUCGUCCUGGUAGUCUCGCCGCCCAUUGGGACGCUUGACCGUAUUCACCUCGUGGUCGUGGUCAUGAGGGCGCUUGCCUCUGAAGUCAUCGCGGUUGUCACACCGCCUGUCCCAGCCUUCUCUGUGGUCCCGAUUGUCGGGGCGACGAUGGUUCCUAUUGUCGAAACGACCUCAACUGUCAUCUCGUCGAGGGGGCUGGUCGGGACCUCUCGCAUCGUCCCGGAUGAGUUUUUCUGCGUCGUCGGCGUCAGCGUAGUUUUUAGCCGUGGCAAGAAGCUCGGCCAUCGUUGUUGGUCUUUUGCGCAGCAGCUUGUUCUUCAGUGCUUCAUGGAAGUGCAGCCCCUUGAUGAAAGCAGAUAUGGCCUCGUCGUGGGAAAUUUUCGGGAUCUUAAGGCGCAUAUCCGAGAAUCGUCGGAUGUAAUCGCACAGAGGCUCGUUUUUCCUGUCCCUUAUCCUUUCGACGUCGUACUUGUUCCCAGGCUGCUCGCAGGUGGUGAUGAAGUUGUCGAUGAAAGCUUGGCAUAGUUCUUCCCAAGAAUCGAAAGAGUCCUCGGGCAGGCCUAGGAGCCACUGGUGACCAGCCUGGUCGAGGACUACUGGGAAGUUGUUGGCCAUGACGUGCUCAUCUCCUGCUGCUGAUCGGACGGCGAUCUCGUAAAGAGUGAUCCAGUUUUCUAGGUUUUCCUUGCCGUCGUAUUUUUUGAGUUUCUCGAGCUUGAAAUUGUGGGCCACACGACCUGGCGGAGGUGUGAAGAGAACUGUCUCAGGCCCGGGGGACCAUGCGUUGCAUCGUACUCAAUGCGACGCAGGUUUUCGUGAACUGCUCUCUCCGUGGCGCGCCUGUUGAUGCGGUCCCGGGCGUCUUUGGGAGGGAUAUUGUAUCGGAGAUCCCUGUGCUAGUUUACUUCCUGACCACGUCCGCGAUUAUGCUCGCGAUGGCCGCCAGCAUCCCGACCACCAUCAUCGCGCCGUGAAUCUUUUCGAUGAUUAUUGGGGGAACGGCUGCGGUGGUGCCUGCUGGGUUGUGGUGAGGUCUGGCUGUGAUGGCUCUGGUCGGAGGAGACCUCUGUAUAGGAGAUAGCUUGGACUCUUUUGAGCAGAGUGGCUGUCUGUCCCAUCGUGGCGAUCAGGUGUGCUCGAACGCUGGAUCGGACGCCCUGGCAUUCGGGAGUAUCAGGGAGUCGAUCUAAGUUGGCCAUGGCAACAGCCACGUUGGCGCUUGGUGUUUUGUAGACUGGCUGAUCCCCGACCAUGUCGAAAGCGUCGGUGAGGUUAUGUGGUGGGAGUUGGCGUUCCUCGUCUGCGCGUCAUCGGGUGCGGUCAGCAUUGCGCUGCUCGCGGAGCUGCCUUUGCUCGUCUGUUUCUCCGUCAACGACCGGCUCGUCGGCGCUGACAUUGAAAACGAGGUCUCCACGCCGAGGUGGAAAGACCGGGAAGCAAGAGAAACCCGGAGGAUACGGUGGUAAAUCCAGGUCGUAGUCUUCGUCCUCAGAGUUUAUGACUUCAGUAGGAACGGAGCCAGUGCUAGAGUUUGUGCUGGAAGCCUGGCCGUCCCGUAGUUCUCGGAUCGUCACCAUGUUGAUGUAGUGACGAGUUGGCCGAUUCUUCCGCUUUGGCAACCAACCAGCCCCGUUGAAGAGGGAUUUGAUGUGUCGCGAGUAAUCAACGGUCGAAUUGUCCAGCCCGUAAGGAGAGCCUUGAUCUGGACCAGCCUCGAGUUUGACGGACCAUCCUGAGGGGGUGGAGGUUAUCGUCAGAGACGUUCCCAGCUGUUCGUGUGUGACGACACAAGUUGGCUGGUAGGAGUUGUAAAAACCCGUUGGCGCGGCUUGGUCAGGCUGGUGUGAGAUCCCAUCUAUUAGUUGGGAGGCUUCGAGAAGCUUGAGGUCGGCGCGAUCAAGAGCUCGGAAAAGGUCCGAGCCAUCGAUCUUCUUUCCCCUGUAGCGCGGAAACGGCGGUCGGGUGCUCGGUGCCGGUGUCCGCGUGGUCAGAGCCGAUGCCUCCAUCGUCCCAGAUUGGAUCUGGGUUUCUUCCGAAACCGUGGCCGUGAGGCCACCGCCGCGAGUUGUCCACGUAAUCUGGCCGACGGUGAACGUGAGGCCUUCAGGCACGGCCACAGAAUCUGGAACGAUGACCAUCUUGUUCGCUGGAAAAGCUGUAUGCACACCCCCUACCUGGCGCGCCACUGUCGACGAAAGCUAGUCGGCAGUCUACCCUGGGGUAUACCCACGGUAGUAAUUUAUCGGUAGACGGUGCGCAAGCUACGAACUUGACGGUGACGCAAGACACAGACAAGGUUUUUAUCCAGGUUCGGCCGCCGUGUGGGCGUAAUACCUACGUCCUUCGUCUGAUUGUAUUGGAUUGUGUUGAGAGAAUCUCCUAGGGGGGUCCCUUGCCUCUCCUUAUAUAGUCCGGAGGGUAGGGUUACAGAUCUGGAAACUAAUCCUAGUCGGUUACAAUUGUCAUAGAUAGUUCGAUAUCAAUUCCUAUUCUAACCGACUAGAAUCCUGCUUGAUCUCCACGUCUUGUUUCCUUGCGCGAAACUCCGAGCUUGUCGGAUCAAGCCUCGAACUUGUCUCGUAAUGGGCCAAGCCUCCUGGCCCAAGUCUAGCCGUAAGGGUAUAGGGGUUUAUACCCCCACAAAUAUAGGUUUAAGCAUGGUGCUUAGACCUAGAUUACUUGUGGAUAUCCCCUGUCUAGCUGGAUCGUGUGGUAGGCCGCGUAGGUGACAGUUACGUUGGUCCCCUGUAGUCCACCUCUUGUUAGCAGGACGGGUAGGGUUUAUAGGCCUAUGGAUAAGCAUCCUUUGUGGUGUAUUCUUAUCACGUGGUUCGUCCCAGACAUAGACAUACCCCUUUGAAGUAGAGAAACCAUAGUUAUCCUCUCUAUUCUGCUACCAUCGCCCAUAUAUUAGAUUGCUCUACUCUCUAUUCCCAUAUUAUCACCCAUUGUUAUUUUACCUUUAAUAUUGUUCUUAUUCAAUUCUACCAUCUUUCCUAUUUACACCUACCUAUCUAUCUAGGUUAAGUUAGAGCGUAGAUCAGUUCUCCCGUUUCCCUGUGGAUAAGAUAAAACCUUUAACCGGGUAAAAGCUACAACGGUAUCCGUGCGCUUGCGGAUUUAUCUGUGUGCGUAUAAAUACCAUAGUACACUCUAGUGCCAUGUUGGGGAUGACAACCUAGUAUUCAAGUGGUGUUAGCAAGUGUGAACAAAGACCUACCAAGCAGAAACUGCGACGGUUCGCUCGUGACAAAAAGGAGGCUAUUAGGACAGAAAUAACACGGCUUCUAGCAGCCGGAUUUAUUAAAGAAGUGUAUCAUCCCGAUUGGCUCGCCAAUCCAGUUCUUGUAAGAAAAAAGAAUAAUGAAUGGAGAAUGUGUGUUGAUUACACUGAUCUCAAUAAACAUUGUCCUAAAGAUCCUUUCGGUCUCCCUCGUAUCGACGAGGUGGUCGACUCAACGGCCGGAUGCGAACUCCUCUCUUUUCUAGACUGUUACUCUGGUUAUCACCAGAUCUCACUAAAGGAAGACGACGAGAUCAAAACAUCCUCUAUUACUCCUUUCGGUGCAUAUUGCUACACCACCAUGUCCUUUGGACUCAAAAAUAUCGGAGCCACCUAUCAACGAGCUAUUCAGUAAUGCCUCCACGACGAGAUACGAGAUGACCUCGUCGAGGCUUAUGUCGAUGACGUUGUCAUCAAAACUAGGGUCACAAGCACCCUGAUCGACAACUUAGACCGGACUUUUAAGGCGCUGAAUAAAUACAAGUGGAAGCUUAACCCCAAAAAGUGUAUCUUUAGGGUCCCCUCUGGUUUACUACUCGGCAACGUCGUCAGCCGCGACGGCAUAUGGCCAAAUCCUUCAAAAGUUAAAGCUAUGCUCGAUAUGCGACCACCCAGAAACGUCAAAGACAUUCAAAAGCUCAUCGGAUGCAUGGCCGCUCUCAGCCGGUUCAUCUCCAGAUUGGGGGAAAAAGGCCUUCCCUUUUUCAAACUGCCCAAGGCGUCGGAAAAUUUCUCCUGGACUGAAGAGGCCAACACGGCAUUCACCAAGCUCAAGGCCUUCCUCACCUCACUGUUGAUGGUCCUUAAGUAUCAAAUUUAAUUAUCAAAUAAAUAAAGAAAAUGAUCCAAAUGAAAUCAACAUCUAGACUUAGGGUUUUAUCUGAUAGAAUUCCACGAGUUUUGGUGUUUGUCUAUUUCUGCAGGAGGUUAUUAGGAAAUACGGAAGAAAGGCCCACACGUCGGGAUUACAUAGAGAUAUUAACGUGUCGCGCAAUUAUCUUACAUCUAGAAGACUCCAGAAGACACGGGAAGAAAGCGGUGGCCGAACGGGGCCAGAGGCAGGGCGCCCGCCAUCCUUCCCUGGGCGCCCGCCCCCUCUGAGAGUCCAAUCAGGACUCUGUUUCUCGGGAGAUCUCCACCGACCUAAAGGAUCAAGGAUAACCGUUCAAUCUAAGUCGGUUUGAUCCAACGGUCCAUAUUCACUUGAAGGGACUAUAAAACCAGAACCCCUGGCCCCUGGAGGAGAGAGUCUCUCAACACUAAUUCAUUAUUCUCAAGGGAGAAGAAGCCUCUGAUCAAGAUUAGAGCCACCACAUCAAUUAGACAUCUAGAUUAGCAUAGCUACAUAGGAUUAGAACUAGAAGGAGUCAAUCUUCGAUUGGUUUCCGGAUCUGUCAAGAGGAUUCUUGGUAAUUCUCUAAUUGUGCUUCUAAUUGCUUUCUAAUUAUCUUUGUUCUUCAAUAUUAUGAAUAUGACUUUGUUCUACUUCAAUAUAUUGCUUAUGACUUUGCUCUACUUGUUUAUAUUCAAGAUUAUAUUGUUCUUAGUUUAUCAUAGUUAUGUACUUGGCUUAGUUAGAUUGGAUCUAUAUACAUGCUUAGGAUCGUAUAGCGUUUAUCCAUCGGAUCCAUGGGUAAAUGAUAGAUAUUGUGUAGGCGUGGUGCUUAUACCGUAUUUAUCUGCGAUUGUACCCAAUAUGCCAGAUUGUGGGGUAGUUCGUGAUAGUGACAGCUUCAUUGAUUCUUAUAUAGUCCCCCUCUCGUGUAUUGGGCUGGCAGAGCAAUAUUAUUACAGGGGAGUGAUUGCUAUGUUUCUCAUUUACCUUGCUAAUAUCACUAUGCAUGGGCGUAGUCUUGUCUUGCAAAGAUUGCUAAGUAUGCUUGCACUAAUUAUGAUAAUGCUAGACUAUAUAGUUGAGAAUAACUUAGGAAAUAUUCUUGUAGUUCAUUCUAAUUCCAUGCUAAUGACUUUCUAGAGUAUCUAAUUGAGGUGCUUAUCAUAUUUAUUAUGUGGCUAAGUUAUGAUCAGCUUAAUUAUCUUUGUCACUAUUCAUUAUUUCAUAUAUCUUAUAUGUGACACUUAUCCCUGUAUGAAAGAGUUAGAUAGAUGUUCUCAAUUAUAUAUGCAAUGAUAGAUACUCAAUCUCAUAUUCUAUUCUGUAAUCAAUAUUGAUGAUUGCUAAUCCCUUCCCAGUGGUAAAAAUAUAAAUAACGAUACCUGGAAUACUUCCCGGUUAAAAUGCUACAUUGGUAUUAAUCUGUGCGCUUGCAGAUCCCAUUCAUUAUUUAUUUAGAAGAGCAAUUUCAUAUUUCAAUACCGCGUCUCUCAUAUCAUGCUGGGGAUGACAACUUGGCUUAAGUGGUGUGAGGGAUAGGUUUGGCUUUUUUGGCACCGUUACUAGAAUUAGAAAACUAAUUCUACUUUUGGUAAUGAUGUUAAGAAUACCCAACAAGCAUUUUUGGCGCCGUUGCCGGGGAAGGUUGAUUACUAAUUAGGAAUGGAAUAAAGGAUUUUGAGUUAUCAUUCGCAUCACUAAUAUGAUUGAGCUUAUCUAUUCUCUCAUACAGUUUUACCCUGAUAUUUUUCUAUUUUAUCUUAUGCAGGGGAAUGUAUGAAUAGAAGACAUCUUCUAGGAAAUUUUGUUGACAAUCCCGAAGCAUUAUUCAAGAAGACAAGAGCCAAGCUAAAGAAGAGAUCAUCAACACUUCAGCAAGAAGCUUCAUCCAAUCAAGAAGAUCACCGAAACUUGUCUUCAGAGUUUGAAGCCAUAGCGAACAAAUCAAUCCGCGAGUUCUCAGCUCCCACUACGGACAACAUCUGCACUGGACCUACUGCAGAGAUCGAUGGCAACUUUGAGCUCAAGCCUAGACAUAUCAACAUGGUGAAAUCCAACCAGUUCUGUGGGAAGGCACACAAAGAUGCUAGUGCUCAUCUACAACACUUCCUGUAGAUUUGCAACACAUUUACCAUAUCUGGAGUUUCCAGAGAUGCUAUACUACUUCGCCUCUUCCCAUUCUCACUGUUAGGGAGAGUGAAGCAGUGGUUCUACGCUACAAAGGAGAAGAAUACUACGUGGGCACUCUGCUCAACAAACUUCCUGGCUAAGUUCUUUCCCAUGGGCAAGACCAAUGCUCUCCGUGGGAAGAUUACAAGUUUUCAUCAACAAAAUGAUGAAUCUGUUCCAGAAGCAUGGGAGCGCUUUCAAGACUACAUCCUAGAAUGUCCCCAUCAUGGAAUGGAGAGUUGGCUAUUGAUGUAGAUGUUUUAUCAUGGGCUCGGCAACAGUGCCCGAGAAACCAUGGAUGCUGCAGCUGGAGGAGCAUUCCUAUCACUUACCAUAUCACAAGCCACAGCUCUUGUGGAGAAGAUGGCGUCCAACCAAAGCUGGAAUGAAGAGAGGACCCAAACACGCAAGAGAGGUGGAGGUAUGCAUCAGCUGAAGGAGGUAAACAUGCUGUCUGCAAAGCUAGACCUACUCAUGAAGAAGCUCGAUGAUAGAGCUAGAGAUAAGAAAGAAGUUAUGCACAUCUACGACUCUCACAUGACUUGUGAGGAGUGUGGAGAUACUGGACACUCAGGCAAUCGCUGCCCUGAGAUACUUGAGGAUGUGAACUACAUCAACAACAACAACAACUACUACUACUACUACUACAACCGUCCUCAACAAAAUCAAGGUUGGAAUCAACAGAGGCCUAACUACUCAGGUAAUUAUCAAGGUAACAAUUCUUACAACAAUAAUAAUAAUUUUCCACCUCUGAGAGAGUUAGUGUCUAAUCAAGGAAAGCUAAUGGAUAACCUAUCUAAGAGAUUGGCAUCAAAUGAUAAAAUGCUAGAAAAUAUAAAUAAUAGAAUGGAUAAUUUCUCUACUGCCAUCAAGAAUCAAAUUAGCUUUAAUAAAAUGAUUGAAUCUCAGUUAAAUCAAAUAGCUGCUGUUGUUCCUACUACUAACCCCGGUAUACCAUCACAACCGGAAGGAUUAGAAUCUACAAAUCUUGUAGACAUGAUUGAUGCAGGUAAUUGGAGAAACCCCGUCACUGAAUUUACUACUGACCUUCUGCCGGUCAAGAGAGGCGAUCCAGGACGCCCCGUCAUCCCGAUCUCCAUCGGCAUGGUGGACGUCCCAGAAGCACUCUGCGACUUUGGCUCCAGCGUCAACAUUAUACCAAGGGUACUCUAUGAAAAACUCUUUACAUAUCCUUUAUUAAAAACAACCAUGUGUUUGCAGUUUGCAGAUCAGACGAUAAGUUUUCCAAAAGGAAUAUUGAAGAACCUUUGUGUCAGAGUUGGUACCUUGUACGCCCCAGCAGACUUCGUAGUGAUAGAGACCGGUAAUGAUGAGAGAGCACCCAUCAUCUUAGGGAGGCCAUUCUUAAACACCUCGGGAGCUGUCAUCUAUGCUAGUGCUGCCAAGAUCAGUUUCUACAUCAAAGGGAGGAAGGAGACAUUUUUCUUCAAGAACAAGACUACACAAAUCCCAGAUCAAUCCAGACGUGAAUCAAGGAAGAGGACCAACACGAGGAACAGGAACAAGCGAGUGUGGACCGAGUCAGGUAAGAUGGUCACUGCAGUUCAUGGAGGUCAAGAUCAUCAACUUAAGUCACCAUUUUUGACCAAGAAGGACAACCCAGGAAUGCCAAGCAUCUAUUGCUCCAUAAAUGGAUGCAACUUCUACAAGACGACUUGCGACACCGGAUCGGGCGUCAACAUAAUGGUCGUAGUCACCUAUCGGCUCUUGCUCGGAACCAUGCCCCUAAGACCAACAUACAUUCAGCUCCAGAUGGCAGAUCAGACAUUUCAAGAAGUUAAAGGAACAGUAAUUGAUGUCCUAGUCAAAAUAGAUGAUCAUUUUGUCUACACAGACUUUCAAGUUAUUGACAUGGGAGAAGAUGAAUACGAUCCACCCAUCAUCCUUGGAAGACCGUUCCUCAGCACCGUCAAAGCAAUCAUCUACAUUGGAACCGGAGAAGUCCAUAUGCACUUCCCCUCAGAGAAGGUACGCCAUUCUUUUAUUGACCCUAACUAUAUCGUUGAAGAAUCUAAGCAGGUAAGAAAAUGACGCAACCGCAACUAGUGGAGGGAAAUCAUCAAGGACGGGUGGGCAAACUAUGAAGGAGAAGUUGUAAGGUCAGAAGACGUAGAGUUUAAAUAGAAUUAUCCAGAGGAGACCGAAGCACCGAGUCAGGUAUGGAAAGAGAAGAUAACUAUACACGAAGAGGAGGCGCUGCUGAAAGUACCGACUCCGCCAUCCAACGAAUCCAAGGACAAUUGAGAAAACGGAGAGUCCCGUUCGGAGGACUUAAAAACACCGAACGCCUUGCCAAGAGUUCCACAAGCUUUAUUGUCUAUUUGAGCUCCGCAGAAUUUAAGAAUCAAGAAGACUAGCAGAUGAAGGACAUUCUAAUCGCUGUCAGAAUCCUGCUGACUUUCAAAUACACCUCUACCACCUGCUACCUACAUCAAGAGAAAUUACGUCAAAAUUCAGUUUGGGGGAGAGCACCCCCAUUUUUCCCGAUAAGUAUUUCUAUCUAUCUAUCUUUAUACUUAUACUAUAUUAAAAUAUAAAUAUACAUAAACCAGGAAAAACCAAAUAAAGAUUUUGUGCUUAUAUAUCUUUUGCUUAGUGUGUUUAAUAAAUAAAUAAAGUGGCUAAGCAAAUCUGUAUCUUAAUAAUAAAACUCUAGCACGGAUAUGAUGAAUAGUUGCUCUGCCUAAUUUGCACAUUUUAAGUUCUCUCUCAAGUUUAGAUAUAACUGUUAUAAUGUAAAGCUUGCUCUAGACCUAAACUUGUGGGAUGAAAACUUGAUCUAAAGUCUAAGUUGUUAACGGGUAUGAAAUUGGAAGGUUGAGCUGCUGUUUAUCUGUUCCUAGAGAUGCUAGAAUUCUGGAGAAUUUUAUCUUUUAAAAUCUUUAAAAUAUUGCAUGAUGAGUUCGUGUAUGAUGAGAGUUUAAAUUCCAACCACAGCCAUAUAUACAUGCUUGCUAGACUUUGAGCCACACAUUUACUAUUUACUGCUUAUGAGCAUUGAGUGUGGUCAAGCUGUGUAGACCCUUAGGAGCUUGUCAUGUGGUUAAAUCAAGAUUUCACUUGCACGUUCACUCAUAUAUGCUACUUCUAUUUUGGAAGUACCAUCCACAUAUAUCCAUCCAUUUCCAUCUCCAGAACCACCAAAAAAAAUAUUCUACUCCUAAUCCGGGAGAGAAUAGACAAAAAUAUUUUUGUUUUUCCCUGUGAAAUAAAUGCUCAAGUUAUCUUGUUACUACCACUUGCUAUAAUAUCUCAAGAGAUGAGUGCUCUAAAAAAAAGAGAGAGAUACGAGGAAAUAAAAAGGGGCAAGUGCCCGGAACCUCAAAAGAAAAGAAAAAGUGAAACGAGAGGUAAAAAUGGACAAGUGUCCGACAGUAGAAUUAGGGGUACAAGAUACCCACCUGAGAGAAAAGAAAAAGAAGAGCAUCUCAUUCUCCUCAUAAAGUUUCAAAAAGCAAGGAAGGUAUGUAUCCCCUCAAAAGAGCAAAAGUAGAAUUAGACAUCCACCAUUGUUAUCACCAUCAUCACCAUACACCAUUCAUUCGCCACACAUGCACAUCUUGAUUUGGCUUAAUGAUUUGUUUCUUUGGAUCCAUGGUUUGACUAUACAAUACAUGUCUUGUAAGUAUGUAUACUUUAUCUCCCACCUAUGAGCCCUAGAUAUUAAAGCCUUAUUAGAGUAGGGUGAGAGAGAAGGCAAUGUCACUAUGCUUUAUACCACAAAUACCACAUAUAUUGAGAGAAGGCAUAUAUCAUCACUGCCUUGGUAAGGAUCCAGAAAUACCACAACAGAGAGAUUUGAGAAAGUCAUACAAGGAAUCUCUAAAGUUUUAUUUGAAAAUCUGCAAAAAACUCCAGAGCUAUAGAUGAUCAAGAAUAAGAGACAUGGCACUUGACUAGACUGUUCUAUCUUUUAACUACUCAAGACAGAAGUGACAAUUACAAGUCCCAUGAUGAAGGUAAAGUAAGUAAGUUUUAAGUCUUGACAGUUUACUCUAACUCAAAGAUGAGAUCUUAUUUAAAAGCAUGUGUACCGUCAAUUUUUAAGAUAUUGCAACAACUUCUGGUCCAUCACUGAGAUUAUCCUUGCUCAGGGACGAGCAAGAGGUAAGCUUGGGGGAGUUUGUUGACGGUCCUUAAGUAUCAAAUUUAAUUAUCAAAUAAAUAAAGAAAAGGAUCCAAAUGAAAUCAACAUCUAGACUUAGGGUUUUAUCUGACAGAAUUCUACGAGUUUUGGUGUUUGUCUAUUUCUGCAGGGGGUUAUCAGGAAAUAUGGAAGAAAGGCCCACACGUCGGGAUUACAUAGAGAUAUUAACGUGCCGCGCAAUUAUCUUACAUCUAGAAGACUCCAGAAGACACGGGAAGAAAGUGGAGGCCGAACGGGGCCAGAGGCAGGGCGCCCGCCCUCCUGCCCUGGGCGCCCGCCCCCACUAAGAGUCCAAUCAGGACUCUGUUUCUCGGGAGAUCUCCACCGACCUAAAGGAUCAAGGAUAACCGUUCAAUCUAAGUCGGUUUGAUCCAACGGCCCAUAUUCACUUGAAGGGACUAUAAAACCAGACCCCCUGGCCCCUGGAGGAGAGAGCCUCUCAACCCUAAUUCAUUAUUCUCAAGGGAGAAGAAGCCUCUGAUCAAGAUUAGAGUCACCACAUCAAUUAGACAUCUAGAUUAGCAUAGCUACAUAGGAUUAGAACUAGAAGGAGUCAAUCUUCGAUUGGUCUCCGGAUCUGUCAAGAGGAUUCUUGGUAAUUCUCUAAUUGUGCUUCUAAUUGCUUUCUAAUUAUCUUUGUUCUUCAAUAUUAUGAAUAUGACUUUGUUCUAUUUCAAUAUAUUGCUUAUAACUUUGCUCUACUUGUUUAUAUUCAAGAUUAUAUUGUUCUUAGUUUAUCAUAGUUAUGUACUUGGCUUAGUUAGAUUGGAUCUAUAUACAUGCUUAGGAUCGUAUAGCGUUUAUCCAUCGGAUCCAUGGGUAAAUGAUAGAUAUUGUGUAGGCGUGGUGCUUAUACCGUAUUUAUCUGCGAUUGUACCCAAUAUGCCAGAUCGUGGGGUAGUUCGUGAUAGUGAUAGCUUCAUUGAUUCUUAUAUAGUCCCCCUCUCGUGUAUUGGGCUGGCAGAGCAAUAUUAUUACAGGGGAGUGAUUGCUAUGUUUCUCAUUUACCUUGCUAAUAUCACUAUGCAUGGGCGUAGUCUUGUCUCGCAAUGAUUGCUAAGUAUGCUUGCACUAAUUAUGAUAAUGCCAGACUAUAUAGUUGAGAAUAACUUAGGAAAUAUUCUUGUAGUUCGUUCUAAUUCCAUGCUAAUGACUUUCUAGAGUAUCUAAUUGAGGUGCUUAUCAUAUUUAUUAUGUGGCUAAGUUAUGAUCAGAUUAAUUAUCUUUGUCACUAUUCAUUUUUUCAUAUAUCUUAUAUGUGACACUUAUCCCUGUAUGAAAGAGUUAGAUAGAUGUUCUCAAUUAUAUAUGCAAUGAUAGAUACUCAAUCUCAUAUUCUAUUCUGUAAUCAAUAUUGAUGAUUGCUAAUCCCUUCCCAGUGGUAAAAAUAUAAAUAACGAUACCUGGAAUACUUCCCGGUUAAAAUGCUACAUUGGUAUUAAUCUGUGCGCUUGCAGAUCCCAUUCAUUAUUUAUUUAGAAGAGCAAUUUCAUAUUUCAAUACCGCGUCUCUCAUAUCAUGCUAGGGAUGACAACUUGGCUUCAGUGGUGUGAGGGAUAGGUUUGGCUUUUUUGGCACCGUUACUAGAAUUAGAAAACUAAGUCUACUUUUGGUAAUGAUGUUAAGAAUACCCAACACCCACCACCCGUCCUCACCGCACCUCAACCUAACGAGGACCUGCUCCUCUAUAUAGCAGCAACUGAUCUGGUCGUCUCCACGGUGCUCGUUGUCGAGCGAGAUGAACCAGGGCACGUCUACAAAGUCCAGAGGCCUGUAUACUUCAUAAACGAAGUUCUAAACGAGUCCAAGACCGGGUACCCUCACAUACAAAAGCUAAUCUAUGCCGUCUUAAUCACCUCAAGAAAGCUGAAACACUACUUCGACGGACAUCGGGUGCUAGUCACCACCAGUUUUCCAUUGGGGGAUAUUCUGCGUAAUAAAGACGCUAACGGAAGAAUCGUGAAGUGGGCAAUGGAGUGAUGCCCGUUUUCCUUGGAUUUUCAGAGUCGCACUACCGUCAAGUCUCAAGCCCUGGUCGACUUCAUCGCAGAAUGGACGAACCUGAACGAGCCCCCCUCCCAGAUGUCUCCGACCACUAGUCAAUGUUCUUUGACGGAUCCUUGAACAUUAAUGGAGCCGGCGCUGGAAUACUUUUCGUCUCGCCAAACAAGGACAAACUCCAAUACGUCCUUAGGAUCCUCUUCCCAACAUCCAACAACGUCGCUGAAUACGAAGCAUGCCUGCAUGGCACCCGACUAGCUGUUGAACUGGGAGUAAAACGCCUUUAUGUCCACGGUGACUCUGCCCUAGUCAUCAACCAGUUAAACAAGGAAUGGGACACAACUCACAAGAAGAUGGACCUCUACUGCAAAGAAAUUCAGAAAUGGGAAUCCAAUUUUUACGGCAUAGAAUACAUCCACGUGGUCUGGGACAGGAACCAGGCAGCAGAUGCGUUGUCGAAGAUAGGGUCAUCCCGGGCCCACAUUCCGCAAGGCGUUUUCGUCCAAGAUAUCCACACACCAAGUGUCGGUACAGAUCUGGUCGACAAGCAACCCAAUGAGGCAAUGCUCAUAGACGAUACCAAUCCGACAACCAGCAGCCACGACUGGCGCACUCCCUUCAUCAAGUAUCUCUCGGAUGGAUCGGGCUUUCAAGAUAAAACGGAGAACGAGCGCCUUAUUCGACGAUCUAAGAAUUACAUACUGGUUGAUGGCAAACUUAUGCGAAAGAAUGCAAGCUCAGAAGUAUUGCUGAAAUGCAUAUCCCAAGAUGAUAGCGUCAAGCUCUUAGAUGACAUACACGCCGGGUCCUGCGGCAACCACGCCGCCUCUAGAACACUGGUCGGGAAGGCUUUCCAAGCAGGUUUUUACUAGCCAACCACGGUCGCCGACGCUGAGAAACUGGUCCGACACUGUGAAGGAUGCCAGUUCUUUGCCAAGAGGACCCACGUACCUGCUCACGAGAUUCAAACGAUUCCGUCGUCCUGGUCGUUCGCCUGUUGGGGCCUUGACAUGAUCGGGCCAUUUAAGCCAGCGCCUAGCAACUUCAAGUUUGUCUUCGUACUAAUCGACAAAUUCUCGAAGUGGAUCGAGUACAUGACACUGUGAAAGCAACUUCCGAGAAGGCCGUGGAGUUCCUCAAUCAAAUCAUACAUAGAUUCAGGAUUCCCAAUAGCAUAAUCACUAAUUUGGGCACUCAGUUCACCGGCACUACAUUCUGGGACUUCUGCGAUGAUAGAGGCAUAGUCAUAAAGUAUGUGUCGGUAGCCCACCUACGGGCCAACAAUCAAGUAGAGUGAGGAAACGGAAUGAUCAUCGAUGCUUUGAAGAAAAGGCUGUAUACUGAAAAUGACAGAGCACCAGGACGAUGGAUGAAAGAGUUACCGGCCGUGGUCUGGGGUCUCCGAACAUAGGCUAGUCGCAACACAGGUGUAUCGCCCUACUUCAUGGUUUACGGCACCAAAGCAGUGCUCCCUUCGGAUGUGGUCUUUGGAUCUCCAAGAGUCGAACAUUUUGACCAGUCUUCGGCCGACCACGCCAGAGAACUUGAAAUCAACUGCAUAGAAGAAAAGCGCCUAAUCUCGUGCCUUCAAACAGCGAAGUACCUCGAGGCUAUUAGGCGGUACCACAACAGGAACGUCAAAGACCGCUCCUUCGUGGUCGGUGAUCUGGUACUCAAAUGGAAAACAAGCCAGGAAGGAAUGCACAAGUUAUCUACACCUUGGGAAGGACCCUUUGUAGUCGUUGAAGUCACACGCCCUACAUCUUACAGACUGGCGUACGUAGAUGGAACACGCUUGCCCAACUCCUGGCAUAUAGACUAACUGCGCCGUUUCUAUCCCUAAGUUCCAGUACAUUUCAUUUGUAAAUGUUUUAUGAUGAGUAAUAAUAAAAUUUGUCUUUCUUGCCAUUUACCUUUUUCAUACGCAGAAUAUUCGACAAGUGCGACAAUAACUUUCAAGAACAAAGGUCCUCAAAAGGCCGUCAACAUGAGUCAGUGAUACAUCACUCAAACAAAUUUACAGCGCUCAAAACCAUGGUUAUGAUAAAUCAUGCUUUAUUACAAACUUUAUAUACAAAGUUUACAAUAAAACACCCCUCUGGACGGUCUCUAGUCUACUCCUAACAGACUACUUUACAAGCCUAUUGCUCGGGCUGAUCACCCGCACGGCUCUGCUGCUAUUCCGCCGAAGGGGUCGGCGCCACCGGCGUCUGGCUGGUCGAGACCGCAGGCGUCGACCGCCCAUCUCCCGCAAUGGACGCCCCUGACAACUCUCUGGCUGACCUGUCUGAUCCGGGCUGGUUGAGGGGAGUUGACGUCCCACAGAGAUUUAUGUUGUCGAUCACUGUCGACGACAGGUCGAGCAGGCCGACGCGAAGUUCAUCCACCUCCUGUGGACCGACCUCCUUGGGAUACCCCCUCUCAAGUCGGGACCAGUCGACCAGACGGUAGUGGGCAUGUACCAUGUUGAGGACGUGCGCUCCGGCAAACUCUUCGGCGUCCUUGAUGAAUUGCUGCAGCCAACCCCACGCUUGCUGCGCUUUCUCGACCGGGGUCAGCCUCGGUGCACGGGGCUGGUCUUCGGGGAGUUCGGGGCUGAUCAAGUCGAGAACCGGGGCCACUCCUUUCCAGAUCCUGAUACAAUUGAUCUUCUAGGAGUCCCAGUCCUUGACCAGCUCGUCGAGGUGCUUCUUGGUGUUGACCUUAAGCACUAUGACAGAAUUUUUAAAGAAAACGAAGCUAGGAGUCAGUAUGAACACGGGAAAAGGAACGUUAUGUAGUCAAAAAGGGCAAAACGGCUCUUACCAGCCAACUCCCGACUCUUGUUUUUCAGCUCCUCGCCCGCCUGGCGCCCAGCCUCCAGUACGCUGGUACGCUCCUGGUCGAGUCGCUCUUUUUCUCCUCGAAGGCGGCCAAUCUCCUCCUCCAGUUCUGCAGAAAUAAUCGCUGGUCAAAAACCUGACCACGCAGUUAAAUACAACAGCUCGAAACGCAUGACAAACCUUUCUUCUCCCGAUCCUUGUUGGCUAGUCGCCGAUUAAGAUCGAGUAAGCGCUCUUCCUGAGCCGCCUUCUCGGCUGCCUUCUCCUCGGCCUCCCACCGAAGGCGGUCCACCUCCACGGUCAGGGCCUUAUUCUCGGCCAUGAUCCCUUCAAUUUGGUCGAAGCACCUUUUUUGGUACUUCGCCGUUUUCAUUGCGCCCUGCAAGAGUUGCACAUAUUAAAAAAACAACAAUAUAUACAUAUUUUGGCGAAGCACAAGACCACCUACCUUGACUUCAUCAACGAGCCGCUUGGCAGCACGCAAUACCCUUGUCGCCUCCUCGGUCUCGGCGAGCUCUUCAUGGCCGAUGAAGUGGUCCCCACGUUGGCGCCACAUGAAAAUGUGUUGGCGACCAUCAUGGGGGCGCCCUUGGAUCUCUUCCACCUCGUCGUCGGAGGCUGCCUAGGCCUCCCCGCUUUCCGCGCUACCCCCAGCCGUGGUCACGGGUAUUACUGGACCCUUACCCCGGCUAGGGGAAUCCUUUGGUGGAGAAGCUCCUGCUCGGGGUGGAGUUGGGAUCCUCCUUUCUCCAGCUGGCGAGGAAGUCGGGGCUCUGUCUUCCUCCUCCGCAACACUGCUCGGGGAGGUAUCCUUACAGCCUCAUCAUCCUUUGUCGGGGUGCUCGCCCCGGUCCUCGCCUGAGCCGGCUCCUCCUCAGCAGUUUCCGUCGCGUUCACAACCGUGGGCUACUCCUCGGUUUGUUCUUGGGUGGUCUGCUCGGCGGCGUUUUCAACAACAGCCGUCGGCUCAGCCGUUUUCUGGCUGACGACGUUGCCCGGAUCAACAUCCGACGCCAUACUGGCAAAAUAAGAUAUCAUGCCAGUAUUACAACUCACAACAACAACAAAACAAACAACAAGGAAGAAGUGUAGAAGACAGGUUGUAGAACUCACAGGUCGGAGCGCCUGUGCGUCGCUACGAAGAACCUCCUCCUGGUCCUACCAGUCGCCGUUGCUGCCUCUACCCCCCAAGUCGUGUCGACUCGGUGUGUGGGACCGGAGGAUCACUGGUCUCCCGACCAGCGGUGAUCGGCACAACGUCAGGCCAACUGCGCGGUCUCCUGACCAAAGAUGGCGCAGCCUCCUCCUCUCCGUCAUUGUCGUCGGCGAUCCUCACAAGCCGACGACGCUUCGGAGCUUGGCUGGUCUCCGCUGGCAAUGCCUCUGUAGGGGAUGGCCCUACCACCAUUGGCCUUUUCCCCGCCACCCUGUCCUCGGUGGUCGGAGCAGGGCGGCUCUGUUCUUCCUCACUGCUAAUGUAUUGAGGACACCGAGCAGCAUCACCCUCCGGCGGGUCCAUCCCUGCGGGAUUCUCCAUACCAGGUGCCAGUGACACAUACACCGUGCACCGGUCCACGUCUCCUAUCUACAACAAAAUAAACGGCAAGUUAUCAAUUAAAAGACUACAGUGUUCGCAUAACAAUACAAAUCAAUAAAGGUACUUGUUUACCUUAGGAGCUAGUCGUCCCAGCUUGAAGGCAUGCAUCCGGUCGUCACUUCGAACGAAGUUAUCAUCCAAAAAAUUGAAUAACUCGUUCAUUAGCUGCUGGACCUCGGCCUUCUCCAGACCAUCCGGGCACAUCCUGGUCGGGUCUUGGCUCCCCACGUACUCAUACGCUGAGUGUAUCCUCCUCUGGCAAGGCAUCACCCGACGCACAAGGAAGUUCCCAACCACACCUGACCCGUCUAAGCGGGACCAGUCGAUCAGGUUCAUCAGAUCUUCAACUUGCCCAGUGUAUUCCGGACGAUCUGUCCAGCUGACCCUCUUCUCGGGGAUGUAGCCCACGUCGCAGAACGUGGCGCUGCCCGGCUCUUCUCUGAUGUAGAACCACUUCUUGUACCAUUCGGUGAGGGAAGUGUUCCAUGGGCAGGUGAGGUACCGGUUCCUCAUCCCGUCGCGCAGAUUGAGGUAUACUCCACCUGCAAUCUUGGAGCCUCCAACUGCUCCUUUCUUCCUCAGACAGAAAAGAUAACGGAAGAGAUCGAAGUGCGGCUCUAUUCCAACAUAGGCCUCGCACAGAUGGACGAAUGUGGAGAUAAGAAGAAUAGAGUUCGGGUGCAAAUUGCAAAUCCUGAUCUCAUAAUAGAGUAGAAGACCCUGGAGAAAUGGAUGAACGGGAAUCCCAAAACCCUUUUUAAAGAAAUCCUCGAAAACUACAAUCUCACCGACGCGGGGGUCGGGGAAGCUCUCCCCCUCCGGUGCCCUCCAUCCUCCGAGUUCUUGAUUGUGCAGGAGCCCCUUUUCGACGAGGUCGUUGAGGGACCUUGUGUUGCUCCGGGACUUCUUCCAUUCCUUGGCCAUCAUCUCGGCCCUCUUCUUGGCGUCGUUCUUCGCCAUUUCAACUCUUGAAAAGUCUCGAGCUCGGUUUUGAGGUUUGAAGGUGUUGAGAAAGAUGGAGGCUUGGCAAUGGUAUGCAGCUACCGAGUAAGAAACAAGGAUACAACCUUGAGCUUUUAUAACAAUAGCCCCACCUCUACCACUUCCCGCAUUCUGGGGAAGUGGGCGGAUCCUGCGGCGGCCGCGGCGUUUCAAUUUUCAAUAAUUGUCGCCAGUUAAUAUGGUGGAUUCUUUGCAUAAUUGAUGGUUUCCUUUUCUUGGACCGCGCAAAGAGCAGCUGCACAGUUACCAGGCGCACCUUUUUACGCAACAGCCUAACAAUGUGCCAGGAUGCUCUAUCACAUCGCGCAUUAAUGCGGUGGUAUGCUUUUUUCUCAAAAACCAAGUGGAUCUAUUGGAGGACCGAACAUGACAUACUUAUUGACUGUACCGACCACGGAGCAUGACAUACUCGGGGACUGGUCGACCAGUCUCCUUAUUUGAUAAAUAUAUAGACUGUACUGACCACCGAGAAUGACAUACUCAGGGACUGGUCGACUAGUCUGUUCAUUUGACAAUUCGGUUGACUGCACCGACCACCGAGCAUGAUAUACUCGGGGACUGGUCGACCAGUCUGCUCCUUUAGCAUCUUGAUUGCCUGUAGUGACCACCGAGCGUAAUAUGAUCGGGGACUGGCCGAUUAGCACACUAGUCUGACAAUCUGAGGAUUGUGCCGACUACUGAGCAUGUUUACAUUCUCAACUGUGCUCGGGAACUCGUCAAUCAUUCCCUUCACUGUGCUCGGGGCUUGCUUCGAUCACUCUCCAACCACAGCUUGGGGACUGUUCUUCUCAGUUACAUAUGAAUUGGACUCAUAUACAACUGAGGGGUAAUUUUAUUUUUUAGACCUUGCUACAAGGCUCAUACUUCGCCUUCCAGCAAGCUCAGGGACUACAUUGGUACGAUGCAUCUGGCGAUGCAUUUCAGUAUCAAAUUUUCUAUGUGGUUUUUCUCUUUAGACCCUAGCACCACGUGCCUACGUCACCUACUGCCAGGCUCGGGGACUAAGUGGGCACACUUCACCUUGCGGUGAAUAUGCUUGCUUUUUGAAUAUUUAUACUUUUCAAAAAAGUAAAGUGGGCACACUUCAUCAGGAAAGAAAUAUUUUUUGAUUAAGAGCACCAUGCAUUCUUCGAACAACCUGCUUCUUCGAUAUUAAUGUUGAUCAACUGUCUUUUGAGUUGGUCAAAAUAUCGUUACAACUGUUUAGGCGACUUUCAUGUUGACCGAAGAUGUCAAGCCUUGCUGGUCGAAGAAGCUCAAGAUGGCGUGUUACAUCACAAUACAUGGUGCUCGGGGACUAGCUGUGGGGGUAUAAACCCCUUGUUGAUGCAAAACUGAUCUGCAAACACAAAGGGCUAAUACCCGAUUCAAACGUUAAGGCGUGCCAGCCGAUUUGACCUUGCUAUCGGCAAAGGUGAUAACUUGAAUACUUUAGUCCUGACAACAGCGAUGCGCCCGGAUGUCACGGCUAAGAGGUACUCACGCGGAACUUGAGAACACGCCGAGCUUAAGUCGACGAAUUCCUAAGAACUCGUAAUGAAAAGAAAAAAGAAUGACGAAGUCGUCGAAAAGUAGAUACUGGAAUAUGAGUAAAAACGUGUGUUUGAUUGAUUUCUUGAUAGAUAUCUUGAUUACAAGGUCUAGGGUUUAUAUUUAUACCCUGCUCAAAGAGCUACGACCAGACACGAUUAGAAUUCGAAUUCCAAAUUACACGGAACCCGUAUACAAAACGAUACAAAUAACUAAGGAAAUAAUAAAACUAUCCUUCGUAACAAACCGAAACUCCUCCACAUGACAACUGGCAGCUUCCAGACUCCUCCUUCGCGUCAUCGGCAACCCCCUUGCCAUAGUCAUCGGCAGGCCUUUUUACCUGGUCAUCGGCACCAUAUUACUGCCUGUGGACUUAGUCAAAUUCAACCUUUCCCUCAUCGGCAACCAUCCUUAUCAGCAACCCGCAUCGUACUGCCACCUUAUCCUGCCAUCCUGGACACGUGCCCAAAAAAAUGGUGUCAACACAUGCCCCCCAGUUUCGGAGUAUAAAACUAUUAAUGCUCCAAAAUUCUCUGCAGUAAUGAUGCCUUCUCCGCAAUUAAUGCUCCUAAUCUGGUAACCGACAACCUCAAUCUGGACAACUCUGAUCCUAAUCCUCCGCAGAUUCCUCGAAAUCCCCAACUUCCUAAACGGGCAUCUUUCUUAUUCGUACAUCGGCAACAAUACCGUUACAAAGAUCUGCCGAUGCUCUGCCCAGGAGAUUCGCAAAAACGGUUACCUCCCCUCUAUCCGCCCAUCGGCAGGAUGACCGUUAUAGAAUAUCGCCGAUGGACCGACCAGGAGAUCGCGCACAGUAAAAUAUCUUUAGAUAAUGACCGCUUCCUGUCAAAUCACCUGCACAAUCCCUGGAUUACCGUGCGAACAGUUACCAUAUCCACUUGAGUACCCUCGGGCUUCUCGGAUGCGGCAAAGAAAUAAGUCAGAUUUGCCCUUGCCCAUUUUGUCCUAUAAAUAGUUCCUUCUUGGGUACUCCUCCCCCAUUACACCAUUCUGCCAUCCAACUUCACUUUUCCAGCGGCGGCGCCAUUCACAACCCUCAAGAUCUCCGACAAGCAUUCCUCUUCAUCAACUCCGGCGCCCUCCAGGGUCCCCUUCACGACAAGAUGGCCGUUGGCUUCGUCGUCCCUGAGGUCAGACUUCCAUCUCAUCUGCUGUACCCUUUUCUUGCAUUCCUGUUCAUCUGCGAUUCAUCUUACCGAAUAUUUUCCUUUUCCUUUUUCUUUGUAUCUUUAUUCCCCAAAACACUAGGAGUUAUCCAACAAAAUUGUCAUUCCUACCGAUCAACCACAUCUUCAAUGCCUCGGCCCUCUAGGGGAUCCAGAUCCAACCGACCUUAUCAAUGCAGAAACCAACAGGAUUCCCUUUAGAGCUGAAAACUUUGCUUUAGAUCUAUGGAAGGACACCUUUCGCUCUUGGCCCAGCCCUACUGUAGGGUGGAAAGACUGGUUCUUGAGGGUCAGCAACUCUUAUGAAGUUCAAUGGGGUGAGAGGAAAUUAGCCCAAUGCAUUAGGCUGUCCAUUGCCGAUAUGCACAGGAACGAGUCAUUGCUGAUAGCUGCAUCUUACUUUUGGUCAGACACUCUCAACGCUUUUGUUUUUGGCCACGGCCCUGCUUCUCCUACCCUUGCCGAUGUAGCCAUGCUUACUGGAUUAGAUAUAUCUUCUGCCGAUAGCACCCACUUUUUUGAUACCGCCCCCAGUGCCAAAGUGGAGACUCGCGCUAUCGGCGGUUGGUCAGGGUACAUCCAGAAGUACCGCGGGAGAGGGCCUGUCACCAUAAAGGAGCAAACCACCUUUCUGAACAUGUGGCUAGACAAGUUUGUAUUCUGUGGUCGAUCGGCAGGACCGACUUCUGUCUAUCUAUCGGCAGCAGAAAGACUGGCUAGCGGUGGUCAAUUUCCUCUCGGCCGUUAUUUGCUCGGCGCUGUUUAUCACCUUCUUCAUCAGGUAGUCCAGAAACUCCUGCUCGGCCAACCUAUCGGCAACUUGGGAGGUCCUUGGUGGUUUAUUAAUAUGUGGCUCAAUCUGCACCUGCACAAGCGCCUUGAUCUCAACUUGUUCUCACAGCACUUCCCAAGAGAUAUAGCCGAGAACUACGUGUUGGGUGAAGAGGAAUCGGCAACACGUGCCCCCCUGAACUUUGGCGAAGCUGUUAUAGUCUUACCCGGUUCAGGGAACACUCCGGAUCAGAUCGGCCGAUUCUUCGAGACGCUGUAUGAGGGUCUGGCCAGAGAUGAACGACCAUGGCUGGCUUACGACGACCCAGACAGCAUGCUCCCUCUGACCUUCAAUCCGUUUGAUGAAGCUCUUGAUAGGGACAAUGAGGUGAUGAUGGCAAUCGUGACUCCCAGAGCCAUACCAGUGAAUUUCUUCGGCAGCACGAAAACCUCUCCCCAAACCUAUGAAUUUUAUAAUCCAUCGGCAUUAGCUCGUCAGCUAGCUUUCGGCCAAUUGCCGAUCGCACUUCCUUAUGCCGAUGUAAUAAAGCCCAGAGAACCUAUCGCCAACCUCCUCGAGUGGACUCGAGUAGCCCAGCUACCACCAAAUGCCGAUACGGAUGUAGAUCUGUCAGAAUGGGUUCCAGCUGCCUUUAUCACCCAGGCAUACAAGCUAUGGUGGACAGAAUGGAAAGAGAAUCUGUUCUGCAGAUCGGCCCUCUCAUACCGCGGCAUGAUCGACCCCGAAUAUGAAGUCCCUGAUGACACUGUAAGUAUUUUGAACCGAUGUCUCAUUUUCCAAUAUCACUCCCAUCGGUAACUUACCCCUGUAUUCCUCUUGCAGAUUGACAACACUCCCCCAUCAGUUAGCAGGAGUGGCAAGCCGAUUGACUUAUUCCCAUCAGGCCCGAUCUCCUCAAUCGGCCAUAAUGCUCCCACUCUGGCUUCCAUCGUGCACCGGGGUGCGCGUCUCAAAAAAGUUACCACCAGGAAAACUCCACCGGUAACUGCUUCCACUCUGGCGCAAGCUUUCAAGGCAAUCUGUUAAAACCUUUUUUCAUUUACGCUGACUAUCUUUGUAUUGGCUAUCUGUGCUCAUAAACUCCUUUUUGUUGUCGCAGCAAACUGGUGCAUCGGCGAAAGUCAAACGCCAAGGCGCCGAUGCCCCCCAGUCUAGCCAGCCAAAGAGGAAGGGCAUCCACGGUGCUAAGACUGGAACAAAGCGCUAGAAAGUGGCAACUCCUCCUCCUCCUCCGGUGUUUUCAAUCCCGGUGGAAUCUUCCCCUUCUUCUCCAGACGUCCAGGCACAGCAAGUACUAUCUCCACAACCAACACAGGAAGCACCACAGAUGGAAGAACCCCAACAGGAAGAACCUCAAACGGCAGGUAUAUCAGCUGAUGUAGGUGAACAAACACUUGGCCCGGCAGGUACAGUUACAUCAUCGGCGGAUGUCUCAUUUCAAGCAACUGUUGUUUCUCCUCCGGGUAACAUAUCUCAACGAUACUCCUACCGAUAAACUUAUUCUCAUUUAUUCUUAUAAUCCUUCCUGUCUUCUUUCAGGCGAUAUCGUUCUAUCGGCAACAUUUGCCGAUCAACCUGCAGCUCCAUCGGCCUCUCUGAGUCAAAGGCAAGAAAUCGCCUUGAAGCAAGUAAGUCAUCCACUUUUCCAUUAGUAUCGUCUGCCGAAGUUUUGACCAUAAAAUUGACCUAUUUCAUUUUCAUUUUCAGGAACAAGAUUCUCCCAACAGCUUGUUCUCCUUCGCUAUUGAUAUCUUCGAAGAAGAAGGCGAGGAAGCAAGCUCCUCUCGGGCAGUUGGAAUUGUAUCGGCAGAAACCAGAGCUAAGCUGGAGGAGCUAUCGGCCAUACUUCAUCAAGACACAACUCAACUGGUCAACGAUUCUGACCCAGCCAAGGCCCUGUUCAAGACUCUUAGAGGCCAAAUUCCUGCCGAUGCUGAAGAAACACUCUUCCAUGCUGCACAUCUAGAAAGCCGCCAGCUACAGUACCAGAGAGCUACUCGACGCCUUGCCGAUAGAGCUGCUCAAAUCUAGCUUUCUGAGGAGAUGAUGAAAGAAAAACUCUUAGCCGAUGAGAAACAUAAGAACAUCGGCACCUUAAAGUCCUCAGGUGAUGCAUUGAAGCAGAAAGUGUCUGAUCUAUCGGCAAAAAGAGAAGCUCUGCUGGCUGAACUCAAGCAGGUAGAAGACGCUCUGUCCCAAGCCCAGCAAGAAGAGAGUCAACUGCCGGAGACCAUCAAGCAUCUUGAACAGGAACGAAACGUCCAUGGUCGCAAAGCGCUGCAACUGAAGAGGAAGCUGAAGCCGAUCGAAGGUUCUGCCGAUGAUGAUAUCAAAGAGAUAGAGACAGCCAACCAGAUUCGGCUGCGCGCCAUAUCAUCAAUCCAAGCGCUGCUGAACAUCUGAAGCUUUCAUCGGCGACACACCUUGGUUUUUCUACUUUUAGCUUUUAGUCUAGCCGAUAAGACUGUUAUCGGCACCUUUUGAAACAUUAAGUCUGCCCCUGAACAUUUAAAUCCAGCCGAUAGGAGUGUUAUCGGCACUUAAACUUUUAUGCGUCAACCCAUAUGCUGGGGUAGUACUUCUUUAAAUAUUUGCCAUUUAAUGCUCUGGGAAAUUCAACUCCUUCGAGAGUUUCUAGAAUAUAGGCAUUACCAGGAGCUGAGUGUCUUAUCCGAUAAGGACCUUCCCAAUUAGGAGACCACUUCCCAAACUUCGAACUCUUAGUCCCGACUGGCAAAAUCAACUUCCAUACCAAAUCCCCAUCGGCAAACUCCUUAGCCUUUACUUUUUUAUCAUACCAUCUAGCAACUCUCUUCUUAUUUUCUUCUAUACUCAUUAGAGCCUUUAACCGAUGCCCUCCUAAAUCAUCUAACUCAUCGGUUAUCAAAGUGGCAUAAUCAUCGGCAGCCAAUUGAUCUUGAAAAGAUAAUCGCCUAGAUCCAGCCUUAAUCUCCCAAGGUAACACUGCAUCAUGUCCAUACACCAAUUGAUAGGGUGACACCUUGGUUGAUCCAUGACAAGCCAUCCGAUAAGACCACAAUGCUUCAUUUAACAAUGUAUGCCACCGCCUAGGAUUUUCUUCAAUCUUUCGUUUAAUAAGCUUGAUAAUUCCUUUGUUAGACGCUUCGGCCUGCCCGUUGGCUUGAGCAUAGUAAGGAGAAGAAUUCAACACUUUAAUUCCCAUACCGAUUGCGAAUUCAUCGAACUCCCCCGACGUGAACAUGGUGCCCUGAUCGGUAGUAAUUGUUUGGGGAAUCCCAAAUCGGUAAAUAAUAUGCUCCUUCACAAAAUCAAUCAUAUUGGCCGAUGUGACUUUCUUCAAAGGAAUAGCCUCGACCCACUUAGUGAAGUAGUCAGUGGCAACUAGAAUGAACUUAUGCCCUUUGCUAGAUGGUGGAUAAAUCUGGCCGACCAGAUCAAUGGCCCACCCCCGGAACGGCCACGGUUUUAUUAUAGGAUUCAUAGCCGAUGCGGGUGCUCUCUGGAUAUUACCGAACUUUUGACAACCUUGACAUCCCUUGAAAUAUUUAAAACAAUCUUCAAGUAUGGUUGGCCAAAAAUAUCCAUUCCUUCGAAUCAUCCACUUCAUCUUAAAAGCUGACUGAUGCGCUCCACACACUCCUUCAUGGAUUUCCCCCAUCAAACUUCUGGCUUCAUCAUCACCCAAGCAUCGGAGAAGAAUUCCGUCGAUAGUUCGAUAAUACAAUUCAUUUUCAAGGAGCACAUACUUAGUUGCUUGAAAUCGAACCCGUCUCUCAACCUUUUUGGACGGAUCUUCUAGAUAGUCGAUAAUUUCUUUCCUCCAAUCACCGGCACUGACUGCCGAUGUCGCAUUAAUCAUUGGCUGAUAUCCUGAGGCAUGCUGGGCUAACCGAUUAGCGUCUUCAUUAUGCAAUCGGGGAACAUGCUCCAAUCGGAAGUUCUUGAAUUCCUUUAAUAGUUGCAUACUUCUCUCGAAAUAAGUUAUGAGAACUUCACUUCGGCAUUCAUAGCUUCCGGCCAAUUGAUUUAUAACCAACAUGGAAUCCCCGAAUAUCUCAACAGCAUCAGCACAAACCUCUCUUAACAACUCCAAUCCCUUGAUCAGAGCUUGAUACUCAGCCUGAUUAUUUGUUGAUGUAGCAACAAUCGGCAAGGAAAAUUCAUACUUCCUCCCCUUAGGAGAAACCAAUACAAUGCCGAUUCCUGCCCCCCGGUCACAGGUAGAUCCAUCAAAGAAGAGUGUCCAGGGUGCAAUUUCCAAGGUUUCUACUAGACCGCAAUGCUGAGUCACAAAAUCGGCCAUGAUCUGCCCUUUGACUGCCUUAGCCGAUUCGUAACGCAAAUCGAACUCCGACAGCGCUAAAAUCCAUUUGCCGAUCCUACCACUCAUAAUCGGCAUAGAUAGCAUGUAUCGGACCACAUCAUCUUUGCAAACAACAGCACAUUCAGCCGACAACAGGUAAUGUCUCAGCUUGAUACAUGAAAAAUAUAAGCAUAAGCACAGUUUCUCAAUGGCCGAAUACCUGGUUUCAGCAUCAAUCAACCUCCUACUCAAAUAAUAAAUUACUCUCUCUUUCCCUUCAAAUUCUUGAACUAAAGCUGAACCGAUGACCGAUCCAUCGGUAGAUAAAUACAAUUUGAAGGGUUUCCCUUGUUGAGGUGGAACUAAAACUGGAGGAUUUACUAGAUACUUUUUGAUUUCAUCCAGAGCCAACUGCUGUUCUUCUCCCCACACAAACUCCUGAUCGGCUUUCAAUUUAAGAAGAGGACUAAAAGCACGAAUUCUCCCAGAUAAAUUCGAUAUAAAUCUUCUGAUAAAAUUCACCUUGCCGAUCAAUGAUUGAAGUUUAGUCUUAUUGGUAGGGGCCGCUAUUUUAUUGAUGGCAUCAAUAGAUCUCCUGCCAAUUUCAAUCCCUCUCUGAUGUACCAUGAAACCAAGAAAUUGUCUUGCCGAUACACCAAAUGUGCAUUUAUUAGGAUUCAUCUUCAAACCAUGCUUCCUUGUGCACUCCAACACUUUUCGUAAAUCGGCAAGAUGCUCUGAGAAAUCUCCAGACUUGACCACCACAUCAUCAAUAUAAAUUUCUACGAUCUUGCCGAUGAAUUCAUGAAAUAUAAAAUUCAUAGCCCUUUGAUAAGUAGCACCAGCAUUCUUUAAUCCAAAAGUCAUGACUAUCCACUCAAAUAAUCCAACAUGACCAGGACACCUGAACGCGGUCUUUGGAAUAUCCUCCUCUGCCAUGAAUAUUUGAUUGUAACCUGCAUUACCAUCCAUGAAGCUGAUGACCCGAUGGCCAGCCGCAGCAUCAACCAGUAGAUCGGCGACAGGCAUUGGGUAUCCAUCCAUCGGCGUAGCUUUAUUGAGAUUCCUGAAAUCAAUGCACACCCGAAGCUUUCCGUUCUUCUUGUAAACCGGAACAACAUUGGAAAUUCAUUCGGCAUACCGACACUGCCGAAUAAACUUAGCUUCAAUAAGUUUAGUGAUUUCGGCCUUAAUAUCAGGUAGAAUGUUAGGAUUACAUCGGCGGGCUGGUUGCUGAUGUGGCCGAAAUCCAGACUUGAUGGGUAACCGAUGUUCAACAAUUGAUCGGUCUAAACCAGGCAUCUCUGUAUAAUCCCAAGCAAAGCAAUCUUUAUAUUCCUUUAACAAACUAGUUAACUGCCGUUUACACUCAGGAUCUAAUUUAGCACUAAUAAAAGUAGGCCUAGGCUUAUCACCACCACCUAUAUCUACCUCUACCAAAUCAUCGGCCGAUGUGAAUCCCUGGCCUAAUUUUCCAUCAUCGGCGAAUCUAUCCAUUAAAAACCGUCGUCAGAACCGACUGCUUGGAUCGGCGGAAUCUCAUAAUCGGCAACUUUGAGAAAAUCUUUCUCCCAAACUUCUCCUGAAAUGCACCUAGUCUUUUCAUAAGUAUCCGCUUCUGCCGAUGCGAUAACAUAAGAAGAAUCCCCUGGGACGAUCUCAAUCUUGUCACCUACCCACUGAACCAAGCACUGGUGCAUUGUAGAUGGGACACAACAAUUGGCAUGAAUCCAAUCUCUCCCCAAUAAUAAAUUGUAGGCACCUUUUCCGCUGAUCACGAAAAAAGUUGUCGGCAAGGUUUUGCUGCCGAUGGUCAACUCUACGCAUAUCGCCCCCUUGACUGGAGACACGUUUCCUUCAAAGUCUUUGAGCAUCAUAUCGGUCUUGGUCAAAUCUUGGUCCCCUUUCCCAAGCUUCCGAUAUACUGCAUGCGGCAUAAUGUUAAUAGCAGCUCCACCAUCAACUAGGAUCUUAGUCAUUGGCUGCCCAUCAACCCUUCCUUUGAGGAACAAAGCUUUAAGAUGCUGCCUCUCGUCAUCGGCAGGUUUCUCAAAGACAGCCGUCAUCGGAUCCAGAGCCAACUGAGCUAUCUGAUCAGAAAAUCCCAACUCAUCGUCACUGGCUGGUGCAAGAAACUCCAUCGGCAACAUGAAUACCAUGUUGACGCCUGCCGAUGGACCUUCCCUCUUAGUGUCUGCCGGCUGCCGACUUUCAAAACUCUCUCCUUUAUUUAACUCCUCUUGCCUUUCUUGUUGCAACCUCCUUUUCUGUGUCUUGGUUAAUCCUUGAGGGCACCAUGGAGGAAGUGGCCUUUGCCUGGCCAUCGGGCGUUGGUUCUCUCUUGACUCCAUGCGAUGCGUGUUAGCAUCUCUGCAAAAUAUGAACUCAUCGGGAACCCGCGCAUUAGCCAUCUCCUCAAGCUCUUCCUGGUUACUGGGAAAAUACUGGACACGGUCACCGAGCCGAUCGCGAACGCUAAGCCUGCCCCCCAGCCGAUCAUGAACUGACGCCCUUCCUCUGAUUGGCCCAUUAAAUCGCCGUUCAUCAUUAUGAUAACGCCGAUCGGUUCUACCGUACCGAUCAUAACCGUUGCACUCAGGGCAGUCUCUGACAUUAGGAAGCUUGAUAUUUUCCUCCCAACAAUGGAUGAAGAAGGGACAAUUCCAAUGAUCCCUGUGCCGAUUCCACUCCUGUCGGCGUCUUUCUUCUUCCCGUCGAUAAUCUUCCUGCUGGCGCCGAUACCGAUCUUCCCGCUGUUGCCAAUUUUCUCGAUGCCUUCUAUGAGUUAUGACGAUACCAGAUCGAGGAAGCCUUCCUGAGCUAGUUCCUUCCUGGACCAAGCCCUUAUUUCUUGCAUCGGCAGUAGUAACUUGAUGCUGAGGAUCUACCGAUGCACUCUUCUCGGCUGUUUCCGACGUUAAGACCUUAGCCUUCCCCUUAGCGUCCAACAUGUUUGUCGGGAAAGGGUGUUGGUCUAUCUUCAUCGGCUUCUGGGCUUUAGAACUGUCAAACUUGAUUCUCCCUGACUCUAUAGCCGAUUGCAGCUGCUGUCUGAAUACUUUGCACUCGUUGGUGUCAUGUGAAGUUGCAUUAUGCCACUUGCAAUAUCUCAUCCUCUUCAACUCUUCUGCCGACGGGAUCACGUGGUUAGGUGACAGUUUGAUUUGACCUUCCUGAAGUAGAAAGUCAAAUAUCCUAUCGGCCUUGGCGGUGUCAAAGGCAAACUUCUCUGGUUCUUUCUGCCCAAAAGGACAAGACAUCGGUUUCUUGUUUUUUACCCACUCUGCCAAACCGAUUACUGGUUCCUCGUCGGAAUCUGAGCUUGUUGCUUCGUCAACAAAUGACACUUUCUUAUUCCAUGCCCUCUUAGGCUCGAAAGGCUUGAUGUCUUGAUCAGAUAUCCUCUGCACCAAAUGACUUAAACUUUCGAACUCCUGAGAUGCAUACUUAUCCCUGAUAUGUGGCAACAAACCCUGGAAAGCCAAAUCGGCUAGCUGCCGAUCAUCCAGAACCAGGCUAUAGCAUUUAUUCUUGACCUCUCGUAUCCUCUGCACGAAUCCCUCAACCGACUCAUCAUUACGUUGUCUCAACUUGACCAAGUCGGUAAUUUUCUUCUCAUGAACCCCCGAGAAGAAGUAUCUGUGGAAUUGCUUCUCUAGAUCGGCCCAAGUAAUUACUGAGUUGGGAGGUAAUGAUAUGAACCAAGUAAAGGCCGAUCCAGAUAGUGAUGACGAAAAUAGACGAACCCUUAAUUCGUCCCUGUUACCAGCCUCUCCACAUUGAAUAAUGAACCUGUUGACAUGUUCCAUGGUUGACGUGUCGUCCUGUCCGGAAAACUUUGUAAAGUCCGGUACCUUGUACCGAUGUGGAAGCGGGAUCAAAUCAUACGCUGGAGGCUACGGUGUCCGAUAAGAAUAAGUGUUGACUUUGGGUUUUAUCCCAAAUUGUUCCCUCAUUACUUCAGCAAUCUUAUCGGCCCAAUACGCAUCGGCGUCUUGCCGAUGAGGCGGCUGCGGAUCUGGCAUUUGGUGGCGAGCCUCCACGUGUCUGUUUGGGACGUGACCUGUAUGGAACAUCGUAUUGGUCACCUGUCCUCCAAUCUGCGGACUACCAAACUGCUGUCCACCGAUUGGCUGUCCAAAAUUUAUUGGCUGGUUGGGAAUUCCCUGACCUUGGAACCCGGGAUAAACCUGCCCUUGCUGGAACCCCGUAGUCUGAUAACCUUGCUGGGGCGAUUGUGGAAAGGCUUGCUGUCCAAGCCAUCCAUUAUUAGCGUUCAUCGGCAUAGGUGCCGCCGAUGAUUGGUAAUUGGGUACCGUCGUUGAAUUGACAUACCCCGACUGGGCCAUAAACCUCUGUUGCAUCAGCAUUGACUCUGCCGAUGCGUUGGGCAUCUGGAACAUUGAGUCUUGAGGAUUCCCAGUGUAAGGCCUUGCGGUAGUAGUUGUGGUAUACCGAGGACUCUGGUUCACCGGCGCAUUGGGAGGUGCCGAUGUCACAGGAGUUUUGCCUCUCAUGUCAGUUAUUUGUGAUGUCCCCGGCGUCAACUCUGGAGGCAUACCAUAACCCCACCAAUUAGGAGGAAGAUUUAACCCUGACAUUGCCGAUGCCAACAUAUCUGUUGUCAGUUUAUGCUGCCCAACUGAAAUUUGUGGGUUGGUUGCCAUCGGCAUAGAUGGUGCGCCAGUAGUUCCCAAUGUACUUGGAGGGACGGCAGACUGUGCACUUGCAUUCGUCAAGGUAGCCGAUGGAGCCGUGACUUCUGGUGCCGUGGGUUGAUGAUGGGAAGGGCCCACAUAAUCCGGCGGGAUUUGUCCUUCCUUGAAGGUUCUUGCCACGGCGUUGAAAACCGUAUUAGACAGUACACCAGCUUGGUUAAUCAACGCUCGAUUGAUGGCAUUGUCAACCAUAUCUUGAAGCUUGCCAGGAUUGGCGUCGAAGGUGACCUGCCGUGGUGCCGGCAGUGCAUCUUUCUGGACCACUUCGCCGCUCCUGUUUAUGCUGAAAGACUUCAGGCAUUGCUGCUUGAACUCUUCCAUGGCUUGGGCAAUAGCUUGCUUCUGCUCAUCCUUGAGGUUGGCUUCCGUCACGGGGAUGACGUUGUCUUGAUCGAGGUCAGAGAUCGACAUGUUGAUCUUGAUCUUGAAUCUGUCCCACUGGGCGUGCCAAAAGAUGUGUUGAUGCAAAACUGAUCUGCAAACACAAAGGGCUAAUACCCGAUUCAAACGUUAAGGCGUGCCAGCCGAUUUGACCUUGCUAUCGGCAAAGGUGAUAACUUGAAUACUUUAGUCCUGACAACAGCGAUGCGCCCGGAUGUCACGGCUAAGAGGUACUCACGCGGAACUUGAGAACACGCCGAGCUUAAGUCGACGAAUUCCUAAGAACUCGUAAUGAAAAGAAAAAAGAAUGACGAAGUCGUCGAAAAGUAGAUACUGGAAUAUGAGUAAAAACGUGUGUUUGAUUGAUUUCUUGAUAGAUAUCUUGAUUACAAGGUCUAGGGUUUAUAUUUAUACCCUGCUCAAAGAGCUACGACCAGACACGAUUAGAAUUUGAAUUCCAAAUUACACGGAACCCGUAUACAAAACGAUACAAAUAACUAAGGAAAUAAUAAAACUAUCCUUCGUAACAAACCGAAACUCCUCCACAUGACAACUGGCAGCUUCCGGACUCCUCCUUCGCGUCAUCGGCAACCCCCUUGCCAUAGUCAUCGGCAGGCCUUUUUACCUGGUCAUCGGCACCAUAUUACUGCCUGUGGACUUAGUCACAUUCAACCUUUCCCUCAUCGGCAACCAUCCUUAUCAGCAACCCGCAUCGUACUGCCACCUUAUCCUGCCAUCCUGGACACGUGCCCAAAAAAAUGGUGUCAACACCCCUAUACCCUUACGGCUAGACUUGGGCCAGGAGGCUUGGCCCAUCACGAGGCAAAUUCGGGACUUAAUCCAACUGCUCGGACUUUCACGCAAGAAAACAAGACGUGGAGAUCAAGUAGGAUUCUAGUCGGUUAGGAUAGAAAUUGAUAUCGUACUAUCUAUGGAAAUUGUAGCUGACUAGGAUUGGUUUCCAAAUCUGUAACCCUGCCCUCUAGACUAUAUAAGGAGAGGCAAGGGACCCCCCUAGGACAUCGAAUCUCAACUCGACACAAUCCAUAGCAAUACAAUCAGACACAGGACGUAGGUAUUACGCCCACACGGCGGCCGAAACUGGAUAAAAACCUUGUCCGUGUCUUGCGUCACCAUCAAGUUCGUAGCUUGCGCACCGUCUACCGAUAAACUACUAUCGUGGGUAUACCCCAAGGUAGACUGCCGACCAGCUUUCGUCGACACCAGUCUAUUCCCCGAUGGCUGGGGAGGGAUCCCCUGCCUCGCCGGGCCUAGCAACGUAAGCAGCCAGAGAAAUCGAGUCCGCCACACCGCCAAGUGACUACACCGAGUUCGUGGACCCCUACCACAAUGGCGAGGAAGUCUGUUUUGUCCGGAUUGACGGCAUCAUCGGGGAAGCAGAGGUGCCUGGGGUCGCAGUGCGGCUCCUCGACGACGACCCCGAGCUUCUGCUGAUCAGCGCAGAGGAGCCCAUGACUUUUGCCGUGGCAGAACGUGACCCAAAUUGGCGGCGUGCCAUGUUGGAGGAGUUGCGGUCCAUCGAAGACAACCACACCUGGGAGUUGCUUGAUCCGCCGGCGGGACGCCGGCCGAUUGGCCUCAAGUGGGUGUACAAGGUCAAGAAGGACGAGCGAGGUGUGAUCGUCAAACACAUGGCGUGGCUGGUGGCCCGUGGCUUUGUGCAGCACGAGGGCAUCGACUUCGAGGAAGUGUUUGCGCCGGUGGCGCGCAUGGAGUCGGUGAGACUACUGCUGGCACUCACAGCAGCCAAGAAUUGGGGCGUCCACCACCUCGACGUCAAGUCGGCCUUCCUGAACGGCGAGCUGGCGGAAGAAGUCUACAUCAAGCAGGCGCCAGGUUUUCAGGUGAAGGUGGAAGAGCGCAAGGUGCUCCAGCUGCGGAAGGCUCUGUAUGGCCUGUCGUAGGCCCUGCGGGUGUGGAAUGCCAAGCUCGACGCCACCAUGGCGGAGCUCGGCUUCGCGCGGUGCGCCACGGAGCACGCCCUAUACACGCGACGACGGGGGAAGGAGGAGCUCAUCGUCGGCAUGUACGUGGACGACCUGAUCGUCACCGGCGCGCGGGAGGAGGACAUCGCCAAAUUCAAGGCGGAGAUGGCGGCCCAAUUCAAGAUGAGCGAUUUGGGCGUGCUCUCGUACUACCUCGGCAUCCAGGUGAAGCAGGGGAAGGACGCGGUCAUGCUGGGGCAGCGCGCCUACACGCUGAAGUUGCUGGAGCGGGCCGGAAUGGGCGAUUGCAGGGCCGCAGCAACACCGAUGAAGGAGCGGAUCAAGCUCUCGAGGCAAAGUGUGGCAAAGAAGGUGGACGCUACGUGAUACCGAAGCAUCGUCGGUGAGCUGCGAUGGCUCACACAUACCACACCGAUGGAGGAGCGGAUCAAGCUCUCGAGGCAAAGUGUGGCAAAGAAGGUGGACGCUACGUGAUACCGAAGCAUCGUCGGUGAGCUACGAUAGCUCACUCAAACCCGGCCGGACAUCGCGUUCGCGGUCGGGUAUGUGAGUAGGUUUAUGGAGGAUCCAAGGGAGGACCACUGAACGGUGGUCAAGCAGCUGCUACGGUAUGUCCAGGGGUCUCUGGACCUCGUUGUCGUCUUCCCCAAGCAUGACGAUCUUCGGUUGAAGGUGUUCAGCAAAGCGCCGCCCAAGGCAAAGGGCGGCGAGCUAGGGCUCACGGUGUUCAGUGAUGCGGACAUGGCAGGCGAUGUGGAUGGGCGGAAAAGCACCUCUAGGGUGUUCGUCUUCCUCGGAGCAGCGCCGGUGGCCUGGCAAUCACUGAAGCAUAAGACGGUGGCUGUUAUGGUAGGCAAGACAUAUGAGAGGCGCAAGGCUAGAGAGCAGGGCUGAGCAGCUGGACGUCCAGCUUAGCCCAUAGGCUGGCCGCAUAGCCUCAGUAACUAGUAUAAGUCUAGGACUCUGGAUUAGUUUAGAAAAUCCUAGGAGUCUUAGAGUUUGAUUCUUAUUUCAUAAUCUUAGUAAGAGUCAGUUUGUAAUUGCCUAUAAAAGGCUAGCAUAUCAUAUGAAUAAAGAUAGCCUGGGAUUGUGUCAAGUUGACACCCUUGGGCACCCGGCGUCUCUCUCCUGUGCCCUAAUUCUAGAACACGACGGCUCCCUGCCGCCGCCAACGUUCUCGCUCCAAUCCCCUCUACUCCCCACCCUACAAUCUAUCAGCAAAGCUAGAAGACGUACCAGUGGCAUUGUCAACCUGCGAGGCAGAGUAUGUCGUGGCUGCCACGGCGGCUUGUCAGGCGGUUUGGCUGCGGCGUUUACUGAAGGAGCUCAGUGGGAAGGAGUCUUAGCCACCGGCUUUGCUGGUGGACAACCAGCCGACCAUUGCCCUUGCCAAGAACCCGGUGCUCCAUGACCGGAGCAAACACAUCGACGUUAAGUUCCAUUUCCUCAGGGAUUGCGUCGAUGGAGGGCAGAUCGUCAUCGAGUUUGUCGACACCGGUAGGCAACUCGCUGACAUUCUCACCAAGUCCCUCGGACGCCUCAGGUUUGUUGAGCUGAGGAAGAUGAUUGGCAUGGAUGAGGUCAAGGCUUAGCAGCAGGAUUAGGGGAAGAAAUGUAAGACAUAAUCUGCAGCUAAUCCUUUCUUUCUCUGAUAGUGAUCAUAGGCAAGCAAUAGGUCAGCUCUUGGUCAUAUAGGAGUAUGGCAAUAGGCCACUCUAGUACAGUAGUUGGUAGAAGCAUACAUCCGCCAUACUUGGUAGGAGGAUGAUGUAUGCAAUGUACUAGGAGUAGUUGGGGCUGUACUCAACCAUGCCUUGUGUACCUUAUAGUUGGUACAAGGCCUGUAUAUAUGUACUAUGUAUGCAAUGAAGGGAAGGCAGUUCAAGUGCCACAUUUCAUGGGUUCAAGUUUCAGCCAGCGCUGAAACUGAGUGUGUGUGUGUGUGCCUGAGCUCGGCUCAUCUUCUACCUUGGGUCAGUGGAGAGGAAGAGGGAAGGUGAGCAGGGACUGCUCACCAGGUGCUUGUGUCCAGGUGCCAACAAGAUGCAACAAAGCAGGGGCCCAAAUGCUAGUGAAAAAUGAGGAGGAGCAAAGUGGAUUGAGAAAAAUUCUGUUGGAUCCCCUUCGUUUGAGGGAUUGAAGGGGGAUUUUGAAGGUUAGAUAAAAAAUAUAGUGAAAAGGGAUUUAGAAAGAGGAUCUGCUGGAGCUAUUGUUUUUUCAAUACUGUCAAAGUGGAGACAUUUGCAAGAGACUACACACCUCUCCAAUAUCUCACACUUCUCCUGAUCGAUCUUGGUGUUCUGACACCUUCUGUUGUUAGUGAUGAGCUCAUCCAAUUGUAUCUAUGAUCUUCGCUGCGGAUGCUGUUGUUUCAAUGGCAUGUAACAUACUGCAGUUGAAUCUAGGGUUUCUCCUAUCAGUUUUGACUAUAAUGCACGCAUGCCUUAUUGUGCUGAUGCGAUGUUUACGAGAGUUUCUCAGAACAAUUAUGCUGAGAAAAGUUAACUGUUUUGUCAGAGCUUAAAGUAUAAUCAUUGAUGCGAAUCUGCCCCCGACCAUUUUCAGUAAUAAAACCUAUUUGCAGGACUUACUCUAUUAAAGUUAUGGAUCUCUCAAACAGUAUUAAAACACUUACAAUUUUAAAUGUUUCUCCACAACAGAAUAUUAAUCCAUUAGUAUUGCCUAUGCUUGUGCACUCUGGAAAUAUAAUUUACACAGAGCUAUUACCUGAACAGGAAAAAUGGUUAUAGCUUCAGCUGCCUGUUGCUUCUGAUUGAAUGAAGUCAGAAUGGAAUGAAAAUGGGCAACCGACGAUGUCAAUACAGUGAAGAUGAUGAAUAAGAAUGAUGGAGGUUUCAGUUGCCAAAUUGUGGCAGAUUGGCUGUACAUUAUUGUUAGGCCACACUAGGCUGACAGUCAAUCACAGCUAUGAGUUUUAAACAAUUGUCACCGUUGGAUGGUAUCUGGAACACUAGUGUAUGGCAAGAUUCCAAGAUGUACAUUUCCAUGUAGGGGGAGAAACCCAUACUGGGUUGUGGUUGUACAAACAUAUACUAAGCAUCUCUUGUGACUGGCGAUGAGAAUGCAAACAGCAGACGGGACACUUUGAGUACUUCACAUUGCAGUGCCAUCCACUUGAGCCACCCCCCUUGUUUAGCGAUUAUCACCACCAGUCCAAACUAGAGAGAAAAUGGAAUAGUCAGUAUAUCAAAUAUGAAUAACCAAUAUGUCGCUGCUACACCUAGACCUAGUCGGCCGAUCAUGUAGCAUCAGCAAAAUAAACUAGCAGCAUCAAAUGUUGGACCACAUAUUUCAGAGAAAGGAGUACAAAUUAUGGAUGAAUAUACUUGCCUGGUCUCCAUGAGGAAGCAACUUCUAGCAAAAGCCUUGACUGAUGAGCAUAUUUCAAGCACAAAAGUGCCUCCAAUAUUUUGAAGACUUUGUCUCUGAUCAUAAAUGAUGUUAGAAUUUAUAAAAACAAAUAAAAGGUAAUAAAAAAAAAUACUAUACGCAAAACUAAAAUUAUUAUCUUUGUGUCUAAGGUGCAAGAACAAUUAAAAAUAUACAAUAAAAACUAUAUGCAAAGUAGCUGUGAACUUGCAGAGAACAGGUAAAGCUUUAUUUAGAUCUCAUAAUUUUAUCUGUGGUCUACUCUAUCUAAAUUAAAACAUUAUUUAUUUUUUGUUCAGACCCUAAGAACCAUUUAAAUUGGGUUUAAGUUAUUUGAGUUAGAUCAUUUGAUUUGUGUUUAGGUUUUUAGGUGCUUUUUCAUCAAUGGAAACAAAUAACAGAUAAAAAUAGUGCUGUAAAACCUAUAGCUUCGAAAGCAGAUUCAAACACAUUUUUUCGGAAGCUUGAAGUAAUUAGGAGCAAUGGUCAUAUUUUUCUUCAGAAUAAAAUACAAAUUAGAUACGAUGCUUUUUUUCAAAUUCAACAAUAUCUUAGUUUCUGUAAUAAAAUUUGCAUACACAAAACAUAUAUUCUAGGAAAUUUCUACAAUCGAGGUAUGAAUACACAAUUUGACAGCACUAAUUUGGGAUGUCACAUUAUAUUGACUAAAUAAAGUUGGGUUAAUUAGUUGAUUUCAACUUGCAGUCACAAGCAAGAUAAUAGAAAUGCAGCCAUUAGCUUUCUUUUUUACCACUAGAGCACAACAUAUAUUUUGUAACUAAUAGAAUGUGUCAAGUCAAAUAGUUGUUUUUUUACAAAUCAUUACAUUUCAUUUAAAAAGAUAGAGAAAUUGAAGGUUACCUUGGUAAUGAUGGGCAUCUAGUUUUUUGUCCUCGUCCUUGAGAUCGCCCAGUCGUUGCUGUAGGCUCUGGGGAAGCAACUUUAUACCAGGACAAGACUUGAUAGUAAGACGCCUGAGAGAUGAGUAUGCUUGAGGCCCGUUUGGUAAUGACACCAGGCUUUUGCAACGAGAAAGGUAGAGCUCUUCCAGCAAAGCGAGCUCUCCUAAGAAAGAUUCCAGUGAUUCGAAGCCAUUGCAUUCCAAAAUCUCUAAUAUUUGGAUGGCAUCCAGCUGUCCUGAAAGGGCUUGAAGAUUUCUGCACCAUCGAAUUCUCAAAGUCUUGAUGGAAGGAGGAAGAUCGAGAAUCUCUGACAAGCCACUGCAGAUGUCUAUUGUUAGAGAUUCUAGACAAGGAAGGAAGUGAUGUUUGGUUGAUGACGAGAGCUUAGGAACUGGUGUGGAUGCCGUGGCUUCGCUGCAGGACCCUGACCCUGGAAUUAAUGCUGAUUUGUCGUCCUGUGCUGCAGCACCACCUCGUGAACUCGUACUAGUAUCCAGCUGCUUGCUGAAUGCGAUGGACUCGAGUUUAGGACAGCCAUCAAUAGAUAAUGACUUGAGAGAUUCCGGUAGUACACUAGUGGGGACCUCUACCAAACAUUGACAAUUUUGUAUAUCCAGAGACUCCAGGCAUGGCAGUAGUACACUGCUCCAUUGGGGCGUAGACUUCUCAGAAGAAGCGCGUCUGCGUCCUGUUAGAUUUUUGCAUUGCCAAAUUCUUAGGCUCCUCAAGGAUUCCAGGCUCUGGAACACUUCCUCUGGCCAGUGGACAAGAGCAUCACAGCACCAAAUUUGCAAAUCUUCAAGCUGCACUAAACAUGCCCAAAGUGCCAGAGCACUUGAGUGAGAGAAGAAAACGUUGCACCCCUGCAACUCCAUAACUGUGAGAGGGGAAGGGGAUUUAUUGUGAUUCUGUUUCUCCUUGCCAUCCACCAGUUGAAUCAAGCUGUCACCAUCCAGCCAUGCUGCCUCUCUGUCGUCAUCGAUCCACAAGUCCAGUUUCGACAAUGACGAAGCAGUGACGAUGCAGUUUGCUACCUGUACGAGCAUUUGUUGACUGCCUCCACGGAUCUCCAAUUCACUUAGAUUUGGUGCUUCAGGGAGAGUAGUCAAUUCUGGGCACCACCCAAUUACAAGCUUCUCAAGCCGAGGAAAUGUCACCUCUUCUCCUUGGACUGCCUCCCAUCUCUGAAAGGUUUGCAUACCAUCUAAAUUUAAUUUCUUCAGCGCUGGAAAUGCCGAGCGCCACACUUUAUUAAUAACUCCUCCUGAAGUAUCCUUAAUAAUUGAUGCUUUCGGCAAUGCAGUCAGCCUUUUGCAGUUGUCUAUGGACAACUUCUCAACCUGAGGAAAUAUUGACUCUUCCCCUUGUAACUCAUUAACCCACCAUGUCUCAAAAUUUGGCAUCCAGUACAGUGAAAGCUCCUUCAGUUCCAUAAAUGGCGUGACUAGUGCAUCACUGCUGCACAGGCAAUUAAGACUGUCCAAUCCCUCCAAGCUAAGAACCUUUAGAGCUGGUAACUGCCACAGUGGACGAAGCUCCUUGAGAUUCUCGCAAUCCGAUAGUGUAAGCUUCACCAUUUGUUGCAACGUAUUUAUCCAUGUCGGAUACAUGCCACCCCUGUAGUCAUAUAUAUCUAGAACCUUCAGACCAUCAUGAGGCUUGAGGGCCUCCACCACCUUAGUACUCUUAUCUUGUUCCUCCUUUUCUGGAGAAGACGUCCAUCUUAAUGUCAACCUGGUUAAAUCUUUCUUGUUCCCAAUAUGUGCUGCUUUCGCAUCUGCUUCUGCCACGUUCUCAAGUUGCCUUAGCUCUAGUGGACCACCAAGCUGGUCUAACUGGCGAAGCUCUCUCACAUUACUACAGCUAGAGCCAGUACCUGCCACAAAGCAUGUAAGCGUCUGUAGGGAAGUGAGGUGUCCCAACUCUGAGGGUAUGCUCUUCAACUCAUCACAUCCAUGAAUAUACAGGUGACGGAGGCCAGUCAUAUACUUCAUUUCCUUUGGAAGUCGAC